ACAAAUGUUUUAAGUGUUAUACUCAUGAUCUUAUUAUCCAUCAACUUUGUCUUGCUCACUAUGCUUAAGGUUAGAGAAGAACAAAUACACUUUUGGUUCUGUUGGUGUUUUCCACCAACAGGGCCCAUGCACUUGAUCUCUGCCUUGUCUCUAUGAGCAGGACACUUCAAGCAAAAUAUGAAGGAGUUUCACAACUCCCAGACUCCACCAAGUGAAGAACUUAGAUCUACGAGCAGAAACACACUACGAGCACAACCACUGCCCUGAGAUGCUUGAGGACAUAACUACUGGAGUAACCCGUGGAAGUAAUUACUGACCUUCUGCCGGUCAAGAGAGGCGAUCCAGGACGCACCGUCAUCCCGAUCUCCAUUGGCAUGGUGGACUUCCCAGAAGUACUCUGUGACUUUGGCUCCAGUGUCAACAUUAUGCCCAGGGUACUCUAUGAAAAAUUCUUUACACAUCCUUUCCUAGAAACAACCAUGUGUUUGCAGCUUGCAGAUCAUACACUAAGUUUCCCAAAGGGAAUAUUGAAGAACCUCUACGUCCGAGUUGGUACCUUAUACGCUCCAGCAGACUUCGUGGUGAUAGAGACUGAUAGUGAUGAGAGGGCACCCGUCAUCCUAGGGAGGCCAUUCCUGAACACCUCGGGAGCUGUCAUCCAUGCUAGUGCUGCCAAGAUCAGUGUCUACAUCAAGGGAAGGAAGGAGACGUUACCUUCAAGAAUAAGACUACACAAAUCUCAGAGCAAUCCCGACAUGAAACAAGGAAGAGGACCAACAGGAGGAACAGGAACAAGCAAAUGUGGACCAAGUCAGCAAAGAUGGUCACUGCAGUUUAAGGAGGUCAAGAUCAUCGACUUAAGUCACCGUUCCUAACCAAAAAGGAUGACCCAAGUGUGCCAAGCAUCCAGUGCUCCAUUGAUGGAUACAACUUCCAGAAGAUGCUUUGCGACACCGGGUCAGGUGUCAACAUAAUGGCCGCCAGUCACCUAUCAGCUCCUAUUCGGAACCAUACCCCUAAAACCGACAUACAUUCAGCUUGAGAUGGCAGAUCAGACAUUCUGAAAGGUUAUUGUCAUGGGAGAAGACGAAUUCGAUCCACUCGUCAUCAAUGGGAGACCGUUCCUCAGCACCGUUAAAGCAAUCAUCUACAUUGGAACCGGAGAAAUCCGCAUGAACUUCCCCUCUGAGAAGGUACGCUGCUGUUUUACUGACCCUAACUAUAUAGUUGAAGACUCUAAGCAGGUCAGGACAAGAAGAAGAAGACGCAACCGCAACCAGAGGAGGCAAAUCAUCAAGGACGGAUGGGCAGACUACGAAGGAGAAGUGAUAAGGUCUGAAGACAUACAGUUUGAACAGAACUGUUAUGAGGAGACCGUAGCACCAAUUCAGGUGUGGAGAAAGAAGAUAGUUAUACACGAAGAGCAGACGCCGCCGGAACAACCGACUACGCCAUCCAGCAAAUCCCAGGAUGAUUCAGGAAACGGAGAGUCCCGUUCGGAGGACUUAAAAACACCGAACGCCUUGCCAAGAGGUAAACUUGGUAGUUAUCUUUCUCCUUUCAAUUAUAUAAAAUAGUUUGCUUAGUUAAUCAGGUUCACAUCAUCCUGAAAAGAAAAUAAAAAUGUUAAAAAUAGUAAGCCCCAUGUGAGUAUGCUCAUGGCAUAAAACCCAUAAGUACAUUCACUGUGGUGGCGUAAAAAUAAAAUAAAUAUAUUCCUGUCCUAUAAAAAUGAAAAUAUAAAAAUAAAUUUAUGAUCCUACCAAAGAAAGUAAUAUUUAUUGAGGAGGCUCAACAUGAUAAAGGCUAGAUAUUUAUGCUAACACUUAACUAGUUCCACAAAGCUUUGUUGUCUAUUUGAGCUCCACAGAAUUCAAGGAUCAAAGAAGACUAGCAGACGGAGAACAUCCUAAUCGCUGUCAGGGUGCUACUGACAUUCAAAUAAACCUCCACCACUUGCUAGCUACAUUAGAAGAAACUACGUCAAAAUCCAGCUUGGGAGAGAGCACCCCCAUUUAUCCAGCUAACUAUUCUACUCACGUUUAUACUUUACUCUAAUAAUAAAAAGAUGCAUAAUCAUAGAAACCCAAAUAAAGAUUUUGUGCUUAUAUAUAUCUUUGCUUAGUUUGCUAAAUAAAUAAAUAAAUAAAGUUUGCUAUGAACCCUCAUGAUAAGCUCUCACAUGGAAAUGAUGAAUAGUUGCUCUACCAUGACUAGUUCUUAAAAUUGAAAUCUUUCUCAAGUUUAGGUAUGACUGGUAUUAAUUAAGAUUUGCUCUAAACCUGAACUUUUGGGGAGAGUACUUGAUCUAAAGUCUAAGUCAUUAACGGAUACGAUAUGGGAAGGUUGAGCUGCUGUUUAUCUGUUCCUAGAGAUGCUAGAAUUCUGGAGAAUUUUAUCUUUGAAAAUAUUUCAAAAUGUUGCAUGAUGAGUUCCUGUAUGAUGAGAGUUUAAAUUCCUACCACAGCCAUAUAUACAUGCUUGCUAGACUUUGAGCCACACAUUUACUUUUUACUGCUUAUGAGCAUUGAGUGUGGUCAAGCUGUGUAGACCCUUAGGAGCUUGUCAUGUGGUUAAAUCAAGAUUCACUUGCACGUUCACUCACACAUGCUACUUUUACUCCGGAAGUACCAUCCACAUAUAUCCACCCAUUUCCAUCCCCAGAACCACCCAAAAAUAUUCUACUCCUAAUCCAGGAGAGAAUAGCCAAAAACAUUUAUGUUUUCCCCUGUGAAAUAAAUGCUCAAGUUAUCUUGGUUACUACCACUUGCUAUAUUAUUUCAGGAGAUGAGUGCUCUAAAAAAAAGAAGAAAAAAAAGGAAAAAAAAGAAAGAAAAAAAGAAACAAUGCGAGGAAAUAAAAAGGGGCAAGUGCCCGGAACCUCGAAAGAAAGAAAAAGUGAGACGAGAGGUAAAAAUGGACAAGUGUCCGACAAUAGAAUUAGGGGUACAAGAUACCCACGUGAGAGAAAAAGAAAAUAUAGAGCAUCUCAUUCUCCCCAAAAGUUUCAAAAGAGCAAGGAAGGUAUGUAUCCCCUCAAAAGAGCAAAAGUAGAAUUAGACUUUCACCAUUGUUAUCACCAUCAUUACCAUGCAUCAUUCAUUCGCCACACAUGCACAUCUUGAUUUGACUUAUUGACUUGUUUCUCUGGAUCCAUGGUUUGACUAUGCAAUAAAUGUCUUGUAAGUAUGUAUUAGCUGUCUCCCACCAAUGAGCUCCAGAUAUCAAAGCCUUAUCAGAGAUGAGCGUCGACCAGACACCCACACAAGCUCCAUCAUCUUCAUCAGGUCAGCAAGUUAAGGUCCUUCUCAAGAUAGGAGACCUUAGACUGAAGACCCGAAGAGAGAAGGAAGUCUAUCAGCAAUUGAAGAACAAAGAUUUCAUUCACUCCCCUACUCUCGAUCCAAUCCUACUACAAGAAACAGGUAUGGACACUGAAUUUGACUUAAUUUUUCAGAUGAUAGGUUGGACAAAUUUUUGGAACAUAAUUGAGCUGGGUUCUCAUCUUCUCACCCUCGAAUUUCUUUGCACCUUACAAUAUUAUGAAGGAGGAAUUGUUUUUCGGAUGUUCAAACAGGAGAUUAUGUUGUCUUGGAGAGAGCUGAGCGACCAUCUUGGUUUCUUUUCAAGAUGCAUCCUGAAUAUUGACUCCGAUUUACCCAAUUUUGAGAGACACCAGUUUUGGAGAGAAAUAUCUAGAGAUAAUUUUUAUAGUCAAGCCCGAACCAGUGACAUGGAACACCCCACUCUUAGGAUGUUCCACAAAUGGCUUGGGUAGAAUCUUUUCUAUCGUGAUGAUAUUAGGAAAGUAAGAGUAGGAGAUUUACAACUUUUAUAUGCUGCUAUUUGUAAAGUACCCACUUCACCUGUUACACUAUUAGUUUCUCAUUGGCUUAGUAUACCUAGUCUUCAGGGACCAGUAGGAUGUACUUCACUUAUCACUCGUCUAGCCUCUAACCUUCAUUUACUAGAAAACUCAUCGUUGGACUUCAUAGAUGAGUGAAGAAUUUAUCAUGGCUAUGACACAUUUAGACAGGCUCGGAUGUUAAAGAAAGAGGUGAAUAUGAUAUAUAUGCUAUAUGAUGAUAGAGGCAAGAUUCGGUUACCUAACCCGAACCUUGGCCUAUACGUUGUUCAAAAUUUUUUGAUUGAGAUUGCAGCAACACCAGUGAACCAGAGAGCUCCACAGCGAGUGGCAUCUGAAAGGAUGACCACCUAUCGAGAACGCACCUGGUAUGGAGCUGACCCUGGACCAGAAGAAGCAGCGCACAAGCAUUAUUGCGAUUACAACCCUCGAGUCCUUCGAGACCCAUGGGUUCGUCAUGCGCAACCACAAGAGCCAACAGAGGAGACAUGGCCGGAGAGCCAAGAUCACCAGUGGACAGACCUGCCUUUUCAUAUGGGCAGGUACUCCACUGAUCCAUAUGGAGCUUCAGGAUCCAGACCUCCGCCCCAAUUUGAUGCAGGACGAUACUCCGACGCCUCCUACGCUUUCACGAAUGACUACUAUCAAGAGGCCGAUGCUUUCUUCACUCGUACCGACAACUCUCUCCUCAACAUCCAGAACACGCAAGCAGAACAUGGAAGACUCCUAGAAGAACAACAAAAAUGGAACCAGGACCAUGCUGCUGCAGUACAAGAGCUGAGACAAGAUACAACAACAAUGAAUGACAACAUCACAACUAUGAUGCGGUUCUGGAACAUCGGGUAAGACCGACGUCAACAUCCAGCUUGGGGGAGUUCCUCCCCAAUUUAUCAAGUAAGUUUCUAUUUGCUCUUCUUAUUUAUUGUUUUCUAUUUUAUCUUAAGGAGAAAAAACUUAGAAAACCAAAUAAAUAGUUUCUUGCUUUAAUUUACUGCAUUUUAUAAACAUGAAAACAAAAUAAAAAGAGUGUGUAGAUAAGUGUGCUUUAUUUUAUCUGUUAAGUGCAAAUCUCUAGAAAAAAAAUGUAUUAUGGAAAUAAUGAACAGUUGCUCUGUUUGCUUACUUUUAAGUACCUAGAUUUUAUAUUAGAGUUCUUCCAGGAAUUACUAAAACUAAAAUUACCAUCUUUGGGAAGCAUAAAAUUAAAGUCUAGGUAAGCGAAAGGCAUGAUAUAAAGUUGAGCUACUGUUUAUCUUGUUCCAACUACACUAAGUUCUGGAGAUUUAUUUUGGAAACUUGCAAAUCACAUGAUGAGUUCCAAGCAUACAAAACUACCUACCACAGCCAUACUUGCUAUAACAUCUUUUACUAUAUUUACAUUGAGUUUGAUCGAGCUGUGUUGACCCUUAGGAGCUUUUCAUGUGGUUAAAUUAAGAUAUUCACUUGCACACAUCUACUACACCAUCCAUCACCAAUCAUUAAAAUUGCUAAAAAUAUUAUCAUUCACUGUCCCGAACAUUGUUAUUCUCUCUCUCUAAAAAGAUUCAAUGCAGAAGAGGCAUGGGUUAUGCAAAAAUAUGCAAGGAAAAAAAAGGGGGAAGUGCCCGGAACCUCGAAAAAGAAAGAAAAAGAGUGAGACGAGAGGAAAAAAUGGACAAGUGUCCGAAGUAGAAUUAGGGGUACAAAGAUGCCCACUUGAGCGGAAAAAAUGGACAAGUGUCCGACAGUAGAAUUAGGGGUAUCUACUACCCACCUGAAAAAAGAGAUAGCCCAUGUUCUCCCAAAGCAAAGAUCAAAGAAGAGGAGAGAUAGCAAUAUGAGGAGCAAUGAGAAGUAAGUUUCAUUAUCACUUAUACAUUUUUUAUCAUCACUAUCAUUUACUCCACCACACAUGCACAUCUUGAUUUAAUUAUAUGCUGAGUUCCUUUUGGAUCCAUAGCUCGAUUAGACAACAUAUGUAUAAGCUGUUUUUUCGCUCCUAUAAGCUCCACUUAAAUAUUCCAUUAGCCAUAAGUAAGUGACAUUAUGGUAAGGAUCCACAAAUACCACAUAUAGAGAGACUUGAGAGAAUCAUUGCUGGGAACUCUGAGUUUUAUUUUAAAAACUUAUGAAAAACUCUAGAACAAAGGUGAAGUAUAGACAGGAGGAAUAGUGCUUGACUUAACUAUUUUGUCUUUCGAUUACUUAAGAUUUAAGUGCAGGUAUGAAAGGUCCAAAUGGCUAGAGGGGGGGUGAAUAGCCUAUUUAAAAUUUCUACAAACUUCACUAAGCAAGAGAGUUAGUAAAACAAAUGGCGAAGCAAAUCUAGCACUAGCUCAACUAAGCUAUGCAAGCCACCUAUACAAAAAAGUACAAGGCUAAACACUAAAGCACAACAACAAGAGAAGGCUAGUUACACUCCUAAACAAGAAAACUAAACUAAACAAGCUAAGCAACUAGCAAGGUAAACAAGUAAGGAGUGGAGAGUGAUUGUUAUACCAACGUUGUAGAGUGGAGAUAUAUCCAACCAAUCACUCACAAUCACAAGAGAAACCUCGGCAAGAGAUGACACAAGAUUUUUUACCGAGGUUCACUUGCUUCCCGGCAAGCUACUCCUCGUUGUGGCGAUACACCCACUUGAUGGAUCACGAGCUAAUUGGCAAUCCAAAGCCAAACCCUCAGCGGGUGCCGCACAUCCACUCACAAGAUGGGGAUCCUCCAAGCCACGAGCAAUCUACUAGAGUAGCCAAUUGCGAUCUCCCGCGGGGAAGGCUCAAGAACCCCUCACAAAUCACUUGGCGAGGCUCGAAACAAUCUCCAAUUACGAGCUCAACACCACCGCUGCUCCAAGCCAUCUAGGGCGUCGGGAAACACCCAAGAGUAACAAGAAAUCCGCAGCAAACUCAAGAAUCAAGUGCCACUAAAUGCAACUCUCAAAGCAAUGCACUUGAAUCUCACUCAAUCUCACUAGAAUUAGCAAUCAAGCAAGGAGAUGAGGGGAGUGUUCUCUAGCUCAAAGUAUGUCUCAAGUAAUCAAAUGUGCAAGAGAGAACCCCCAAAAGCCGGCCACCAACUAUUUAUAUGCCCCUCAAAGAAACUAGCCGUUGGCUGUUUUCACUGGGCUGAAAACGGGGGCACUGGACGCUACUAAGUGAGCACCGGACGCUCGACUCCCUGCGUCCGGUGCAUUGGAGUUGGCCACGUGUCGAACUUGAAUCUUGCGCGUCAGUUUCUAACGGCUACCUGCAACACACCGGACGCUCUGCAAGUCCACACCGGACGGUCCGGUGCUCACCGGACUCGUGCGCAGAGAGGGUGUCAAACUCGCGACCUCACCGGACGCUAGGCACUGGACGGUCCGGUGCUCACCGGACUCGUGCGCAGAGAGGGUUACAAAAACCCCUCACACCGGACGCUAACCACCGGACGCUCUCAAAGUGCGUCCGGUGCUUAACCCUAGCAGGGUCAAGCACACCGGACGCUGAGGCCAGCGUCCGGUGCCUCUGCACUCAGCGUCCGGUGAGUGUUUCUUAGAGAGGAAACACUCCCGCGACUUCUCCAAAUUACCACAGGCGCAAUAGAAAAUAUACACUUAUUUUUCUCAAAAGCGCCGAAUCCUGCCUCGCAAGCUCGGCGGGAGGGAGAGAGGAACCCACACCCCUCUCAACCCUAGGAACUCCACCUCCUUUGCAAAAGUGCUAACACCAACAAGUGUCCACCACCAAAGUGCAAGUGUGUUAGCUUUUCACAAACUUUUUCACCAAAGGAGUUAAGUUAGCACUUUACUAGAUCCUAAUGCAUAUGCUCAAGAUGUAGACCUAGUAGCACUUGAUACGAGAGAUGACCGUGAUUUCCCCUCUUGAUAGUCGGCUAUCUAUCCUAAACCCGGUCAAUCACUUCUCUACUCAUCUUAGACCGGCAAAAGUAAAACCCUAUGUUUAUACCUUUGCCUUGAUAACUUUGCUCCUCGUCUAUCACCAUGAUCUUCACUUCAUGCUUCAUCCCUUUGUGAUCAUGUGGCCACCUUUCCAUGCCAUCAUGCACUUUCAUCACAUGUGUUGCUAUGCCUAACUCAAAUCACUUAAACACAAGGCAUUAGCAACUAGGUGUCAUUAAUUACCAAAACCAAACUUGGGCUUUCAAUCUCCCCCUUUUUGGUAAAUGAUGACAACCAUCACAAAGAUAUGAAAUGAAAUCAUAAUGAACUUGAAUUGCUUGUCCAAAGCAUUUUAAUCAUGAGACAAGGUUGGACAAACAUUUCAAUUUCGGUUUUGGUAGUACUAGCUCCCCCUACAUAUGUGCUUCCAUGAGUUUGGUUCAAGUUUGCACAUAUGCAUAAAUUAGAGUUUUGGGAGAUUUAUUACUACCAAAAUGAUGCUAAGGUAUAUAGAAUGGACCUUUGAAGCAUGAUACCAAUCGGAGUUGCCAAUAUACCAUCCUUAGCACCAAUGUAGCUAGACAUACAUCAAAAACUCAAUAUACCUCGUGAGAUCACAUUAUAUGUCUAGAUACCACAUGAAAAAAAAACUCUAUGCUAGAAUUCAAAGCAUCAUUCAAGUUCUAUUUCUAGCAAGCACCAAUCAAACAAGAGUCGUGAAUUUAAACUUGCAAUGCAACAACUCAUUAUGUUAGUGCACAUACAAAUGCAACAAAUGGUUCAUGAGCUUGCUCUCCCUAUUUGUGUGCUCAAGUUUAAAGGUGUUUUCUCUCCCUAUCUUUGUUUCUCUUCCCCUUUUUGACUUUAUCUUGACUUUAUCUUUGUUUCUCUCCCCCUUUGUCAUCAAUGACCACAAAGGUUCAAAAACUAGUGAGAAUUAAGUCAAUCAAUGUGAGGGUCAAAUUAUGGUUCAAUCUAGAUCACUUGCCUCAAACAUGUAAUUCGGUUUGAUCCAAGGACAAGCUUUUUCACACCUCAUAAAGUAAAAGGGUUAUCUUGACCAUGUUGAAAUACACAUCAUAAGCUCAUAUUCUAGAUUCAACGCUAGGCUUGCAAGCUCACAAACAUAUCAUAUGCUACCACUAGAUCAAAUAACCAUAGAAACAAUAGUGGUACCAUACAUACAUCAAAUCCUUUUGAUUUUCAUGAAUGAGCCUAUUGUCAUGCAAACAUGUCUAUAUGUUCUAAUCAUGUCCUUAGCAAAGUAUGAAUGAUAUGUCAACCAACUUUACCUCGCUUUGUUGGAGGAGAGGCAUAUCAUAUAUAAGUGUGGGGGUGCACUCAUCUCAAGUUGGAGAAGUCAAGUAUGUUCAACUCAUUCCUCAAUUUGCAAAAUCUCUUCUCAUCAAGUGGCUUUGUGAAGAUGUCGGCUAGUUGAUCUUCGGUGCCAAUGCUUUCAAUGCUAAUAUCACCCUUUUGUUGAUGGUCUCUUAUGAAAUGGUGCCUUAUAUCAAUGUGCUUGGUUCUUGAAUGUUGAACCGGAUUUUGUGUCAUCUUGACUGCACUUUCAUUGUCACAUAGCAAAGGCACAUUCUUGAAUUUGAUUCCAAAGUCAUUCAAGGUAGCUUUCAUCCAAAGCAAUUGUGCACAACAACUACCGGCACUAAUGUAUUCGGCCUCGGCGGUUGAUAGUGCAACACUAUUUUGUUUCUUUGAUGACCAUGAAACUAGAGACCUUCCUAGCAAUUGACAAGUGCCACUUGUGCUCAUUCUAUCAAUCUUGCAUCCACCAUAGUCGGAGUCCGAAUAUCCAAUCAACUCAAAGUUAGACCCCUUGGGAUACCAUAAUCCAACAUCAUGAGUGCCCUUGAGAUACCUUAAUAUUCUUUUGGUUGCCUUCAAGUGACUUUCUCUAGGUGAAGCUUGGUAUCUUGCACAUUUGCACACACUAAACAUUACAUCCGGCCUUGAUGCGGUGACAUAGAGCAAACUUCCAAUCAUGGACCGGUAUAGCUUUUGAUCUACCAUGUUGCCACUUGUGUCACUACCUAAUUGAUCAUUUGUGCCCAUAGGUGUGCUCAUUGGUUUGGCUUCUUGCAACCCAAACUUCUUGAUCAUAUCCUUGAUGUACUUUCCUUGACUUACAAAAGUGCCAUUCUUCAUUUGCUUGAUUUGAAGACCAAGGAAGUAACUAAGCUCUCCAAUCAUGGACAUCUCAAACUCAUUAGCCAUCAUUCUUCCAAACUCUUCACAAAAGUCUUGAUUGGUUGAUCCAAAAAUGAUAUCAUCAACAUAGAUUUGCAACACAAACAAGUCAUUGCCUAGCUUCUUGGUGAAGAGAGUAGUGUCAACCUUUCCCAUCUUGAACCCUUUAGAGAGAAGGAAAUCUCUCAAUCUCUCAUACCAUGCUCUAGGUGCUUGCUUCAAACCAUACAAUGCCUUCUUGAGCUUGUAAACAUGGUUGGGUUUCUUGUCAUCUUCAAAACCGGGAGGUUGUUCAACAUAAACCAACUCAUUGAUGUAUCCAUUGAGAAAUGCACUCUUCACAUCCAUUUGAUAGAGCUUGAUGUUGUGGGCACAAGCAUAGGCUAAUAAUAUUCUAAUUGCCUCCAAUCUUGCAACCGGUGCAUAUGUUUCUCCAAAGUCAAGACCUUCUACUUGAGUGUAGCCUUGUGCUACUAAUCUUGCUUUGUUUCUCACAACCACACCAUCUUGAUCUUGCUUGUUUCUAAAGACCCACUUGGUACCAAUCACAUUGUAGUUCUUUGGCCUCUCAACAAGCUCCCACACUUGGUUUCUUGUGAAGUUGUUCAAUUCUUCAUGCAUGGCAUUUACCAAAUCUGAAUCUCUCAAUGCAUCUUCUAUCUUCUUUGGUUCCUCAAAUGAGACAAAUGAGUAGUGCUCACAAAAGGAUGCUAGUCUUGAUCUUGUUUGAACACCACUUUGAAUACCACCAAUGACUUGAUCUAAUGGAUGAUCUCUUGCUAUGCUUGUAGGUUGGAGUAUUGAGAGUUGAUUGCUUCCACUAGCUUGAUUUUGAUUUUGAUCAUCAUCAUGAGAGCCACUAGUACUUGCUUGAUUUGUAUCAAUUUGUACUUCUUGAUUGAUCAUGUGAAUAUCACUAUCAUCAUCAACUUGCCUUGGCCUUAUAUCACCAACAUCCAUGUUCUUCAUUGCAUUUGCCAAUUGAUCUCCUCUCACAUCAUCAAGAUUUUGAGCUUCAUUUUGAGAUCCCUCGGUUUCAUCAAACUCAACAUCAUGGACUUCUUCCAAUGUGCCACUUGCCAAGUUCCAAACUCUAUAUGCCUUGCUUGUGGUGGAAUAACCAAGUAGGAACCCUUCAUCACAUUUCUUUUCAAACUUGCUCAAUCUAGUGCCUUUCUUGAGAAUGUAGCAUUUGCAACCAAACACUCUAAAGUAUGCAAUGUUGGGCUUUCUUCCAUUCAAUAGCUCAUAUGGUGUCUUCCCAAGCUUCCCAUGGCAAUAGAGACGGUUGCUACAAUAGCAAGCCGUGUUGAUAGCUUCACUCCAAAAUGAAUGGCUAACAUUGUAUUCACUAAGCAUUGAUCUUGCCAUAUCAAUCAAGGUUCUAUUUUUCCUUUCAACUACACCAUUGGAUUGAGGAGUGUAUGUUGGAGAGAAUUGAUGUCCAAUGCCAAGAUCAUCACACAAUUCCUCGAUUCUUGUGUUCUUGAAUUCACUACCAUUGACACUUCUAAUCUUCUUGAUAGUGGUUUCAAACUCAUUUUGCACCCUCUUGACAAAAGACUUGAAUAGAUCACAAACAUCACUCUUGUCAUAGAGAAAGAACACCCAAGUGUAUCUAGUGUAGUCAUCUACUAUCACAAAUCCAUACUUGUUGCCACCAAUGCUAGUGUAUGUUGUUGGCCCAAAUAAAUCCAUGUGCAAUAGCUCAAAUGCCUUUGACGUGCUCAUUUCACUUUUCUUAGGAUGUGCCUUUCCAACUUGCUUUCCGGCUUGACAAGCACUACAUGGUUUAUCCUUCUCAAAGGUGACAUCCUGCAAGCCUCUAACUAAGUCAUGCCUCAAUAGUUUGUUCAAUUGUUUCAUUCCAACAUGACCAAGCCUUCUAUGCCACAACCAACCCAAACUUGAUUUGCUAAUUAGGCAUGACGUCAAUUGAGUGUCACUAUCAUUGAAAUCAACCAAGUAUAAGCUACCAUGCCUAAAUCCUUUGAAUAUCAAGUUUGAUCCAUCAACACUAACAACCUCAACAUCAUCACUUCCAAAGAUGCACUUGAAACCAAGGUCACAAAGUUGUGCAAUUGACAAGAGAUUGAAAUCAAGGCUUUCAACUAGCAACACAUUUGAUAUGCUCAUGUCAUUUGAGAUAGCAAUUUUACCAAGCCCUUUGACCUUGCCUUUCUUGUUGUUGCCGAAAGUGAUAGAAUCAAAGCCACCAUUUUGACUAGUAUCAAUUGAUUUGAACAUACAAGACUCCCCGGUCAUAUGUUGAGUACACCCACUAUCAAGCACCCAAUGCCUUCCUCCGGCUUUGUAAUUGACCUACAAGACAAGAUCAAUUCUUUUUAGGUACCCAAACUUGAUUGGGUCCUCCAAGGUUAGCAACUAAGCUCUUUGGUACCCAAAUGGCUUUCUUCUUUGAGCCCAUCCAUGGUGCACCAAUGAACUUAGCAUGAACACCUUUUGUAUCCUUGGUAAGCACAUAGAAAGAAUUUAGCUUAAUUGAGGAUACAUGAGCUUUGGGUUUCUUGUUCAUGCAUUGUUGCUCUAGGUGACCAACUUGCUUGCAAGCUUUGCAAUACCGACCAUUGUUCUUCACAAAACUAGUCUUGUGAGGAGCAAAGGCGGCCUUGCCUUUCUUGGGGUUAUAGCCCAAUCCCUCUUUAUAGAGAGAAGCUCUUUGGCUACCCAAGCACAUAAGCAAGCGGUCCUCACCACCAUAAGCCUUGGCUAAGGUGUGAUUGAGCUCUUUCACCUCCUUCUUGAGAAUUUCAUUCUCAACUUUUAGUGUGGUGUCACAAGUGAAACCAUCACUACUAGAUGAGGAUGAUGUAGAUGUGCUACAUGAAGGGUUAGUAGAAGCAAAAACAAUAGGCUUACUCAAGAUAUCACAUGUUAUGCCUAUGUUGCAAGUUUGAGCUUUUUCAAUUUUAGUAGGCUCAUUUUUACACUUGUUAACUAGAGAGGAAUGAGCUUCUUCAAGCUUAGUGUGAGCCUUUUUAAGCUUCUUAUGGUCUUCCUUUAGACUCUCAUAAGAUGCCCUAAGCUCAUUAAGUUCUUGCUCAAGGGUUUUCUUAUCCUUAAGCAAGGCCUUGCACUCCUUUCUAUUUUCUUUAUAGUGAUAAGUGCAAUCUUCUAGCAUAGUGAUUAGUUCAUGUUUAGUUGGUUCAUCAUCAUCACUAUCACUAUCACUAGCAUGGUCACUCUGAUCAUCGAAUGAUACCUUAGUGGCCUUAGCCAUGAAGCAUGAUGGAGUGUUGAAGAUGGAGUUUUUUCCUUGAAUGGCAAUGCUAGCAUGCGCCUUCUUCUUGGUGCUCUCAUCAUCACUUGAGGAUUCAUCACUAUCCCAAGUUGCAACAUGGGCAUCACCCUUCUUCUUGUUUGAGCCUUCCUUCUUUUCUUGCUUCUUCUUUUGCUUCUUUCUUUCCUUCUUGAUAGCAUCUUCAUCAUCACUAUCAUAAGGACACUUGGCGAUGAGAUGAUCCUUGCUAUGGCAUCUAAAGCACCUCAUGGAGUGGUCAUUCUUCUUGGAGGAGCUCUUCUUCCUUCUUGCCCGAUAGCCCUUCUUCUUCAUAAACUUGCCAAAUCUCUUGACAAGAAGAGCCAUCUCCUCAUCUUCAUCACUAUCACAAGAGCUUGCUUCUUCUUCACUUGAAGAUUCUUGCUUGGCUUUGCCCUUGGAUGUGGAGGCCUUGAAUGCCACACUUUUCUUCUUUUCAUCAUCUUUCUUCUCACCAUCCUUCUUCUUCUUCUUGAUCAACUCAUCCUUUUCAUCAUCUUCUCUAUAAGCAUCAUCGGUCAUCACUUCUUGAAACACUUGUUGGGGAGUUGAUUCACUAAGUGUUGUCUUGACUAGCACGGUGAUCAAUGUGUCAAAUCUCUUGGGCAAGCUUCUCAAGAACUUCAUAGAGAAUUGACUAUGCUUCACUUCUUCCCCAAGUGCCUUCAGCUCAUUCACAAUGACUUGCAACCGGUGAAACAUCUCUGGCACACUUUCAUCUUCUUGCAUCUUGAAGCUAGAGAAGUUCUCUUGGAGAAUGUAAGCUUCGGCGGUCUUGGUACCUUUGGUGCCUUCGAAUGUUUCUUCUAAUUUUGCCCAUGCAUCAUGAGCAACCUCAAUGUUCUUGAUUUGCUCAAAGGUCUUGUCAUCAAGAGCUUCAUGAAGAGCACUAAUUGCAAUGUCAUUGCAUUGAAGCUUCUUUUCUUCAACUGGUGUAGGUGCAUUCUCAUUUGCAACCUCAAACUUUGUUUCGAUCACCUUCCAAACUUCUCUAUUGAUUGACUUGAGAUGGGCGGUCAUCUUGACCUUCCAAUAAGCAUAAUUGGUGCCAUCAAAGUAAGGUGCCUUCUUAGUGUUGUUGAUAUGCAAACUAAGAGCCAUUUCUUCACCGUAGGUUGUUAAGACUCAAAUAAACGGUGCCUCGGCUCUGAUACCACUUGAAAGGUAGACAACAUAUGUAUAAGCUGUUUUUUCGCUCCUAUAAGCUCCACUUAAAUAUUCCAUUAGCCAUAAGUAAGUGACAUUAUGGUAAGGAUCCACAAAUACCACAUAUAGAGAGACUUGAGAGAAUCAUUGCUGGGAACUCUGAGUUUUAUUUUAAAAACUUAUGAAAAACUCUAGAACAAAGGUGAAGUAUAGACAGGAGGAAUAGUGCUUGACUUAACUAUUUUGUCUUUCGAUUACUUAAGAUUUAAGUGCAGGUAUGAAAGGUCCAAAUGGCUAGAGGGGGGGUGAAUAGCCUAUUUAAAAUUUCUACAAACUUCACUAAGCAAGAGAGUUAGUAAAACAAAUGGCGAAGCAAAUCUAGCACUAGCUCAACUAAGCUAUGCAAGCCACCUAUACAAAAAAGUACAAGGCUAAACACUAAAGCACAACAACAAGAGAAGGCUAGUUACACUCCUAAACAAGAAAACUAAACUAAACAAGCUAAGCAACUAGCAAGGUAAACAAGUAAGUAAGGAGUGGAGAGUGAUUGUUAUACCAACGUUGUAGAGUGGAGAUAUAUCCAACCAAUCACUCACAAUCACAAGAGAAACCUCGGCAAGAGAUGACACAAGAUUUUUUAUCGAGGUUCACUUGCUUCCCGGCAAGCUACUCCUCGUUGUGGCGAUACACCCACUUGAUGGAUCACGAGCUAAUUGGCAAUCCAAAGCCAAACCCUUAGCGGGUGCCGCACAUCCACUCACAAGAUGGGGAUCCUCCAAGCCACGAGCAAUCUACUAGAGUAGCCAAUUGCGAUCUCCCGCGGGGAAGGCUCAAGAACCCCUCACAAAUCACUUGGCGAGGCUCGAAACAAUCUCCAAUUACGAGCUCAACACCACCGCUGCUCCAAGCCGUCUAGGGCGUCGGGAAACACCCAAGAGUAACAAGAAAUCCGCAGCAAACUCAAGAAUCAAGUGCCACUAAAUGCAACUCUCAAAGCAAUGCACUUGAAUCUCACUCAAUCUCACUAGAAUUAGCAAUCAAGCAAGGAGAUGAGGGGAGUGUUCUCUAGCUCAAAGUAUGUCUCAAGUAAUCAAAUGUGCAAGAGAGAACCCCCAAAAGCCGGCCACCAACUAUUUAUAUGCCCCUCAAAGAAACUAGCCGUUGGCUGUUUUCACUGGGCUGAAAACGGGGGCACUGGACGCUACUAAGUGAGCACCGGACGCUCGACUCCCUGCGUCCGGUGCACUGGAGUUGGCCACGUGUCGAACUUGAAUCUUGCGCGUCAGUUUCUAACGGCUACCUGCAACACACCGGACGCUCUGCAAGUCCACACCGGACGGUCCGGUGCUCACCGGACUCGUGCGCAGAGAGGGUGUCAAACUCGCGACCUCACCGGACGCUAGGCACCGGACGGUCCGGUGCUCACCGGACUCGUGCGCAGAGAGGGUUACAAAAACCCCUGACACCGGACGCUAACCACCGGACGCUCUCAGAGUGCGUCCGAUGCUUAACCCUAGCAGGGUCAAGCACACCGGACGCUGAGGCCAGCGUCCGGUGCCUCUGCACUCAGCGUCCGGUGAGUGUUUCUUAGAGAUGAAACACUCCCGCGACUUCUCCAAAUUACCACAGGCGCAAUAGAAAAUAUACACUUAUUUUUCUCGAAAGCGCCGAAUCCUGCCUCGCAAGCUCGGCGGGAGGGAGAGAGGAACCCACACCCCUCUCAACCCUAGGAACUCCACCUCCUUUGCAAAAGUGCUAACACCAACAAGUGUCCACCACCAAAGUGCAAGUGUGUUAGCUUUUCACAAACUUUUUCACCAAAGGAGUUAAGUUAGCACUUUACUAGAUCCUAAUGCAUAUGCUCAAGAUGUAGACCUAGUAGCACUUGAUACGAGAGAUGACCGUGAUUUCCCCUCUUGAUAGUCGGCUAUCUAUCCUAAACCCGGUCAAUCACUUCUCUACUCAUCUUAGACCGGCAAAAGUAAAACCCUAUGUUUAUACCUUUGCCUUGAUAACUUUGCUCCUCGUCUAUCACCAUGAUCUUCACUUCAUGCUUCAUCCCUUUGUGAUCAUGUGGCCACCUUUCCAUGCCAUCAUGCACUUUCAUCACAUGUGUUGCUAUGCCUAACUCAAAUCACUUAAACACAAGGCAUUAGCAACUAGGUGUCAUUAAUUACCAAAACCAAACUUGGGCUUUCAAGGUACUAAACUCCAUAACACUUCACUCUAAUCUGGAAGAAUUUUAUGUAAAAGCAUGUGUGCCUAUCAGGAAAGAAAACAUCGAAGCAACUCCUGAUCCGUCUGAGUUUAGCUAGUUGCUUAGGGACGAGCAAAGGGUAAGCUUGGGGGAGUUUGUUGACGGUCCUUAAGUACUAAAAUUAAUAAUCAAAUAAACAUGAAAAAGGAUCAAUAUGAAACAAACAUCUAGAAUUAGGGUUUUAUCUGACAGAAUUCCACGAGCUUUGGUGUUUAUCUAUUUCUGCAGGGGGUUAUUAGAGAAUACGGAGAGAAGGCCCACAUGUCAUGUUUACAACGAGAUAAUUACGUGCCGCGCAAUUUUCCUCAAUCUAGAAGGGUCCAGAAGCCACGGGAACGAACGAGAGCACGAUCGGGCUCGGGGGCAGGGCGGCCGCCCACCCCCCUUGGGCGCCCGCCCAGGGUUGGAACCCAAUCGGGACUCUGCUUCGGGACUACGCUCCACCGGCCUAAAGGAUCAAUCUAAACCAUACAAUCUAUGUCAGUUUGAUCCAAUGGCUCACGUUCACUUGAGGGGACUAUAUAACCAAGGCCAAACCCCCCUGGAGGGAGGAGAAGAGAAGAAAUAAUUAUUCAGAGGUAGCCAUCAAAGUUAGGGUUUAGAGCUUCUCUCCCACAGAGAAUUAGAAUUAGCUACUCCCUAAUCCUUCAAGUUUAGAGGUUUGAUUAGAUAGCAAUUAGAGAAAUAGAGCACUAUGCUCUGGAUUCGGAUCUUCGGUAAUAAAGAUUGGUAUUAUUCAUAUCUUUCUCUAAUUCUUUGUUCUAAUUACAUUAUGUCUCUAAUUAUUAUGUUCUUAGUUUGUUCUAGUUCUAUAUUUGAUAUAGUUCUAAUUGAUAAUGAGUUUAUGUGUAAGUUUGCAAAGCGCUUAGCUCUUGACGCGAGAGAGUUAGGUGAUAGAUCACAUGUGAGCGUGGUGCUUAGAUGUUAUUUAUCUGCAAAUGUAUCCUAUUGGCCGGGUCGUGUGGUAGUUCACGAUAGUGACAGCUUCGUUGAUUCUUAUAUAGUCGACCCUCCGUUGAUAGGACAGGCAGAACCGGUAUUGUGGAGUAAGUCAUGCGAUGCUCUGAUUUACUUUAUCAAUGUUCCUUAUACAUGAAUGAAGAGUCUUUUAUGCUAUAUAUGAUCUUGUAGAUAACUAGAGUAGAUUAUGACUUAGUAGUUAGUAGAUAACUUAGAAUCCAUUCUCUAGCUAAUCCGACAUCACCCAUAUAUAUGAGGAGUAGUCUAUUUUCUAAUCGCUGUGUUAUCUACCCAUGAACUUAUACUUUAUUAUCAUUAUCUGUAUGGUUUACCCCCUGCUAAAGUAAGUGACUGUGUGACGAGUUUCUCAUUAGUAAUCAUGUUCUUGCAAGUUUAUCUCUAGUCUAUGCCUUGAUAGAUUUUGCCCUUAAUUUAAUCUCCUUAGUUCUCUCGAGCGAAAUUAUAAAUAACGAUACCUGGAAUACUUAUCCUGGUGAAAUGCUACAAUGAGGUGUUUUAUCUGUGUGCUUGCAGAUAGAAUAGAUUAUUUUCUAUAGAGCCUUUACAUUUAUAAAUACCUUUGUACACUCUGGCACCAUGCUGGGGAUGACAACCUAGUAUCUAAGUGGUGUUAGCUAGUGUCAACAGAGGUGCAUUCCUUUCUCUCACCAUUAAUGAAGCUACUGCCCUCAUCGAGAAGAUGGUGGCAAAUCAAAGCUGGGGAGAAGGAAGGAAGACACAAAAGGGCUCGCAAUCUACGAAGGAGGCAGAUGUGCUUGCCGCAAAAAUAGACUUGCUGCUACAAAGGAUGGACGGACAAGUUGCAAAUCCCAACAUGGGCACCGUCCAAGCUGUGAACUCACACACAUCGUGUGAAGUUUGUGGUGAUGAUGGCCAUUCGGGGAACAAUUGCCCCGAAACCCAAGAAGAAGCAACAUAUGUCAACAAUGGGCUUCGACCACCACAGCAAGGUAACAACGGGUGGAACAAUCAGCACUGCCCGCAGGGUAAUUUCUUCAAGCAGCCUUCCUUGAAAGAUCUGGUCAUAGGGCAAGCUAAAAUCAACGAGAAUCUGACCAAGAAGUUGUCCUACAAUGACAAGAUCAUUAAGAACAUCAACGCCAAGCUUGAAACUCUUUGUUCAUCUGUCAAAAGUCAGACGAGUUUCAACAAGAUGAUAGAAACACAGAUAGCAUAGAUAGCUGCAUCAAUUCCAGUCACUCACACAGAGAGGAUCCCAGGGCAACCGGAAACCUCUACUGAGUUCGUCCAUGCAGCCACAGGAAAAUGAAGGAAGGAAAGUCUUACCAACAGACUAUAAAUGUUGAGCCCUUGCCGAAGGCAUUCGGUAGUUAUCUAAAAAAACUAUAUAAUAAAAAUUAAAUUUUGUGCUAUUUGUGUCCCAAUAAAGGUAUCUGAAGGGGGCCCACGACAUCAAGCAAGCUUGGGGGAGGCGUCCCCGCUCAGGUAUUAUGUCUUUUUAAAAUUCUUUAAAUUUUGUUUCAAAUUCCCGUUUUAUAGAAAGUUUUUAUUUUUAGUUUCCAAAAGUUUCCCUUUCUAUAGUUUUAUUUUAGUCAAAAAUAAAGUUUCUCUGAAAAUCUUAUAAAAAUUAUUUUCUCAUAGAAUAGAUUUUUCCCUUUUCCAAAUCUUAUUUUUAUAUAAUUUUUGGAAACCAAAAAUAUUUUGAAUAAAUAUGUGGAAAAUCAAAAUCUGGAGCAAGAUUUCGAACCAGGUUUGAUCGUAAACAGAGGGACGUUGGGGAGAGCCGUUGGAGCCAGCGGCCAAAAGGCCGGGCAGAGGCGGGCCCACCACUGGUGCCGGCGCACCUAGGUGCGGCCGCCCCCUGCCCAAGGCCUGCUGGCCUCGGCCUUUUGGCAACGGCUAGUAGCCGUUGAGGGGGGCGCUCCCCCAUAUGCGAUCAACUCUAUAAAUAGAUAGGAUCUCGGGUGGAGCACCUCACCCCUCUCACACACACAUUUUUUUACUCUUCCCUUCUUCACUCUCUUGCUCCACUUUGCUUUAUAGCCUACUCCACAAGCUUAGUGCAAGAAAAUUCUAUCAAAAACCUCUUGCACACUUUCCUCUCCAAGCGAAAACACCAUACACUUGUGCUAGCUCGUCCACCAUGAAUAGAAUUUUCGAGCUUAGAAGGAGCCGCUGCCAACGCAGGGAAGAUCCACCAACCCCUGCAAGGAAUGAGCAGCCGGCACAUGGAGGAGAGGAGGAGGAGCCACAAGGCCACGCCAUUGACGAGGCCGACGCCCCCUUCAUCGACUUGGAGAGCGAGCGGGAGAUGCAGGCAUACAACCUCAUGAAGGAACGCGAGUUCCUCUAUUCCCCGGCUUUCGACCCCGCAUUCUUGCACCAAAUAGGUAUGGAUGUUGAGUUUGAUACUAUUUUUCGAGCAUCUUGGUUGGAGUAGAGUUGCCCCUGUUCAUGAGCUUGGGUCACGUCUUUUGACGAUCCAAAUUUUGGGCACACUACAAAUUGUCGAUUAUGGUAUUACCUUCUGUUGCUUUGGAAGAGAUUUUGGUAUUUAUUGGAAGGAUCUUGCCAACCAUUUGGGUUUCCACGAGCGGUGCUCCAUUGACUUAGUUUCUCCCUCGGGGGUUACCAACGUCAUGCUUUCUGGCAUUUGAUCUCAGGGCAACACGUCGUUGGAAAGUUUCAGGGGCAUUUUGCCAACAUCCAUCACCCCACUCUAAGGCUUCUCCAUAAGUGGAUCGCUAGUUCAUUCUUUACAAGAGAUGAUACGCAUCUUACUUACGACAUAGAGUUGAAGUUGCUUUAUGCUACGCUCAAAAAGAUUAAGGUUGCACCUGUUGUUGGGCUUGUUAAUCAUUGGUUGCAUUCCAUUAAGACUUCAACUGCUAUCAUGUGCACAUCUCUUAUUACUUUCCUUGUUGCAAGUGUUGAUCCCCAUGCUGCUAAUACCAUUAUUUACAUCACUACUCCUUCCAUCAUGAUUAAUGAAUCAUAUCUUUCGCAUGCACAUAUGAUUAAACGCGACGAAACAGGUAAAAAGAUCCAGUUACCUAACCCAUAUCUCGCUCUGUAUAAUUCCCCAUCACUCACCUUCACCCUCAUUGAGAAGUAAGGAGGACGCAGGAGCUCUAUUUCACACUGGAACUCACAGAGGAGGGAACAAGAAGAGCAGGCAGCACAGACAGCACAACCAGCACCAUCCACACAGCCAGCACAGCACACUCCAUCACCAGCUAUGCCAGGGAUGGGAUGGACCCCUGCUAUACCUGCACCUGGAUUUACCCCUAGGUAUGGAUAUGGUAAGGGAUACUUCCUCACCCCUACGAGGCUGGAGGUUCGAGCUGGAAGGCAGGAGGGUCGAGCUGGCAGGCGCACAGAUGCGCAGGCCCAAGCGAGCCAGAGGCAUAUGGGGUAGGGGGAUCCAGGCAUCACGAGCUAGGACACUCCUCAGAUUCCGAGGGAAUGCCACCCCUUGUUCGCCCUCAGGUAACACUAGACGUCCUCAGCACUCGCAUGGGAGGACUGGAGGUCUAGAAUAGGCAGAUCUAAGGUAUGCUGAAUGCCCACAUCCAGACACCUACCCAAUGGCAUCAGCAGACCCAGCAGAGCUUCAUCGACCUUGAGGAUGCAAGCCGUCGUCGGCACGAGGCACAGAUGGCCUACCUGCGAUCCAUGGGACAUUUCCCUGGACCACAACAGUGAGCUAACUUGGGGGAGGACCCCCACAAGAGGUAACAUGUAUCUUACAUUCUUGCACUUAAUUUUAGUUCUUAAUUUUAGUAUUUAAAUUUCAGCAAUUUUUAUCUUUCAAAAAAAAUUCCACUCUCAUGUGCGCUAUGAUAUGUUAGUUUCUCUUCUGUUGAAAUGAUGAAUAGUUGCUCUAUCUAUAAUUCUCUAGUAUUUAAGUUAUAAUUUAGUGUUCAUCAAUAUUUAAGUUUGUUGGCUAAAAAUGUCUCAUUCUGAGAACUUGAAAUCUUGUGGGUUGCAAAUGCAUGAUCCUUUUCUAAGUUGUUGCGAGACAUGAUAUGGUAUAAAUAGAUUUUGCUAUGACUUUGUUCUAAGAGAAACUUGACAUUCGGAGUUUUCUUUUCAAAAAUUCAAAACAAAGAGUUCCUCAAUGAUUAUGAAAUACCUACCAAGGCCAUAUGACUUGCUUAGUAGUUUGUACACCUUAAGUCAUAUGUGGCUUGCAGCACUUUGAGUUGAGUCAAAUCCCAGGUAUCCUAGAGUGAGAUUAUGGUCAUGCACCCAUGAUAUGAGAUUCACGCACCCACCAAAUAAAGCCGACUCUCACACUGAGAAGUUGCUCACAACAUGCACCCUUCCAUCCACCAAAAAUAUGCCAACUUUUACCCUAAGAGUUGCGCCUUAGCUUCCACCAAAUAAGUAUGCCGAACUCUCACCCUGAGGUUUGCGCAUCCCCAUACACAAUUUUACUCCUUACAUCACCAUCAUGACAUCUCACCAUUUUCCUCUUUGAGAUCCCUUUGAAACAUGUGGGCAUCAGUUAUCCAAAGGGCAUGGACGGGAAAAUCAAAAUGCCCCUCAGAAUAUAUAUAUAUAUAUACAUAUAUGAUCCAUAUUUUUAGGGCCCAUAUGUUUACAUUCUCUCAUUCUCUUCCUCAAAUAAAGAGAGUCAUGAUACAAGGAGUAACCAAAAAUAUUUAGAUAGGACUACCACCAAAAAUUCCACACACUUGCACAUCUCAAUCAAGGUGUAUGACUUGUAUCUCCUCAUGGUCCGGGCUUUGACUUGGCAACACAAGUGUCAUAAGUACGCCCACCUAUAUACCUUCCCAAAGCUCCAUUCUCAGCCUUAGUGGUAGGUCUUAAUGGCAAACACAAAUGCCUUUGGUGAGGAUUUCAUACACAUUGAGCGAUCGGGAGAAUCAUUCGAGGAACUUAUUUAUUUUGCAAAACUUUAUAAAACCUCCUGAUUGAUGGUCUAUCAAGGGAUGAAUGAAUGGUGAGUCUGUUACAACCAUUGUAUCUUGCAACCACCCAAGGACUUGGAAAAGCUAUAAGCCCCAUGAGAAGUGUAACACCCCAGUGUUAUGGUUGCAUCAAACAUGUGCAUAGCAUGAGCAUCAUUAUGUAUUCAAAAGCAUCCAUGAUCAUCAUCUAUCUUGGGACAUGGCAUCCUUUGCAAAAAUGUGUUUUAAAUGGCUUAGAUAGGCUUUCUAUGCUUAUGUUUGGGUGAACAAUGCUUGUGUUUGUGCUUAAUGCCUUGGUAAACAGCUUAUCUAUGCUUAACUUAACCUUGGAAACAAUGUUCAUGUUGAUCACUUCUCCAAAAUAAUCACUUAAGUCUUACUUAUGCAAAUAGGCCCUAGAAACCUCUUUUGCUUAGGCUUUUAAAAAGUGUUUCAUAAAAUGUUUGCAUGUCAAAACUUCCUACAGCAAAGUUGUAGCAAAUUUUAUAAGGAACAAAAGUUGUUUUAUGGCCAUCUCAUGAAAAUGAUCACAAAUAGCUCAAAAGUGGCCCACAAGGCAGUUUUGGGGCUGUUUUCCACACUUAGAAAUUUUCUAAGUCCUGGGGGCUUUGCAGUUUGCUCGAGGGGUGUUCUUCACCUUCCCGUUUGAAUUCUAGAGCGAAUCAAGCCUUGAUCUUGUAAGCAAUGUUGGAGUACUCGUGUAGCUCUCUGGCAUGGAGCAAUUAGCCAGCAAAAUCAUCGAGUGAUUAGGGAGUAAAUCGUUGGGCAAAAUCGAGUUUCAGUCGGUUUGGGGAGACUGAAUCGCGUCGUCGUUCAGACAGGGGGAGCUCGCCGGUGUGCCGCGUGUCUGGACCCGUGGCGUCCGUACGUCGCCGUUGGCCCCGCCCGUCAGUCCUCCGCGCGUCCUUCAUCUCGCCCCGGCGCCCCGGUCGCGUGGACAGAGCCAUUUCCGCUCCCGGUGUCCUCUCUCUCUCGCGCGUCGUCGUUUCCGCGUCGCCGCCGUUGCUUCGGCGAGCUCGCGCGCGCGCAUCUCCGUGUCUCCGGCCAAGCAGCUCGGUCCAGCGCUCCGCAAGCCUCUCCUCUCCACCGUCGUCGAGCUGGUUGCGAUUGCCGAGCCUCGGUGAGCCCGCAUUGCCUGCUCCGACGCGAGCUUACCUCGCCGGAGUUCCGCCAUGGCCACCGGCGUCGUGGCCAGGGCUCUGUAGUCCGCCAUUUCUUCUCAUUCUUGUCCCAAAAGCUUCGCUAGGUCUUGCUGUUGCUCGUCCUCGUUCUCUUCUGCCCUGUCUCCGGCCAGAGACGCCGGCAGUCGGCCGCGCACCACCGCCGUGCCGCCAUUCGCGAGGGCGAGGUACCUAGAGCUCGGUAGAGUUAGGGUUUUGGGUACCGCUAGAUGCGGAAUCCAGUGGGGAGCACGAUGGUGCCUUGGCCAGCGCCGAGACCUCGCCGUCGGCGAGAUCUCCGGCGGUCAAGCCGCGCCUCUGCUUCGGUGUCACUGGCAGGUGGGGUCCGUUGACGCGCGGGUCCCCUCUGUCAGUCCCUCUUUCUCCUUUGUUUAAAUCAGAGUUUGAGCUGAUUUUGUAAAAAUCAUAUCUCUAGUUCUAGUGAUCCAAAAAUUGUGAAACAAAUUUCGUGUUGUUUCUUGAGAUGGCUAGUAUUUAAUAAAAAUAUAAAAUGAAUCAUGUUUUCUGGGAAAUUAUUUAUUAAGGAUUUAAUCUUGUUAUUUAUGGAUAAAUGCAUAUCUCUGGUUAUACUGCUUAGUUUGCUUUUAAAAUUUUAUGGUAGUCUUUGCAUGGCAUUAGAGUGCUCUGAUAAUUAUUUCAUGAUUUUUGGAGCACUGCAGUUGUGAUAUGCAAUUUGUGUUUGAAAUAUGGCUUGUUUCUUUAAUUAAAUCACAUAAAAUAAUUGGUGCUUAUGCUGGUGCUCUAUUUUGGUGGUAAACUUGUUUAUGGCAUUCCUAAGAUAUAAAUAAUCUGAAAUCUGUUGUUUGACACCAUAUGAGUCAUGUCUAUGAAUUUAUGAAAUAAAUGCCUUGAUACAUGUUAAAUGCAUAUCUUUAAAUUGGCAUGUGCAAUGGUCCUGAAAAUUUUAUGGUGUUGAUCUGAUGUUAUACUUGUGCCUCUGUAAUUUUUGUAGAUUUUUCUGAGCACUUUAACUAAUAUCUUGUAAAUAUGCCUUGCCUAAAAUUAAUUAAUAAAUGCCUUGUUAAGUAAUUGUUUUGGGGUUUUCAACUGAUGAUCUGGUGACCUUGUGAUUUGUUUGUGCCCAUGAGCCUUAUGGUUGGCUUAGUUUGUGUCUUGAUCAUGUCAUUAAAUAAUUAACUAUAGGGUUAAAUGCUGUCUGGACAGCAAGUGAAUAAUUUAACUUUGCUUAAUGAUAAGUUGACUUUCUGUGAAACUUGUAUAAAACAAAGUUGUUCUAAACUUGUUGAACUAACUGUGGUUCAAAUUUGAGGUCAUUUGGCCAAGUAGUUUAAAAGUUACAGCUGUUCCAAGUUAGGUUCCAGAAAUAGGGGUUCUCUGUUUUUCUGGGACAGAACCUGGAACUUUGUUAAAAUGACUAGUUUAAGGUUUGAAUCUUGCUGUCAUGUUUAAAGAUGGGUUGUAGAUAAUUUCCUAAGCUUUCCAGAAUGUCCUUACUCAUGUUUGUUGGACCUGUCUAUCUAUACUUAUGAUUUAUUUACUGAGCAUACUUGUUUUAUGUUGCUUGCUGCUUUAUUGCCAUGAUAGGUUUUGAGUUAUGUUAACUUGUUUAUUCUUGUGAGUUAGUAUAACUCUUGUUCCGUAAAUGAGUGUCCAGUGAGUUGCUUGUGCUAUUAAGCAUUCAUCUGUAGCAUGUGCACCUUCUCAUUCAUCGAGCAUGCAAUAGGUGCACCGGACGUGGCAGUUUCCUUCGAGCUCCAAGCGAACCCCGAAGGCCAGGAAGGCAGCCAGGAGGUGGAGGUCCAGCAAGUCGGACUCGAGGAGCCCGAAGAAGAAGUUGAGUGUCCAAGUCAUGAGCCGGCAUCGUUCGUGAAAGGCAAGCCCCGGAGCAUUUUAAGCCUCCUCUAUUUUCGAAAGUUUACUUAAUACGUUAUAUCUAUUGCUGCAUUACGUAUAGGAGUUGUGAUGAAACUGUUGCUGCAUUCUACUCUAUCCUUGUCUAGAUAACUUACCCUCCCUGGUUGUAGAGUUAGGUUCGAGUAGCAGCUUAGCUAUGCUUUAAUCAGUAGAAGUCGGGUGAUAUCCUGUCAUCCGCGCGAUAUAGGGUUGUGUCGGGUCGCGAUGGUCUAUAUGUGCUAUCGUGGAUGGAACCUGGUUAAUUUGACUUAAGCCGGGCGGAGUUUUGCAAGUGUGUAGUAACUCCGUCUGUGGCAGCUAAGGACCGAUCGUUGUACGUCCUCUUGUCAUGUUGAACGCAUGCCUGACACUUAGUUGGCCGGAUAACUCGUUCCGACCGCGAAGCCGAGUAGUAUGACUCAGACCGGAAGACCGGCAAGUAUAAAGUGCGCACUACCGGAGGGAGUGCGGUGUGCGGGGGACCAUUGGCGUAAGUCCAAAGGCAGGUGAGUUAAAAUUCCUGACCUCCCUGGCAGAGUGGUAGCCCUGGGAGUGCGGCGCUGAUCGGAGCCGCGAUUUCUGAGUCGUACCAAAGGUGACCCUUUGGCUCUCCGGCAGGGGAUGCUUGGGUGAGUGCUAGGAAUAAACCUCCAGCUGGAUAGGAAUUCGAUUCGAAUCGCCGUCUCUCCCGGUUAGUGAGAACUUGACAGAGCAGCGGCAAACGUAGCAUUCACUAACGAACUUGGUUCAUGAUAAUGAUGAUAGCAAGAAGAACAUGUGAUAAAAUUGAUAUGGUUACUAUUGUUUGUAAUAAUCAAAUGAUGUGUUGUAGUACAGGUGCUAAUCUAGCGGUAGGCUGAUGAUAAAUAAAUUUGAUGCUCUUAAAAUGAUUUAGUUGUAAGUUAAGCUUUUGGCAAAAAGGUGAGUCAACCAGCUCCACUUAAAAAUUCAGCCUUGCAUGAUCCUUGGUGUCUUUUAUGUUUUCCUAGACGGGUAAGUCUAGCUGAGUACAACCUCGUACUCAGGGUUUAUUCCCACCUGUUGCAGAUGAUAUCUUCUAUGACGGUUUCUGCAAGACCUGUCUCCAUCCCGCUGGGGAUGAGGACUAACCGUUGGGCACGGUUCUCUAAUCUUCUCGUCUAUGAUGCUUUUGGAAGGAUGACCUAGACUCUGGCAGUAACAAACUUGUGAACUGAACUUUGAGCAAGUGUGUGUACUUAUUUUGCUUCCGCUACUUCGAACAUGUGUUGUAAUAACUUAAUACUCCGAUGUGGUGCCGCUUCGACGGCAAUGAAUGACUAUGUAACAAUCGUUGUGUUUAUGUUGAACUAUUACGAUCUUGGUUUGUUGCGAGUUGGUUGGAAGUCCCUCGUGAUUUCGAUUGACUACCGGGAUUAUAUGGGCUCAAGUCUAGAAACUUGAUUGCUUGACGAUCGUUUCUGCACUUGAACUCUUAUAAUUUGGUCGGUUCUGUGACAAGAAGUAAAGGUAAAGAGUGGAUAGCAUGCCAUCUUAUUUAAAUUGUGAACGAAUGAUUUGUUAUCGGUAUGGUACACUUGAAUUAUAUCGGCAUAGUAGCAACUCCUGAUCAACAACCAUACUUAAUUAUUUGCUCGAGACGAGCAAAGGUUAAGCUUGGGGGACUUGUUGGCAGUCAUUAUAGACCAAUCAUAAACUGCCAACUUGAUCCAAAAGGAGAAGAAGCGAUCAUAUUAUAUACACACAUGCAUUUUAUUACUAACAAAUUCCACUUGUACCAUAGUGAUUAUAUUUUGUAGGAAUUAUAGUGCAACAAGUGGAAAUGAGCCAUACCAUGAAGAAAGCACAAAGUACCAAAAGACGUAUUUAGAAAUGCACAAACCAAGAAAAUAGAGAAAGACCCAAACAACUCAGAAUUGGGCCUGAUCGUAACCAUGGGAGAGAUCCAAGCCCAGAGCCAAACCGACCAUGCGAAGGCAGUGGCCAGGGGGACCCACCCAGGGUGCGGCCGCACCCUGGUGCGGGCGCACCCCUGGAGGCAGCAAACCGGGCCCAUCUUUCUCAGGCGGUUGCAUACCACCAUGCAUAGGAUAGUUUCACCUACUACCAAAUUUAGAUUCGACAAACCGUCCUAGUUCCACUAUAAAAAGAGAGGCACUCCCCCCUUUUCAACACACACAUCAUUUGGAGUCAAUUUACCUCACACCUCUCACUUGUAUCUUUAGUCUAGAUUAGUAGUUGAGCAAGGCAAGAGCUAGCAAGGAGAGCUUGUCUCCUUGGAAGAAAGGAUUUUUUUGGUAUCAAUAAUAUUCAAUCUUCUUCCAUGAGCAAGUUCUAUUCAUCUUUAUAUGAUUAUGCAUAUGAACUAGAGUAUGGUUGUGUUCUUAUCAUAUGAACUAGUUCUAUGAACUAUAGUAUAUGAACUAGUUCUUAGUUCUUGUGCUAUGUUCUUGAUAUGUUCAUCAUUGUUCUUCAUUGUUCAUCAGAUUAGUAUGAUUAGGAUUAGAAUUAGGAAUGGGCUGAUGGUUCACUGUGCUGUGAUGGUUGCUCUUAGCCUAGCCUGUCACUCCGAAGGGGUGGGGCCCGCAGGGGUUAGGAGUUGUUUCCAAUUAUGUGAACAUGGUGUUCAGGUAUGCAGGAAUCAGUGGAUGUGCAGGUAUCUUUCGGGUAGAGGGGUAGGUGGUAGGGUAGUGACCGCUCUGUCAUCUAUUGCAUUCCCCGACGAUCAGGUAUUCCGAUAGGAGUUCUGUAAAGUCUCUAUCGGCUAGGUAUCCAGCUGCGGGGAUCUCCCCUCAUCUCAGGCUUAGUUCUAACUCUAUUUAUUGCUAAUUAGAUGAUCUGCUAAUAGUUCUAUGCAUAGUUAUAUGUGACCCAUGCCUACUCAAGUAGAUUUAUUUCUUUAUUCUUUAUUUAUUAUUUCUCUUCUAUUUUAUCCUUGAGAUUGAUCCAAUGUGUGUCCACUAUCUUGAAUAUCAUGUUUAUUCCUGUUUACUCUAUGUCUACCAAGCAUUCAAUAAGUAAUCAUGUUUCCACCAUGUUUGAUCCCGUUGCCUUCCCACGGGAAUUAUAAAUUCGACACCCUUGAGUACUCACGGGUUGAAAUGCUACAAUGAUAGUUUUGUCUGCUUGCACUUAUAUUACUUCUUCAUUCAUGAACUAUUGAUUGGUGUACCUAAGUACCAUUACUUAAGAUUCUAAUCCUUGUGCACUUUCAAGCGUAGUGCCAUAGCUUUGCAUAUCGCAAGUAAGGAUGGUUAGGAAGACCAAUCCGACAUUCCUAAUUAUUGUUACCAGACAACACUGCUAAGACCGACACCCUCGAGUUGCCUUGGGUUAUCUCUCUAAUUAUAGCGAUAGUUACGGUAUGCCAACACCCGACAUUUCUGGUGCCAUUGCUAAGGAUGGAUCUAUGGUCUAUUUUUAGUGGUGACGCUAAGAAAUGCCAACAACGAGCACGCCUAUGAAUGCGACAUUGAAUGCGUCGAGUACAGGGAGGUGGUCGAGACCACCACCGAGCUCGCCUCGAAGCUCAAUCCCCUCGUCGCUUAGGCUCUAGACCCAAAGCGCCAGGCGGGCAACUUCGAGCCAGCAGAAGGCACAAAGAAGGUCCCGCUCGACCCCAAUAACUCUGAUGGCAAGGUGCUGACGAUCAACGCCGACCUCGACCCCAAAUAGGAGGCCAUGCUCGUCGACUUUCUCUGUGCAAACGCCGUCAUGUUUGCAUGGAGUCCCUCAGACAUGCCUGGCAUACCGAGGGAAGUCGUUGAGCACUCCUUGGAGAUCCGAAGCGGUUCUAGACCAGUGAAGCAACGCCUGCGCCGCUUCGAGGAGGAGAAGCACAAGAUCAUUAGCGAGGAAGUCCACAAGCUUUUGGCGGUUGGAUUCAUCAAGGAGGUUCAUCAUCCCGAUUGGUUAGGAAACCCUGUACUAGUUAAGAAAAAGAAUGGGAAAAUGAGGAUGUGUGUAGAUUAUACCAGUUUAAAUAAAGCAUGCCCGAAAGAUCCAUUUCCUUUGCCAUGUAUUGAUCAAAUUGUCGAUUCCACCACGGGAUGUGAAACCCUUUCGUUCCUUCAUGCUUAUUCUGGCUACCAUCAAAUAGAAAUGAAAGAGUCUGACUAGCUCGCGACCUCUUUCGUCACCCCUUUUGGGAGGUAUUGCUACAUGACCAUGCCCUUGGGACUUUGAAACGCUAGGGCGACGUACCAACGGUGCAUGCUCCACAUUUUUGGAGAACACAUAGGGUCGACGAUCGAGGCAUACAUCGAGGAUAUCGUCAUCAAGUCGAGGAUGCGAGGCGACCUGAUUCAGGACCUCGAGAUUGCAUUUGGCUGCCUGCACACCAACAAUAUCAAGCUGAACCCUGAAAAGUGUGUCUUUGGCGUGCCUCGAGGCAUGCUCCUAGGAUACAUAGUCUCCCAGCGCGGCAUCGAGGCCAACACUGAGAAAUUCUCGGCCACCACCAAAAUGGAGCCAAUUCGAGACGUAAAGGGCGUGCAAAAGGUGACGGUCUGUCUAGCAACACUCAGCAGCUUCAUCUUGCGGCUGAGGGAAAUAGCGCUACCAUUAUACCGGCUCCUGAAGAAAGUUGAACGCUUCGCAUGGACCGUCGAGGCUGAGUGUAACAUCCCUGAUGUAACGGAUACUAAAACUGGAUCAUGUCAUCAUAAGCGUCGCAUAGCAUACUUGUUGAGCACAUCUUGAUGCAUCAACUUAAAACAUGUUUAAUUUGGUUGCUUGUGCUUAGGGAACUAAAGUGUGCUUGUGUUGUGAAAUGAUGCUUGUGUGGUUGUGUAAUCCUUAGUGUUGGAGGGUUCUGAGGAAAGGUGGGAGAAAACCCUAAUUUCAAUACUCUAGUUUUUGCCCCCUUUUGUGCAACUUAAAAACCAAGCAAAAUUUGGGGAUGAGUUCAAAAGAAAAGUUGUAGAUCUUGACAAGAUGUACAACUUUGGUGUUUUGAGUUUUUGAAGUUUUAAUACAAAAUUCAAAGUAAUUUUGAAAAUACAGAUUUCCAGAAAGUGUCCCCUUUUCUAAUUUGAAUCUCCAAUUCAAAAUCUACUUGGAAUUUUGAGAAGUGACCAACAUGAAAGUUGUAGAGCUCAAAAAGUUGAACAACUUUCAUGUUGGGAGUUUUUCAAGUUGUUAUGGAAAAUCAAAAGUAAUUUUGGAAAUUCUGAUUUGUCCCCAAUUGUCCCCUUUUCCUAUUUGACUCCCUAAUUCAAAAUAAAGUUGGAAUCUUGAAAAGUGAUCAAAAUGAAAGUUGUAGAGCUCAUCAGAUUGAACAACUUUUAUUCCAGGAAUUUUUCAAGUUAUUGAGUAAAAUCAAAAGUAAUUUUGGAAUUUCUAUCUGCCCUAGUUCAAAUUGGAAUUUCCCCCAAAUUGGAAUUUUGAAUUUCAAACAGUUUUCCUUAAAUUCAUGCCCUUCCACUCAAAAUCAGCUCUGGACCCUUAAAGGUGUUUUGUAGCAUUCAAAAUUCUGAACAACUUUUGCUUUGGCAGAAAUUUGACUUCAAUUCAAAUUUUGGAAGUAUUUUGCAAAAGACAGGAAAGGGAGGGAUAUGGCUCGCUACAGUGAUCCGAUGAGGAUCACGAGCACCUCUGCCCAGCGCGGCAGCAGAGCGUGCAGCACCGUGCGCGUGCAGCGCCGCCACGCAGCUGCUUGCCGGCCGUGUCACUGCGUGACGUGGACGCCCGCAACCCCUUCGCCUCGUCCUGUUGAGCGCCCGCGCGGCCGACCUCGAGCUCCCUUGCUUCGGCGACCAAAAACACCCGACGAUGCUCUACCGCCCAAUACGCCCUGUGUGCUUCCCCUUUAGCUAAAUCGAGCUCUCCACCAUCUCCGCCACCCCCUUGCGAACCCAGCGUAUGCCCAGGAACACUCCCUGCCCCUCUCAAUCGGCCAGAGUUCCUCUUCUUCUCCAACUCCGGCCGACUUCCGCCGUGAGCCCCCUUCCUCGUGGUCAGGCCAUUCUACAAGGUAUCAAGCCGAGGUAAGAGAUGUUAGAGCUUCACCGUGCUGUCCCGAGCUCAUGCGCUCGCUUCUUAGUCUUACGCACGCACAGGUCCACCGGAACGACGUCGCCAAGCCGGAGCGCCCGUGUAAAGAAGCCGCCACCGUCGCCAGCAACCUUGGCUACCUCUCCGACCUCGGUGACGUGAGCAUCAUGCUCCUUAUCCCUCCUGGAAGCUCUCUAGCGCGUUAGCUCACUCUCUAUUGAGCUCUCGUGGCCGGUCUACGUGCGACCAGUGCCACCGUCCGCAAUGUGUGUGGCCAGGGUGUGGAGAGAGGGUAGAGUGCCCGUAGGCAGGGUCAACGGGGUCACGAAGGAGAGGUGAAGCCGCUGCGCUUCGUCGCGAGGGCUGGAGCCCCGCCAGCGGCGGCCGGAAGCACAACCGAGCCACCGGCGAGGUGAGAGACGGCGACGUCGUGAGAGGGGGAAGGCGUGUGCAGCGUGCGGGCCGAGGUGCUGGGCCGCCCUUGGCACAACGCCGUUUUUCUUUUCCUUUUUGUGCAAAUUUGAUUUAUGUUUGAUUUUGUGUAGAAAAUUAUGUGCUAAUCCAAAAAUAGUAAAAAUAUUUGAGUAUGUUCUAUGCAGUGAGUAGAACAUAGGAAAAAUGUUAAAUUCCAUUUUCUGAUAAUUUGAACCUGUAUAAAAAUUGUAUCCUUUAUUUAGUAAAUAAAACUUCCAUGAAAAUUAGGAAUUUAUUAAUAUGUCCAAAAAUCACCAAAAUUGGUGAGAUGUCUCUCGAUAUUAUUUCCUAGCUUCACACAAAAUUUGGUGGCAUUUGGAUAAUGUUUGAAUGAAAUAUUAAUAUACCCUUAAUUUGUAAUUAAGUGAUAACCCUAAAAUAUUUAGAUAAUAAUUAGCUUAAUUUCUCAAAUUAGGAUUUGAGUGCUUUUGGGAUUGUGUGAUGACCUGAGGUCAUUAAUCUUAAUGACCUUUGGCAUGUAAUUAUGGUUUGGUAUUAAUACUUAAUUAUUGUCAUUAACACUUAUUUAAGGAUUAAUUGAGAUAAUUUCGAUUAAUAAUUAGUUAAUCAAGAAUAAUUGUAAAUUAAGAAAGGUCUUAGCUCACUGAUGCAACCUCUUGGGUAAAAACAUUAAAGUAAUAAACAACUGUAAUUACUGUUUAGCCUGUCUUUGCACCAAGAAGGAAAAUUGUACUCAACUCGGUCCUUCUUAUGUGUUGUCAUAAGCAUAUCAUGAGCAUGCAUCAUUUUGCGUAUAGUGCACGUUACCGAAGGAGCGACCGUUGAACCGAACCCCGAGGUUGGUGUUCUGCUCAAGGAAGUUGGACCCGAGACUUGGGAUGUCUUCGAGGAACCCACUCAGCUCUGCAACCAGGGCAAGCCUCGGAUGCAUUAACCCUUCCUUGAAUGUUUUAAAUCUUUUAUCACUUAUGAAUUAAAAAUACUGCAUUACGUAGUCAAGAAUCGGGCUUAACCUUCACUACCUUGAUAUUUGUUAGCCUGUCCUUGGCACCUGUUUUAUUUUAAAAACUACGUAGUGAUGCUUAGCCCUGCUUGUUAGAUAGGUUUUCAACUAAGAAAGUUUGAAGGGUUGUUGUGGAAUACUUUUAUGGUCAAUGAUGUUUCAACUUGAGAUUGGUCGGUGUACUUGCUUUAAGAAUGGAGUCUUAAAGUAGUGUCUCCAACUGUGUCAAUUAAGGACCGAUCCGUUGAUGGCCUGCUAUGUUGAGAAUUUAUAGUACUAGCCACCUGCCCUCGGUAAGCCCGGUCUUGUGAUUCCUCGAUGAGAGCGGCUACUCACGCAAUGGGUGUGGAGCGAUGGUGAGAGUAGCGUGUACCGUCCUAGCAAAUGGGUUGGAUGGUGGAGUACUGUGCUCUCGGGUGCCGUGAACCCGGUCAGAUCUUGGGAAAGCCAGAUUUCGGUUGACAUAUGCAAGAUUCGGUCCUACAUAUGUUGGGUGGUUAGGAACUCCAGCUGGGUUGCUAAGCGAUUCGAAUCGUCGUUGCUCCCUGAUUGGGAGACUCAAUUCCUUCGACCCUCAUCAUAGUUAGUAAUGCAACUGAAUUAAGGAAUGGGGAAAAGGGAAAUGUCUCAUGGGGUUCGGAUCCUGAUUCCCGAACUCAGAGUGACAUAAGCUAGUAUUAGCAGAGAAACCAGCGACCAGACACCGUUGCUGCCCUGCCGUCUCGAAAGCCUUCUCCCCUUCCCCUUNNNNNNNNNNNNNNNNNNNNNNNNNNNNNNNNNNNNNNNNNNNNNNNNNNNNNNNNNNNNNNNNNNNNNNNNNNNNNNNNNNNNNNNNNNNNNNNNNNNNNNNNNNNNNNNNNNNNNNNNNNNNNNNNNNNNNNNNNNNNNNNNNNNNNNNNNNNNNNNNNNNNNNNNNNNNNNNNNNNNNNNNNNNNNNNNNNNNNNNNNNNNNNNNNNNNNNNNNNNNNNNNNNNNNNNNNNNNNNNNNNNNNNNNNNNNNNNNNNNNNNNNNNNNNNNNNNNNNNNNNNNNNNNNNNNNNNNNNNNNNNNNGCUCCAUCGGGAGUAUGUUGCCUUCCUAGACCCAAGGGGGUAAAACCGGCAAAAUGAGGGUCGGAGGUUCCCUCCCAGAACAAACGCCCCUCAAUGAAAAGGGACAUUGGGAACAGUCAGAUCCGAAAGAGCAAUAUAGCCCUCAAAGGAGUCCAAGACUCCUUAAAGGCCUCGGGGGCUACACCUAUGGGGGUCGCUCGGCGACCCCCCACGGGAACUCGACCAUCAGAAGAACCCCUCUUCGAGGACAAAUGCUCGAACAGGGGCUCGGGGGCUACUCUCAACUGAUGAGCAUAUCAAGAGUAUCCGUACACAGGUCGAGGCAUCCGACUCGACGCCCCUCCCCCUCUCUAGUUGUGUGCACAGGCCAGGACGACCAUGGUCCCGAACACAGAAAGAGCGUCCUGCGAAUCGACCAGGGCUCGAGCGCCGGCUACCGUCGAAUACAGAAAGAGGCUCGAGCGAAUCGGAAGGCCUCGAGCGCAAGGACGCCGCUCGCCGCCUCGCGGGCACAGGAACCAGGGCAUUUAUUGCGCGUGCCGUGUUCUCACCUAACCCACCAGUCACGGGAAGCGUGAUAGGGAACAGGCACUCGUCCUGUCAUUCUUUUUGCAGCCUUCCCCACCAAACGAGCCAGAACGUGGCAGGACGCAGAAAGUGGGUCGGAACGUCUAAUCAAGACCCCCUUGAGAUGCCCAAGGUGGCUAGCGAGGCGUUACACGGCAUCCGACCCUCGAGUAGGCAUGUUUCCUUCCUGUGAAAGGGUCAGGUGACGAGUGACAGCACUUCAACCACUCCGACGCAGAUGCUGCCGCGACGUACAAGCAUGCAACAGAUAAACCAUCCUAGGACGGCGCACAGAGCGGGAUACAGGGGCACGCGUAAUCAUCAUGAAGCUACCAAGACAAGAUGGCUCGAGACCACGCCGAUACGGAGGCCUCGAGUAGGUCAGAGCGCCAUACCACUAUCGACCCCUACUCUGACGCCUAUACAUGUACCCUAGGCCUCUCCUGGAACUAUAAAAAGGGGAGGCCCAGGAGCGGAUAUAGAACAGGCGAUACAACACAACACACACGCUUAGUAGAGCUUCCACACUCCAUCUCCAUCCAUCUCACGCCUGUAUUCACCCCUGUACAAGCACUUAGGUGCAAGAUAAUACAAACACCUCUCCCCCCGCUGGACGUAGGGCCUUCUCUUGCCUGAACCAGGAUAAAUAUUUGUGUCUUUUCUUGCAUCACCAUCUGGAAAAAGGGGAGCACGCAUUCAAGUUUUACUCGUUGGUGUGACCCCCCAGGGGGAAACACCGACAGUUGGCGCGCUAGGUAGGGGUCCAGCGUGUUUUUCACUGAUUUCCCAUUCCUUUCCACAUGGCCACUCUCAUUUCGCCGAUUCCGCGCUCCACGGUGAUUUGGUUCGGGAGCCUCAAGUUCAUAUCUACUGGUUCCGGCUAUGACAUGAUCCUGCUCUCGGUCAAAGGACCGGGAGGAGCCCGCGUUGCGCCAGCACGAUUGAGGGCUCCGAGACGUGGACAGUGCCACCAUCACCCUUCUGCCUUGUCACGACCGACAGUUCGUGCCAGGCAGCAGGUGACACAUGAGCCGAUAGCCCCGCGCGCCGAAACCGCGGGUAUGGUAGCCUCACGCCACGAGGAUCGCACGACGACGACGGGAGACGGCACGCCACGCGCGCCCUCUCCCACCACUACGCUACUUCCACAUGGGCUGUUCGCCCCAAAAAGAGCGCUACCGUUCGGUCUGGACAAUGCCGCGACAUCGCUCGCUAGGGCGAUAUGUCCAAACGCCCAGACAUAUGUGGAGAGACCAAUGGUCCUCCCAUGCGAUACUGAGGAGCAGCAACGGACGCCCGAGCUGUCGGAUUUCUCCUAGGUACGAGGCCUCCGUCGCCUAGGGCCUGGGCGAUACACGAUCACCUCACUCAGGCAACGGCUGCUGGAGGAAGGACGUGGAUGCUUCUACGCCGCCGAGCCGAACUCCGGCUCUGAGUCCGACAGCUAUGACCCUACUAGGGAAUGUUUCAAUAUCGACGGGGCAGUAGAAACCACCGACGAGACACAGGACGCCGUUGCAGGCGGUCGAGUCCCUGUAGCAAGGGAGGACCCCAGGACGCCUGGGAAUGACGGUCAAAUCGACCCCCCUUCACAAGAAGACAGAGCCGCGUAAAUUGCGCAGCUGCGAGAGCUCAAAGCAAAGCUCGACGAGGAUCGCGACUGCCUUGUUUUGCUUGAACAGAUCAUCGAGCAGGACUUGCCUUACCCACCUGGUGGAAGUGUCCGCAGACGGGCUCGAGAGGUUCAUGGGCAGAUCGUCGGAGAUGGAGAGCCUGAGCAGCCCGUCAGCCGUUUCCCUCGAGCGGGCUAGAAUGUCGUGGCGGUGACAAUGCUGCUGUGUAAUAUGCCUGAACUGUCGAACUCCCAAGCGCGACGCAUUCGAGACGAGGUGCAGACUCUGCUCCAGGUGGCGGCAGUUCAGUAGGCCGAGAGCUCGGCCUCUCGACGUCGAGGGGCGGCCACAGAAAAGCGUGAUGAGCCGGCCUAGAACGAAAACGAGGUGUCGGUCCAUAAGUAGCCGCCCCCUCGAGGGAAAAAGACAACACUCGUCCUCCCCGUCGACAACUGACGACGACACGACGCGCGACGCGACAUCGACGAGAACCGUCGCCGUCGGUAUGGGGACGCAGAAGAGCGCGGUUAGAGCGCCCACCGCGGCGGGAGAUACGACAGCGACGAGGACCGGAUGGCCCCGGAACCGCAGGGCCCUCGGGUGUUUAGCAGGGCAAUCCGCAGCACGCCGCUGCCCAGCCCGUUCCGACCCCCAACCAGCAUUGCUAAAUACAACGGCAAGACCAAGCCAGAGCUGUGGCUGGCAGACUUCAGACUAGCCUAUCAGCUGGGAGGCGCUUGAGGGGACGAUCGAGCCAUCAUCCGACAGCUACCACUCUUCCUCUCCGACACCGCCCGCAGAUGGCUCGAGGAGCUCCCGGCCAACCAUAUCCACGAUUGGGUCGAUUUGGUCAGAGUGUUCGAGGGUAACUUCAAAGGAACCUACAUACGACCCGGCAACUCGUGGGACCUCAGCAAGUGCAAGAAGAAGUCAGGAGAAACUCUCUAGGAGUAUGCUCGACGCUUUUCGAAGCAACGCACCGAGCUGCCACACAUCCCCAACCAUGACGUCAUCCUGGCCUUUGUCUCUGGCACCACCAGUCGAGACAUGGUGCGGGAAUUAGGCCGGAACCGCCCUCAGACCGUCGACGAGCUGAUGGACGUAGUGGCAAACUACGCUGUAGGGGAAGAAGCGGUCGGUUCCUUCUUCAGCUGCGAAGGAAGGAAAGGAAAGCUGUCAGCUGAUGAUGAUGAGGGUCCCAGUCUCGGGAGGAAGUACUUCCGGCUCGAACAGCCUCGCCAGCCUUUCCCCAGGAGCUUCCGCAUCGUCGAUCAAGGCGUGGAGCCUCUCCUCGUUCUCUGCGUCGGUCUUGGAGAUAUCGGUGACUAAGCCAUGGGACACCACCUCCAUAUCGUAGGAAAAGCCUGAGUAGACAACUGCCAUUGCCCGCUUUACCCUGGUAUGGAGGGCGUCCCGCACCCGGUCCCUCAAUGUAGCACCAAGAUAGCAUAGCUGGUCGACCAGUGCGUCGCCUCGAGCCUCCUCCCUCGACUCGUCCACGGGUUCGAGCUCCCAAGAGGCUGAGAGAUCACUUAUCGCCGUCCGCAGCCGACGGAUCAAAGUGACCUCGCCCUCGAGCUGAGCCUUGGUGGAGCGGACCUCGACUUGAGCGGCAAGCAGCUCAUCUUUAAGCACUACAAGGACCGACACGGAGAAAUUAGAUAACACAAACCACACCUCGGAAAGGAAAACUCAAGAAUGGAAACAUACCAUGAAUCCUCUCCUCCAGAGCCGUAUUCUCACCAACCAAGUUGGUGUUGGCCCUCUGGAUCUCCUUGUUCGAGCGCACCAGCUCGGUGUUGGUGAUGCGCAGGUCCUCGAUCGCCUUACCUGCCUGCGCGAUAGCUCCAUCUUUCUCCAGCAGCGCUCUCUUCAGACGGUCGACGUCAUCAGAGAGGCUGUGAGAUCGAGUCCGCUCCACCUCAAGAUCCUCAAGAGCCUUCUUCUUGGCCUCCUACACGGUGCUCCGGGCAAUCUCACCGUUGACGCACUCCACCUUCAUCUUGAAGGAUUCUCGAAGGGAGGCAAGGUCUGUCCUGAGGAGGCCCUUCUCCUUGUCUAGGUCAGCAGCCGCGUUCUUGUAAGACAAGGCCUCUUCCCGGGCCUUGGAUGCAGCCUCCUCGACCAUCAUGGCCCGCUCCCCCCGCAGCGCGGCUUCUUCCACUGCUUUCCUCGAGGCUUCCCGAGCCUCAGCUAGGGUGGCCUCCCUCUCCUUCUUCUCCUCCUCGAGCGCCAAAAGCUCCUUAUAGGCCUUGAGGUGUUUCUCCUGCGACUCCAGGAGUUUGUCCUUGAGGAGAGGGAGUUGCUCCCAGCCACCCCUCGUUGCAUGAAUAAAGCUUGACUUGAUGUGGGAGGUCUCCUUUAGAUCCUGCGAAGCGGCAGUAGAACAGUAAGAACACAAAACCAGAACGUCCAGAACGCAAGACCAAAAUCACUUACAAAGUAGGCCGGUCUGAGCCCAUGGUUGACGACGUCGGGCAGGAGCCCCACCACGUGCUUCAUCCAGAAGCGAAGCUCCUCGAGAUGCUCCCACUUCUCAGCCUCCUUCCGAUCGUCCAUAAAGAUGUUGGGCUCGGACAGGUCGGUCGAAGCCCGGAUGUGGAUCCGGUCAGGGCACCAGUUCUCCAUCUCCUGAUAAACGCGCGCCUUGAUGCCCCGGAUGAGCUCCUCAACGGUCUCGAGCGACCCCCCGGGCACAAGAACAGGUCGACGAGGUAGGGAACCGGCNNNNNNNNNNNNNNNNNNNNNNNNNNNNNNNNNNNNNNNNNNNNNNNNNNNNNNNNNNNNNNNNNNNNNNNNNNNNNNNNNNNNNNNNNNNNNNNNNNNNNNNNNNNNNNNNNNNNNNNNNNNNNNNNNNNNNNNNNNNNNNNNNNNNNNNNNNNNNNNNNNNNNNNNNNNNNNNNNNNNNNNNNNNNNNNNNNNNNNNNNNNNNNNNNNNNNNNNNNNNNNNNNNNNNNNNNNNNNNNNNNNNNNNNNNNNNNNNNNNNNNNNNNNNNNNNNNNNNNNNNNNNNNNNNNNNNNNNNNNNNNNNNNNNNNNNNNNNNNNNNNNNNNNNNNNNNNNNNNNNNNNNNNNNNNNNNNNNNNNNNNNNNNNNNNNNNNNNNNNNNNNNNNNNNNNNNNNNNNNNNNNNNNNNNNNNNNNNNNNNNNNNNNNNNNNNNNNNNNNNNNNNNNNNNNNNNNNNNNNNNNNNNNNNNNNNNNNNNNNNNNNNNNNNNNNNNNNNNNNNNNNNNNNNNNNNNNNNNNNNNNNNNNNNNNNNNNNNNNNNNNNNNNNNNNNNNNNNNNNNNNNNNNNNNNNNNNNNNNNNNNNNNNNNNNNNNNNNNNNNNNNNNNNNNNNNNNNNNNNNNNNNNNNNNNNNNNNNNNNNNNNNNNNNNNNNNNNNNNNNNNNNNNNNNNNNNNNNNNNNNNNNNNNNNNNNNNNNNNNNNNNNNNNNNNNNNNNNNNNNNNNNNNNNNNNNNNNNNNNNNNNNNNNNNNNNNNNNNNNNNNNNNNNNNNNNNNNNNNNNNNNNNNNNNNNNNNNNNNNNNNNNNNNNNNNNNNNNNNNNNNNNNNNNNNNNNNNNNNNNNNNNNNNNNNNNNNNNNNNNNNNNNNNNNNNNNNNNNNNNNNNNNNNNNNNNNNNNNNNNNNNNNNNNNNNNNNNNNNNNNNNNNNNNNNNNNNNNNNNNNNNNNNNNNNNNNNNNNNNNNNNNNNNNNNNNNNNNNNNNNNNNNNNNNNNNNNNNNNNNNNNNNNNNNNNNNNNNNNNNNNNNNNNNNNNNNNNNNNNNNNNNNNNNNNNNNNNNNNNNNNNNNNNNNNNNNNNNNNNNNNNNNNNNNNNNNNNNNNNNNNNNNNNNNNNNNNNNNNNNNNNNNNNNNNNNNNNNNNNNNNNNNNNNNNNNNNNNNNNNNNNNNNNNNNNNNNNNNNNNNNNNNNNNNNNNNNNNNNNNNNNNNNNNNNNNNNNNNNNNNNNNNNNNNNNNNNNNNNNNNNNNNNNNNNNNNNNNNNNNNNNNNNNNNNNNNNNNNNNNNNNNNNNNNNNNNNNNNNNNNNNNNNNNNNNNNNNNNNNNNNNNNNNNNNNNNNNNNNNNNNNNNNNNNNNNNNNNNNNNNNNNNNNNNNNNNNNNNNNNNNNNNNNNNNNNNNNNNNNNNNNNNNNNNNNNNNNNNNNNNNNNNNNNNNNNNNNNNNNNNNNNNNNNNNNNNNNNNNNNNNNNNNNNNNNNNNNNNNNNNNNNNNNNNNNNNNNNNNNNNNNNNNNNNNNNNNNNNNNNNNNNNNNNNNNNNNNNNNNNNNNNNNNNNNNNNNNNNNNNNNNNNNNNNNNNNNNNNNNNNNNNNNNNNNNNNNNNNNNNNNNNNNNNNNNNNNNNNNNNNNNNNNNNNNNNNNNNNNNNNNNNNNNNNNNNNNNNNNNNNNNNNNNNNNNNNNNNNNNNNNNNNNNNNNNNNNNNNNNNNNNNNNNNNNNNNNNNNNNNNNNNNNNNNNNNNNNNNNNNNNNNNNNNNNNNNNNNNNNNNNNNNNNNNNNNNNNNNNNNNNNNNNNNNNNNNNNNNNNNNNNNNNNNNNNNNNNNNNNNNNNNNNNNNNNNNNNNNNNNNNNNNNNNNNNNNNNNNNNNNNNNNNNNNNNNNNNNNNNNNNNNNNNNNNNNNNNNNNNNNNNNNNNNNNNNNNNNNACAAAAGGGAAAAAAAAAAAGAGAAAGAAGAAGGAAAAAAGAAAAAAAAAAGGGAGAAAGAGCCCUCGCGAUUCGCGUUCUUCGAACUAGCUGGUCAGUUGCAUAGCAUACAUGAGCAUGAUCAUUUUGCGUAUAGUGCACGUUACUGAAGGAGCGACCGUUGAACCGAACCCCGAGGUUGGUGUUCUGCUCAAGGAAGUUGGACCCGAGACUUGGGAUGUCUUCGAGGAACCCACUCAGCUCUGCAACCAGGGCAAGCCUCGGAUGCAUUAACCCUUCCUUGAAUGUUUUAAAUCUUUUAUCACUUAUGAAUUAAAAAUACUGCAUUACGUAGUCAAGAAUCGGGCUUAACCUUCACUACCUUGAUAUUUGUUAGCCUGUCCUUGGCACCUGUUUUAUUUUAAAAACUACGUAGUGAUGCUUAGCCCUGCUUGUUAGAUAGGUUUUCAACUAAGAAAGUUUGAAGGGUUGUUGUGGAAUACUUUUAUGGUCAAUGAUGUUUCAACUUGAGAUUGGUCGGUGUACUUGCUUUAAGAAUGGAGUCUUAAAGUAGUGUCUCCAACUGUGUCAAUUAAGGACCGAUCCGUUGAUGGCCUGCUAUGUUGAGAAUUUAUAGUACUAGCCACCUGCCCUCGGUAAGCCCGGUCUUGUGAUUCCUCGAUGAGAGCGGCUACUCACGCAAUGGGUGUGGAGCGAUGGUGAGAGUAGCGUGUACCGUCCUAGCAAAUGGGUUGGAUGGUGGAGUACUGUGCUCUCGGGUGCCGUGAACCCGGUCAGAUCUUGGGAAAGCCAGAUUUCGGUUGACAUAUGCAAGAUUCGGUCCUACAUAUGUUGGGUGGUUAGGAACUCCAGCUGGGUUGCUAAGCGAUUCGAAUCGUCGUUGCUCCCUGAUUGGGAGACUCAAUUCCUUCGACCCUCAUCAUAGUUAGUAAUGCAACUGAAUUAAGGAAUGGGGAAAAGGGAAAUGUCUCAUGGGGUUCGGAUCCUGAUUCCCGAACUCAGAGUGACAUUAAGCUAUGGCCACCGGAUGAAUAACACUUUUAUUAAGAACUAGGAAUUUAUAGACUUGUCUAUAAAAAGCAACUAGAUAGACUGUCCUCGAAUUCCUCGGCCUCUCGAGGUGAGCAAUUCGGGGCUAAAACUUGAAAGUAAGGAUGCACUAUUAGUAAGAAUGCCUCCGGGCUAUAGCCAACCCCAUCGAACGGGGCAUGGGUUCUCACUUGGAUUACCUGAUAAAAGCUCACCCAGGAUGAUGAUGCUCGCUCCAUCGGGAGUAUGUUGCCUUCCUAGACCCAAGGGGGUAAAACCGGCAAAAUGAGGGUCGGAGGUUCCCUCCCAGAACAAACGCCCCUCAAUGAAAAGGGACAUUGGGAACAGUCAGAUCCGAAAGAGCAAUAUAGCCCUCAAAGGAGUCCAAGACUCCUUAAAGGCCUCGGGGGCUACACCUAUGGGGGUCGCUCGGCGACCCCCCACGGGAACUCGACCAUCAGAAGAACCCCUCUUCGAGGACAAAUGCUCGAACAGGGGCUCGGGGGCUACUCUCAACUGAUGAGCAUAUCAAGAGUAUCCGUACACAGGUCGAGGCAUCCGACUCGACGCCCCUCCCCCUCUCUAGUUGUGUGCACAGGCCAGGACGACCAUGGUCCCGAACACAGAAAGAGCGUCCUGCGAAUCGACCAGGGCUCGAGCGCCGGCUACCGUCGAAUACAGAAAGAGGCUCGAGCGAAUCGGAAGGCCUCGAGCGCAAGGACGCCGCUCGCCGCCUCGCGGGCACAGGAACCAGGGCAUUUAUUGCGCGUGCCGUGUUCUCACCUAACCCACCAGUCACGGGAAGCGUGAUAGGGAACAGGCACUCGUCCUGUCAUUCUUUUUGCAGCCUUCCCCACCAAACGAGCCAGAACGUGGCAGGACGCAGAAAGUGGGUCGGAACGUCUAAUCAAGACCCCCUUGAGAUGCCCAAGGUGGCUAGCGAGGCGUUACACGGCAUCCGACCCUCGAGUAGGCAUGUUUCCUUCCUGUGAAAGGGUCAGGUGACGAGUGACAGCACUUCAACCACUCCGACGCAGAUGCUGCCGCGACGUACAAGCAUGCAACAGAUAAACCAUCCUAGGACGGCGCACAGAGCGGGAUACAGGGGCACGCGUAAUCAUCAUGAAGCUACCAAGACAAGAUGGCUCGAGACCACGCCGAUACGGAGGCCUCGAGUAGGUCAGAGCGCCAUACCACUAUCGACCCCUACUCUGACGCCUAUACAUGUACCCUAGGCCUCUCCUUGGAACUAUAAAAAGGGGAGGCCCAGGAGCGGAUAUAGAACAGGCGAUACAACACAACACACACGCUUAGUAGAGCUUCCACACUCCAUCUCCAUCCAUCUCACGCCUGUAUUCACCCCUGUACAAGCACUUAGGUGCAAGAUAAUACAAACACCUCUCCCCCCGCUGGACGUAGGGCCUUCUCUUGCCUGAACCAGGAUAAAUAUUUGUGUCUUUUCUUGCAUCACCAUCUGGAAAAAGGGGAGCACGCAUUCAAGUUUUACUCGUUGGUGUGACCCCCCAGGGGGAAACACCGACAGUUGGCGCGCUAGGUAGGGGUCCAGCGUGUUUUUCACUGAUUUCCCAUUCCUUUCCACAUGGCCACUCUCAUUUCGCCGAUUCCGCGCUCCACGGUGAUUUGGUUCGGGAGCCUCAAGUUCAUAUCUACUGGUUCCGGCUAUGACAUGAUCCUGCUCUCGGUCAAAGGACCGGGAGGAGCCCGCGUUGCGCCAGCACGAUUGAGGGCUCCGAGACGUGGACAGUGCCACCAUCACCCUUCUGCCUUGUCACGACCGACAGUUCGUGCCAGGCAGCAGGUGACACAUGAGCCGAUAGCCCCGCGCGCCGAAACCGCGGGUAUGGUAGCCUCACGCCACGAGGAUCGCACGACGACGACGGGAGACGGCACGCCACGCGCGCCCUCUCCCACCACUACGCUACUUCCACAUGGGCUGUUCGCCCCAAAAAGAGCGCUACCGUUCGGUCUGGACAAUGCCGCGACAUCGCUCGCUAGGGCGAUAUGUCCAAACGCCCAGACAUAUGUGGAGAGACCAAUGGUCCUCCCAUGCGAUACUGAGGAGCAGCAACGGACGCCCGAGCUGUCGGAUUUCUCCUAGGUACGAGGCCUCCGUCGCCUAGGGCCUGGGCGAUACACGAUCACCUCACUCAGGCAACGGCUGCUGGAGGAAGGACGUGGAUGCUUCUACGCCGCCGAGCCGAACUCCGGCUCUGAGUCCGACAGCUAUGACCCUACUAGGGAAUGUUUCAAUAUCGACGGGGCAGUAGAAACCACCGACGAGACACAGGACGCCGUUGCAGGCGGUCGAGUCCCUGUAGCAAGGGAGGACCCCAGGACGCCUGGGAAUGACGGUCAAAUCGACCCCCCUUCACAAGAAGACAGAGCCGCGUAAAUUGCGCAGCUGCGAGAGCUCAAAGCAAAGCUCGACGAGGAUCGCGACUGCCUUGUUUUGCUUGAACAGAUCAUCGAGCAGGACUUGCCUUACCCACCUGGUGGAAGUGUCCGCAGACGGGCUCGAGAGGUUCAUGGGCAGAUCGUCGGAGAUGGAGAGCCUGAGCAGCCCGUCAGCCGUUUCCCUCGAGCGGGCUAGAAUGUCGUGGCGGUGACAAUGCUGCUGUGUAAUAUGCCUGAACUGUCGAACUCCCAAGCGCGACGCAUUCGAGACGAGGUGCAGACUCUGCUCCAGGUGGCGGCAGUUCAGUAGGCCGAGAGCUCGGCCUCUCGACGUCGAGGGGCGGCCACAGAAAAGCGUGAUGAGCCGGCCUAGAACGAAAACGAGGUGUCGGUCCAUAAGUAGCCGCCCCCUCGAGGGAAAAAGACAACACUCGUCCUCCCCGUCGACAACUGACGACGACACGACGCGCGACGCGACAUCGACGAGAACCGUCGCCGUCGGUAUGGGGACGCAGAAGAGCGCGGUUAGAGCGCCCACCGCGGCGGGAGAUACGACAGCGACGAGGACCGGAUGGCCCCGGAACCGCAGGGCCCUCGGGUGUUUAGCAGGGCAAUCCGCAGCACGCCGCUGCCCAGCCCGUUCCGACCCCCAACCAGCAUUGCUAAAUACAACGGCAAGACCAAGCCAGAGCUGUGGCUGGCAGACUUCAGACUAGCCUAUCAGCUGGGAGGCGCUUGAGGGGACGAUCGAGCCAUCAUCCGACAGCUACCACUCUUCCUCUCCGACACCGCCCGCAGAUGGCUCGAGGAGCUCCCGGCCAACCAUAUCCACGAUUGGGUCGAUUUGGUCAGAGUGUUCGAGGGUAACUUCAAAGGAACCUACAUACGACCCGGCAACUCGUGGGACCUCAGCAAGUGCAAGAAGAAGUCAGGAGAAACUCUCUAGGAGUAUGCUCGACGCUUUUCGAAGCAACGCACCGAGCUGCCACACAUCCCCAACCAUGACGUCAUCCUGGCCUUUGUCUCUGGCACCACCAGUCGAGACAUGGUGCGGGAAUUAGGCCGGAACCGCCCUCAGACCGUCGACGAGCUGAUGGACGUAGUGGCAAACUACGCUGUAGGGGAAGAAGCGGUCGGUUCCUUCUUCAGCUGCGAAGGAAGGAAAGGAAAGCUGUCAGCUGAUGAUGAUGAGGGUCCCAGUCUCGGGAGGAAGUACUUCCGGCUCGAACAGCCUCGCCAGCCUUUCCCCAGGAGCUUCCGCAUCGUCGAUCAAGGCGUGGAGCCUCUCCUCGUUCUCUGCGUCGGUCUUGGAGAUAUCGGUGACUAAGCCAUGGGACACCACCUCCAUAUCGUAGGAAAAGCCUGAGUAGACAACUGCCAUUGCCCGCUUUACCCUGGUAUGGAGGGCGUCCCGCACCCGGUCCCUCAAUGUAGCACCAAGAUAGCAUAGCUGGUCGACCAGUGCGUCGCCUCGAGCCUCCUCCCUCGACUCGUCCACGGGUUCGAGCUCCCAAGAGGCUGAGAGAUCACUUAUCGCCGUCCGCAGCCGACGGAUCAAAGUGACCUCGCCCUCGAGCUGAGCCUUGGUGGAGCGGACCUCGACUUGAGCGGCAAGCAGCUCAUCUUUAAGCACUACAAGGACCGACACGGAGAAAUUAGAUAACACAAACCACACCUCGGAAAGGAAAACUCAAGAAUGGAAACAUACCAUGAAUCCUCUCCUCCAGAGCCGUAUUCUCACCAACCAAGUUGGUGUUGGCCCUCUGGAUCUCCUUGUUCGAGCGCACCAGCUCGGUGUUGGUGAUGCGCAGGUCCUCGAUCGCCUUACCUGCCUGCGCGAUAGCUCCAUCUUUCUCCAGCAGCGCUCUCUUCAGACGGUCGACGUCAUCAGAGAGGCUGUGAGAUCGAGUCCGCUCCACCUCAAGAUCCUCAAGAGCCUUCUUCUUGGCCUCCUACACGGUGCUCCGGGCAAUCUCACCGUUGACGCACUCCACCUUCAUCUUGAAGGAUUCUCGAAGGGAGGCAAGGUCUGUCCUGAGGAGGCCCUUCUCCUUGUCUAGGUCAGCAGCCGCGUUCUUGUAAGACAAGGCCUCUUCCCGGGCCUUGGAUGCAGCCUCCUCGACCAUCAUGGCCCGCUCCCCCCGCAGCGCGGCUUCUUCCACUGCUUUCCUCGAGGCUUCCCGAGCCUCAGCUAGGGUGGCCUCCCUCUCCUUCUUCUCCUCCUCGAGCGCCAAAAGCUCCUUAUAGGCCUUGAGGUGUUUCUCCUGCGACUCCAGGAGUUUGUCCUUGAGGAGAGGGAGUUGCUCCCAGCCACCCCUCGUUGCAUGAAUAAAGCUUGACUUGAUGUGGGAGGUCUCCUUUAGAUCCUGCGAAGCGGCAGUAGAACAGUAAGAACACAAAACCAGAACGUCCAGAACGCAAGACCAAAAUCACUUACAAAGUAGGCCGGUCUGAGCCCAUGGUUGACGACGUCGGGCAGGAGCCCCACCACGUGCUUCAUCCAGAAGCGAAGCUCCUCGAGAUGCUCCCACUUCUCAGCCUCCUUCCGAUCGUCCAUAAAGAUGUUGGGCUCGGACAGGUCGGUCGAAGCCCGGAUGUGGAUCCGGUCAGGGCACCAGUUCUCCAUCUCCUGAUAAACGCGCGCCUUGAUGCCCCGGAUGAGCUCCUCAACGGUCUCGAGCGACCCCCCGUGGCACAAGAACAGGUCGACGAGGUAGGGGAACCGGCCGUCGUCAUCCACCGUCUUCCAAGUUCCUGUUUCACUAGCACCACCGCCGCCCGACGUCCCGGCUUCAUCUUCCUCGGCGGGAAAGCGGUCCUCCCAUGACCGACGCUCCCGGAGGAAUCCAGGAGCGAUCCCAAUGAUGCCAUAGAUCGUGCCCUUGAUCUCUGACUGAGGGUCAACGGGGGUGCGCAUCAUACAGGCGAGCUCCACCACGCCGUCCGCUCGCCCUGACUCAGCUGGGAUCGAGGCGGGCGCACCCAGACGGAGCCAUGCCGGGGUCGCUGGGCCAUAGACAGGCAGAACCUCCUCCCCGGUUUCAGGCUCUUGUGGCGUCGGCGGCACUGACUGGGGGAGACUGCGAGGUGGCAGCUCGAGCAGUUCCCCCAACUGCUGGCACCUUUGCUGCUGCUGCUCCUGCAGCUCCUGCUGCCGGUCCUGCUCCAACAUCUCAUCGAGUAGGGGUCCCCCUGGCCGCCGCUCCUCCUCUCUUUCUUCCUACUGCGGCUGCUGCUGCCCCUCCUACAGCUGUUGCCGCAUCUCCCGCUCAUGCUCCUCCUCCUCCUUCCUCCUCUGGUCCUCGACAGAAUGGAGCCCGAUGGGCCAAGGCGUCCACUUCGUGGUGGGAGGGGCCUCGAGCUCCUCGUGCAUGGGGCGGGCGUCCUUCGAAGGCCCGUCGCCGCCAGACCCGUCACUUGUUGUGAUAGGAUCCUCCUCGACCCCAGAACAGGGAGGCUCGGGGGCUCCCUCCUGUCCUUGAGGACGAGGCACCUCGAUCCGCUUCGGCGACGGUGGAGCAGACUCCCCCACCGAUGGACGGGGCAGAGCGCCCUCGACACCGGUCGAUGGCCGGGGGUCGGAGGAGCAUGUAAGCACUCAAAGGCAAAAAGUCAGUCGCCAUGAUAGUCGACAAAAAGCUAACGUGAUAUCAGGAGUGAACCGCUCACCUGAGUCUUUGGAGGCCGCUCCCGCCUUAAGCCUCUUGGCCAUCGAGGGCUGGGCCUGCUUGAGCGUCCGCUUCAGCCUGAGGGAAGAAGAAUGAACGUAAAUAAAAAUCACAGCCCAAGAAAAUGCAAAAGCAUCGGAAAAGAAGAACCACGACAUUAAGACCUUACCCCACAAGAAGGGCGACCCGCCUUCCGGUCCCUCGACCAGCAGGCUUCGAGCCACCCCGCGUCAAGGCUCCGGGCCCCUCGCGAGCGGGUGCCGGUCUCGGCUCGGCAUCUCCCGCCUGGCCGGCGCCUGGACUGGCGCUCCUGCGAACCGUACCCCCCUUGCUCGAGGCCGCAGUGCGACCACGAGUCAGCGGCCCUGUAACAGAACCGCCCAAUUUACAAGAGAUCAACUAUGAAAAACUCCCACCAAAGCAGUUGCUUUAACAUAAUCGAACUCUCAUAAACCGGGUAGUCCGUGAAAUCACGAGGGAUUUCAAACCAACCAUCAUACAAGCCAAGAUCGUAGUGAUUCAACAUAACAAGUCACAUGUUACAUCUAUUUCACAAGUAGUUUGAUAUACAUCGGAGUUCUAUAUAGUUAUUACAACUUGAGUUGAAAAAUAGCGGAAGCAGAAUAAUUAUGAAACUAACAUUACCCUUAUUUCAAAUACAUGCCAGUAUCCAGGUCAACUCCAACAAAAGCAACAUAGAUGAGGUAACUAAGAAGGAUCAUGCCCAUGAUCUUACUCCUCUAAUAUGGUAGGAGUCAUCCAACUCUUGCAGUAGCCAUGAUACAUCACAACCUGCAACAAGUGGGAACAAACCCUGAGUACGAGAAGGUACUCAGCUAGACUUACCCGUCAUAAACCAGAAAUAAUAUGACACCAAGGAGUAUGCAAGGCUUUAUUGGUGGGGCUAGCUGGAAAACACUUUUUGCAUAAAAAGCUUAGGUUACAGGUAACUAACUUUUCAGGUAUUUAGCUCAAGUUAAUAAUCAUUACCUGUCAUCUAUAUUAGCACCUGUACUAGAGCAAUCACUUGAUUAAGAUACAACAGUAGUACCCAUAUUUGAUGUGGCAUUUCCAACAUCAUCAUCAUACCAUAACCAUCCAAGUGUUCCAUAAACAUUACUACGAUGACGAAGCUCAAGUCAAGUGCUCACUGUCCAGGAGCGAUGGCGAUUCGAAUCGAUUUCUAACCAGCUGGCGAGUUUAUUCCCCACACAAUCCACACUCACUGAUCAAGUGAGCUACAGGUCACCAUAUUACACUAUCCAGGACCAAUUCGCGGGUUCGACAGGCACCGCCCGUACCCGAGGACCGUUCCGGCGACCGAGGUAUCCAAGGUAUACCAAGGUUGCGCGCCGCGCCCUCGUCGUUCUCCUCAACCAUCACCAAUACAGCGCGUACAUCGGGCCGAUUCCCGGCCCGGAUAGUGUUCAGGCUUCGCGGUCGGAACGACUUAUCCUUCCAGCUAAGUGUGGGGUGUUGACGGUCCUUAAGUAUCAAAUUUAAUUAUCAAAUAAAUAAAGAAAAGGAUCCAAAUGAAAUCAAGAUCUAGACUUAGGGUUUUAUCUGACAGAAUUCCACGAGUUUUGUUGUUUGUCUAUUUCUGCAGGGGGUUAUCAGGAAAUAUGGAAGAAAGGCCCACAUGUCGGGAUUACGUAAAGAUAUUAAUGUGCUGCGCAAUUAUCUUACAUCUAGAAGACUCCAGAAGCCACGAGACCGAAGCGGAGGCGAAACGGGGCCAGAGGCAGGGCGCCCGCCCUCCUGCCCUGGGCACCCGCCCACCUCCUGUGUCCAAUCAGGACUCUGCUUUGCAGGAGAUCUCCACCGACCUAAAGGAUGAAUCUAAACCAUACAAUCUAUGUCGGUUUGAUCCAAGGGCCCAUAUUCACUUGAAGGGACUAUAAAACUAGACCCCCUGGCCCCUGGAGGAGGGAGCCUCUCAACCCUAAUUCAUUGUUCCAUCAAGGGAGAAGAAGCCUCUAAUCAAGAUUAGAGCCACCACAUCAAUUAGAUAUCUAGAUUAGCAUAGCUACAUAGGAUUAGAACUAGAAGGAGUCAAUCUUCGAUUGGUUUCCGGAUCUGUCAAGAGGAUUCUUGGUAAUUCUCUAAUUGUGCUUCUAAUUGCUUUCUAAUUAUCUUUGUUCUUCAAUAUUAUGAAUAUGACUUUGUUCUACUUCAAUAUAUUGCUUAUGACUUUGCUCUAUUUGCUUAUAUUCAAGAUUAUAUUGUUCUUAGUUUAUUAUAGUUAUGUACUUGGCUUAGUUAGAUUCGAUCUAUAUACAUGCUUAGGAUCGUAUAGCGUUUAUCCAUCGGAUCCAUGGGUAAAUGAUAGAUAUUGUGUAGGCGUGGUGCUUAUACCGUAUUUAUCUGCGAUUGUACCCAAUAUGCCAGAUCGUGGGGUGGUUCGUGAUAGUGACAUCUUCAUUGAUUCUUAUAUAGUCCCCCUCUCGUGUAUUGGACUGGCAGAGCAACAUUAUUACAGGAGAUUGAUUGCUAUGUUUCUCAUAUUCCUUGCUAAUAUCACUAUGCAUGGGCGUAGUCUUGUCUCGCAAUGAUUGCUAAGUAUGCUUGCACUAAUUAUGAUAAUGCUAGACUAUAUAGUUAAGAAUAACUUAGGGAAUAUUCUUGUAGUUCGUUCUAAUACCAUGCUAAUGACUUUCUAGAGUAUCUAAUUGAGGUGCUUAUCAUAUUUAUUAUGUGGCUAGAUCAGAUUAGUUAUCCUUGUCACUAUUAUUAUUUCAUAUAUCUUUUAUGUGACACUUAUCCCUAUAUGAUGAGUUAGAUAUAAUGUUCUCAAUUAUACAUGCAAUGAUAGAUGCUCAAUCUCAUAUUCUAUUCUGUAAUCAAUAUUGAUGAUUGCUAAUCCCUUCCCAGUGGUAAAAAUAUAAAUAACGAUACCUGGAAUACUUCCCGGUUAAAAUGCUGCAUCGGUAUUAAUCUGUGCGCUUGCAGAUCCCAUUCAUUAUUUAUUUAGAAGAGCAAUUGCAUAUUUCAAUACCGCGUCUCUUAUAUCAUGCUGGGGAUGAGAACUUGGCUUAAGUGGUGUGAGGGAUAGGUUUGGCAUUUUUGGCACCGUUACUAGAUUUAGAGAACUUAGUCUACUUUUGGUAAUGAUGUUAAGAAUACCCAACAAGCAUUUUUGGCGCCGUUGCCAGAGAAGGUUGAUUACUAAUCAAGAAUGGAAUAAAAGAUUUUGAGUUAUCAUUCGCAUCACUAAUAUGAUUGAUCUUAUCUAUUCUCUCAUACAGUUUUACCUCGAUAUUUUUCUAUUUUAUCUUAUGCAGGGGAAUGUAUGAAUAGAAGACAUCUUCCAGGGAAUUUUGUUGACAAUCCCGAAGCAUUAUUCAAGAAGACGAGAGCCAAGCUAAAGAAAUCAUCAACACUUCAUGAAGAAGCUUCAUCCAAUCAAGAAGAUCACCGGAACUUGUCUUCAGAGUUCGAAGCCAUGGCGAACAAAUCAAUCCGCGAGUUCUCAGCUCCCACUACGGACAACAUCCGCACUGGACCUGCUGCAGAGAUCGAUGGCAACUUUGAGCUCAAGCCUGGACUUAUCAACAUGGUGCAAUCUAACCAGUUCUGUUGGAAGGCACACGAAGAUGCUAGUGCUCAUUUACAACACUUCCUAGAGAUUUGCAACACAUUCACCAUAGCAGGAGUUUCCAAAGACGCUAUACUACUUCUCCUCUUCCCAUUCUCACUGUUAGGAAGAGCGAAGCAGUGGUUCUACGCUACAAAGGAGAAGAAUACUACGUGGGCACUUUGCUCAACAAACUUCCUGGCUAUGUUCUUUCCCAUGGGCAAGACCAAUGCUCUCCGUGGGAAGAUUACAAGUUUUCAGCAACAAAAUGAUGAAUCUGUUCCAGAAGCAUGGGAGCGCUUUCAAGACUACAUCCUAGAAUGUCCCCAUCAUGGAAUGGAGAGUUGGCUACUGAUGCAGACAUUCUAUCAUGGGCUCAGCAACAGUGCCCGAGAAACCAUGGAUGCUGCAGCUGGAGGAGCAUUCUUAUCACUUACUAUACCACAAGCCACAGCUCUUGUGGAGAAGAUGGCGUCCAACCAAAGCUGUAACGAAGAGAGGACCCAGACACGCAAGAGAGGUGGAGGUAUGCAUCAGCUGAAGGAGGUAGACAUGCUGUCUGCAAAGCUAGACCUGCUCAUGAAGAAGCUCGAUGAUAGAGCUGGAGACAAGAAAGAAGUUAUGCACAUCUACGACUCUCACAUGACUUGUGAGGAGUGUGGAGACACUGGACACUCAGGCAACCACUGCCCUGAGAUGCUUGAGGAUGUAAACUACAUCAACAACAACAACAACUACUACUACAACCGUCCUCAACAAAAUCAAGGUUGGAAUCAACAGAGGCCUAACUACUCAGGUAAUUAUCAAGGUAACAAUUCUUACAACAAUAAUAAUAAUUUUCCACCUUUGAGAGAGUUAGUGUCUAAUCAAGGAAAGCUAAUGGAUAACCUAUCUAAGAAAUUGGCAUCUAAUGAUAAAAUGCUAGAAAAUAUAAAUAAUAGAAUGGAUAAUUUCCCUACUGCCAUCAAGAAUCAAAUUAGCUUUAAUAAAAUGAUUGAAUCCCAGUUAAAUCAAAUAGCUGCUCCUGUUCCUACUACUAACCCCGGUAUACCAUCACAACCGGAAGGAUUAGAAUCUGCAAAUCUUGUAGACAUGUUUGAUGCAGGUAAUUGGAGUAACCCCAUCACUGAAUUUUCUACUGACCGUCUGCCGGUCAAGAGAGGCGAUCCAGGACGCCCCGUCAUCCCGAUCUCUAUCGGCAUGGUGGACGUUCCAGAAGCACUCUGCGACUUUGGCUCCAGUGUCAACAUUAUACCCAGGGUACUCUAUAAGAAAUUCUUUACAUAUCCUUUAUUAGAGACAACCAUGUGUUUGCAGUUUGCAGAUCAGACGAUAACUUUUCCAAAAGGAAUAGUGAAGAACCUUUGUGUCUGAGUUGGUACCUUGUAUGCCCCAGCAGACUUCGUAGUGGUGGAGACCGGAAAUGAUGAGAGAGCACCUAUCAUCCUAGGGAGGCCAUUCUUGAAUACCACGGGAGCUAUCAUCCAUGCCAGUGCUGCCAAGAUCAGUUUCUACGUCAAAGGGAAGAAGGAGACAUUUUUCUUCAAGAACAAGACUACACAAAUUCAAGAUCAAUCCAGACGUAAAUCAAGGAAGAGGACCAACAGGAGAAACAGGAACAAGCAAGUGUGGGCCGAGUCAGCUAAGAUGGUCACUGUAGUCCAUGGAGGCCAAGAUCACCAACUUAAGUCACCGUUUUUGACCAACAAGGACGACCCAGGAAUGCCAAGCAUUUACUGCUCCAUAAAUGGAUACAACUUCUACAAGACGAUUUGCGACACCGGAUCGGGCGUUAACAUAAUGGCCGCAGUCACCUAUCGGCUCUUAUUCGGGACCAUGCCACUAAGACCAACAUACAUUCAGCUCCAGAUGGCAGAUCAGACAUUUCGAGAAGUUCAAGGAGUAGUAUCUGAUGUCCCAGUCAAAAUAGACGAUCACUUUGUCUACACAGACUUUCAAGUUGUUGACAUGGGAGAAGAUGAAUACGAUCCACCCAUCAUCCUUGGAAGACCGUUCCUCAGCACUAUUAAAGCAAUUAUCUACAUUGGAACCGGAGAAGUCCAUAUGCACUUCCCCUCAGAGAAGGUACGCCGUUAUUUUACUGACCCUAACUAUAUCGUUGAAGAAUCUAAGCAGGUAAGGAAAAGACGCAACCGCAACCAGAGGAGGCAGAUCAUCAAGGACGGAUGGGCAGACUAUGAAGGAGAAGUUGUAAGAUCAGAAGACGUUGAGUUUAAAAAGAAUUAUCCAGAGGAGAUUGAAGCACCAAGUCAGGUGUGGAAAAUGAAGAUAACUAUACAAGAAGAGGAGGCCCUGCCGGAAGUACCGACUACGCCACCCAACGAACCUCAGGACCAUUAAGAAAAUGGAGAGUCCCGUUCGGAGGACUUAAAAACACCGAACGCCUUGCCAAGAGGUAAACUUGGUAGUUAUCCUUUCCCUUUCAAUUAUUUCAAAUAGUUUACUAAGUUAAUCAGGUUCAUACUAUCUUAAAAAGAAAAUAAAAAUAUGAAAAAUACUAAGCCCCAUGUGAGUAGACGAGUGGCAUAAAACCCAUAAGUACAUUCACUGUGGUGGCAUAAAAAUAAAAUAAAUAUUUUUCUGCUUUAUAAAAUAAAAAUAUAAAAAAAGGGAGUAAUAAUUAUUAAGGAGUCUCAAGAUAAUAAAGGCUAGAUAUUUAUACUAACACUUAAUCAAUUCCACAAGCUUUGUUGUCUAUUUGAGCUCCACAGAAUUUAAGAAUCAAGAAGACUAGCAGACGGAGGACAUUCUAAUCGCUGUCAGAAUGCUGCUGACUUUCAAAUACACCUCUGCCAACUGCUAGCUACAUCAAGAGAAAUUACGUCAAAAUUCAGCUUGUGGGAGAGCACCCCCAUUUAUCCCGAUAAGUAUUUCUAUCUAUCUAUCUUUAUACUUAUAUUAUUUUAGAAUAUUAAAAUACAUAUAAACUAUGGAAAACCAAAUAAAGAUUUUAUGCUUAUAUAUAUAUAUGUCUUUUGCUUAGUGUGUUUAAUAAAUAAAUAAAGUGGCUAUGCUAAUCUGUAUCUAAAUAAAACUUAAGCAUGGAUAUGAUAAAUAGUUGCUCUACCUAAUUUGCAAAUUUUAAGUUCUCUCUCAAGUUUAGAUAUAACUGUUAUAAUUUAAAGCUUAUCCUAGACCUAAACUUGUGGGAUGAAAAUUUGAUCUGAAGCCUAAGUUGUUAACGGAUAUGAUAUGGGAUGGUUGAGCUGCUGUUUAUCUGUUCCUAGAGAUGCUAGAAUUCUGGAGAAUUUUAUCUUUGAAAAUCUUUAAAAUGUUGCAUGAUGAGUUCCGUAUGAUGAGUGUUUAAAUUCCUACCACAGCCAUAUAUACAUGCUUGCUAGACUUUGAGCCAUACAUUUAUUAUUUACUGCUUAUGAGCAUUGAGUGUGGUCAAGUUGUGUUGACCCUUAGGAGCUUGUCAUGUGGUUAAAUCAAGAUUUCACUUGCACGUUCACUCAUAUAUGCUACUUCUACUCCGGAAGUACCAUCCACAUAUAUCCACCCAUUCCAUCUCCAGAAUCACCCAAAAAUAUUCUACUCCUAAUCCGGGAGAGAAUAACCAAAAAUAUUUCUGUUUUCCCCUUGUGAAAUAAAUGCUCAAGUUAUAUUGUUACUACCACUUGCUAUAUUAUCUCAAGAGAUGAAUGCUCUGAAAAAAAAGAUACGAGGAAAUAAAAAGGAGCAAGUGCUCGGAACCUCGAAAGAAAAGAAAAAAAAGUGAGACGAGAGGUAAAAAUGGACAAGUGUCCGACAGUAGAAUUAGGGGUACAAGAUGCCCACCUGAGAGAAAAGAAAAAGAAGAGCAUCUCAUUCUCCUCAUAAAAUUUCAAAAGCAAGAAAGGUAUGUAUCCCCUCAAAGAGCAAAGUAGAAUUAGACUUCCACCACCAUUGUUUUCACCAUUGUUAUCACCAUACACCAUUCAUUCGCCACACAUGCACGUCUUGAUUUGGCUUAUUGACUUGUUACUUUGGAUCCAUGGUUUGACUAUGCAAUAAAUGUCUUGUAAGUAUGUAUACUUUAUCUCCCACCUAUGAGCUCUAGAUAUUAAAGCCUUAUUAGAGUAGGAUGAGAGAGAAGGCAAUGUCACUAUGCCUCAUACCACAAAUACCACAUAUCUUGAGAGAAGACAUAUACCAUCACUGCCUUGGUAAGGAUCCAAAAAUACCACAAAAGAGAGACCUGAGAGAAUCAUACAAGGAAACUCUGAGUUUUAUUUGAAAAUCUGCAAAAACCCCAGAGCUAUAGCUGAUCAAGAAUAAGAGACAUGGCACUUGGCUGGACUGUUCUAUCUUUUAACCACUCAAAACAUAAGUGACGGUUACAAGUCCCACGGUGAAGGUAAAGUAAGUAAGUUUUAAGUCUUGACAGUUUACUCUAACUCAGAGAUGAGAUCUUAUUUAAAAGCAUGUGUACCGUCAAUUUUUAAAUAUAUUGCAACUACUUAUGAUCCAUAGCUGAGUCUAUCCUUGCUCAGGGACGAGCAAGAGGUAAGCUUGGGGGAGUUUGUUGACGGUCCUUAAGUAUCAAAUUUAAUUAUCAAAUAAAUAAAGAAAAGGAUCCAAAUGAAAUCAAGAUCUAGACUUAGGGUUUUAUCUGACAGAAUUCCAUGAGUUUUGGUGUUUCUCUAUUUCUGCAGGGGGUUAUCGGGAAAUAUGGAAGAAAGGCCCACAUGUCGGGAUUACGUAAAGAUAUUAACGUGCUGCGCAAUUAUCUUACAUCUAGAAGACUCCAAAAGCCACGAGACCGAAGCGGAGGCGAAACGGGGCCAGAGGCAGGGCGCCCGCCCUCCUGCCCUGGGCGCCCGCCCACCUCCUGUGUCCAAUCAGGACUCUCCUUUGCGGGAGAUCUCCACCGACCUAAAGGAUGAAUCUAAACCAUACAAUCUAUGUCGGUUUGAUCCAAGGGCCCAUAUUCACUUGAAGGGACUAUAAAACCAGACCCCCUGGCCCCUGGAGGAGGGAGCCUCUCAACCCUAAUUCAUUGUUCCAUCAAGGGAGAAGAAGCCUCUGAUCAAGAUUAGAGCCACCACAUCAAUUAGAUAUCUAGAUUAGCAUAACUACAUAGGAUUAGAACUAGAAGGAGUCAAUCUUCGAUUGGUUUCCGGAUCUGUCAAGAGGAUUCUUGGUAAUUCUCUAAUUGUGCUUCUAAUUGCUUUCUAAUUAUCUUUGUUCUUCAAUAUUAUGAAUAUGACUUUGUUCUACUUCAAUAUAUUGCUUAUGACUUUGCUCUAUUUGCUUAUAUUCAAGAUUAUAUUGUUCUUAGUUUAUUAUAGUUAUGUACUUGGCUUAGUUAGAUUCGAUCUAUAUACAUGCUUAGGAUCGUAUAGCGUUUAUCCAUCGGAUCCAUGGGUAAAUGAUAGAUAUUGUGUAGGCGUGGUGCUUAUACCGUAUUUAUCUGCGAUUGUACCCAAUAUGCCAGAUCGUGGGGUGGUUCGUGAUAGUGACAGCUUCAUUGAUUCUUAUAUAGUCCCCCUCUCGUGUAUUGGGCUGGCAGAGCAACAUUAUUACAGGGGAGUGAUUGCUAUGUUUCUCAUAUUCCUUGCUAAUAUCACUAUGCAUGGGCGUAGUCUUGUCUCGCAAUGAUUGCUAAGUAUGCUUGCACUAAUUAUGAUAAUGCUAGACUAUAUAGUUAAGAAUAACUUAGGGAAUAUUCUUGUAGUUCGUUCUAAUACCAUGCUAAUGACUUUCUAGAGUAUCUAAUUGAGGUGCUUAUCAUAUUUAUUACGUGGCUAGAUCAUAUUAGUUAUCCUUGUCACUAUUAUUAGUUCAUAUAUCUUUUAUGUGACACUUAUCCCUGUAUGAUGAGUUAGAUAUAAUGUUCUCAAUUAUACAUGCAAUGAUAGAUGCUCAAUCUCAUAUUCUAUUCUGUAAUCAAUAUUGAUGAUUGCUAAUCCCUUCCCAGUGGUAAAAAUAUAAAUAACAAUACCUGGAAUACUUCCCGGUUAAAAUGCUGCAUCGGUAUUAAUCUGUGCGCUUGCAGAUCCCAUUCAUUAUUUAUUUAGAAGAGCAAUUGCAUAUUUCAAUACCGCGUCUCUUAUAUCAUGCUGGGGAUGACAACUUGGCUUAAGUGGUGUGAGGGAUAGGUUUGGCAUUUUUGGCACCGUUACUAGAUUUAGAGAACUUAGUCUACUUUUGGUAAUGAUGUUAAGAAUACCCAACAUGGGGCAUGCGUUCAACAUGACAAGAGGGCUGUCAACGAUCGGUCCUUAAUCGACACAGGCGGGGAUAGAUAGGCACCCAAGACCUCCAUGUCUUGUUACUUCUCUAUCAUCGUCCCGCCCGGUCUCCAAUUAUUCAUCCUCAUCACUUGGUUAUUUCCAUGAUAGCAUAUAUAGUCAACCUUUUCAGGUAUCCACCUAUCUCGCUCAGGUGACAGAACAUCACCUGGCUUCUACCGAUCUAAGCAUAGCUAAGCAGUUAGAUUCGAUCGUGAAUCUACAUAGGGUCAUAGGUAUAUUUACUGGACAAGGAGUGAUAUAUGCAGCAAGGGUUUCACCCAACUCCUAUACUUAAUGCAACAAUACAUAUAUAACAUAUAUUUUCAAUUGCAUUCAAAAGUAGUAGGAGACUUAUAAUGCUCCGAGGCUUGCCUGGGAUCAACACGGAGUCAGUUUAAUUAGUUGUUCCAUCUUGGUGACAUCUUAGGUCGCAACACUUGCUUAGUCCUUCCAUCUUCGCGAUGGGUCCACCCAACACCGUCUUCGGAUUUGUUCCCACACCAAGACCUUCACGUGAUUCAUCUAGCGCACCUAGAUGAGAUGCAAGAUGCAAGUGCAUGAAUAUAAAGAAUAAUAACACAACAUGCAUCACAGAAAAGUAUGCAAGACAUAGGCAUUUAAAGUUAUUUAGCUAACAUCACACGACCAAUUAUAUAGAGCAAACAUAUCAAUAAUGACACAAGUUUUACAAGGUUGCAAGUGUAUUACUUAAUCACCAUUAAAGACAUGAAUCACAGUUUGCACACAACAAGUAAAGCAAUCAAGCAUUCAUGCAUUUUCAGCAAUUUUGGACAUACAUGCAGCAACUCAGUAAACAAUUCAUAACUAGAGCUACACAGCUCCAAAAACUAUGAAAUAGGACAUUAUGGAAAGAUUAUAAAAUCAUCUACAAUUCAUCUUUAAUCAUAUUAGCAUGAUUAACAAGUUAACCAAGUAAAACAUGCAUGACCAUAUAAUCUGGUCCAGGAAUUUCCAGAGAACAAGCAUUUCAAGGGAUGAACUUCAUACUACUGUAACUCACAAACCACUUAGCCAAAUGAUAUGAAACUUUACCACAAGAUAUAUUAAUAAAUUAUCUACAUAUUUUAUAUAGACAAGUUGCACAAGAAACAUCAUUUAUAUCAUGAAAUUAGUUGCACAAUCAAAACUGCUCGUGCUGCCCAAACAGUAGGGGUACAAUUACACACAGAAAACUGAUAGGCAAUUCAAAGCAGCAUAACUGGAGUUGUAGACCUCCAGCAAACAUAAUUCUUAUAUUUGUGGAAAGCUUAUAAAGUUACCCACAACUUUCUUAUUAUCAUCUAAAUAUGAUUCCACAGUUAACAAGGUCAAUUAAUCCCAUGAAGGCAUCUCUGUCCAAAACAUAGACAGAAUCUGUCAUGCUACAUUAAACAGCUAUAACUUGAGGUUCACAUGUCCAUAAUUUAUGAUUGUGUACUUUCUAGAAAGCUUACGAAAUUGUGAACAACUUUGUUAUAAACAUCUAGAGCUAAAUCUAUCACUAAUAAGGUCUUACAUUACAAACAAUGCAAUCCUGUCUGGGUUUAGAUAGAAACUGGAACAGUACUUUAAACCACUAUAACUCAACAUGUGCUCAACAAAAAAUUGUGCUAUUUAUCUUUUUGGAAAGCUCAUGAAAAGUACUAAAACUUAUAUAUUUUCAUUAAGGCAUGAUUCACAACUGAACUGAUACGAGCAAAGGAACACAGGGUACUUGUUAUUUUUAUAACUCUUAAUCUGUUAUUCCUAAAUUCAUGAAACUUUUAUCAGUCAUCAAAUAUCAUAUGAAAAGCAUGUCACAAUAUUUUCACAUUUAUUUGGGCAACAACACAGCAGUUAUGAAAAAGACAAAUAUAACAAGGAAUUAAAACCUAACUGCAUAAAUCUAUUUUUACGACUAUAACUUCAAACUAAACCAUGCCAUAUUAUAGAUCUACUGCAUAUAGAAUUUCAUAACGAUUCCAAAAAGUCCACUUUUGCUAUUUUACGACUUUUCUAUGAAUUACUAUGCAUUUCUAAAGAUCAUCCAGAAAUCUGCAUAAAGAAAAGAUAAAGGAAAACACUUUUGCUUCGGAAACCCUGUGCUUCGCAAACCCUGGGCUUUCUCGAAAUCAACCGCAGUCCAGAUGCACUAUUCAUAUGAGUCUUAGUUUCGCAUCUGGAACCCUGAGUUGUUUCAUAUUCUAACCCGAGAUCCCUCCUAAGGAAGGCGAAAUCCAGCUUCGGGGUCAGGGGCGACGCCAUCGACGAGGAAGCGACGCUGGGGUCUCCCAAGCUCCCACGCGACCACGAUGGGGCUCAGCCUGGAGGACGGCCCGGCCAUGAUGCUCAUCCAUGCUAGCUGCUCGGGGUAGCGGGCGGCAAUGGUGGUGUCCGUGCUCGACAGUGAUGGGGAGCGAGUUGGAGAGACACAGAGAGGCGGAGGGAGUGGAGGGGAGGUGGAGGUGAGUGAAUGAGGGAGUGGUGAGCCCUUCUGGCUGUCCCAAACGCAAAAUGGAGCAGCAGCAGAGGUGCAGCAAUGGUGGGGCGCGCUCUGGUGCAUGGCGACCACGCAGGCAUUUCAUCGAACACGUGGUGCGCGUCGGAGUAGGCAAGGUGGGAGGCGAUUUUGGGCUUGUUCCUGGCCGAAUUUGAAGAUGGGCCAAAAAUGAAGUUUGCUCACCUCGUCCUGCUCUCCAACUUUGAUUAAGGGUGCUCAGUCAUUAGGCCAACAGAUUAGGAGAUAAAUAGAUGCCAAGUCACGAGUGUCAACGUAUUGACGGUGAUUAGCAAAACCAAGAAUUGAUGGUCCAAAUUAUGUCAAACAUGAUGCAACUUUUUACAUGACCUUCUCCAAGUAAUUGUCCACCACUUUUAUUUUUGGAUCAACUUUAGUUGCUUAACAAAAACAGGAGAACACGACAUGCCAACGGGUCGACGUCCGUUUAGCAAUAAAUUAAUCUUUUGCUGUUUUGGGAGCUAUUUUUGAACAUCCAAAUGAACUCCAAAUUUGAUGAUACUUGAUCCAUUGCUUUCACCAAGAAGAGUACUCCAACUCAUAUUAAGGAAUCCAAUUGAGUUACUAUAUGAAUUUGGAUGCUAAAAUGUCACAGAUAAACUAACUUGCUGCUGUCACUUUCCGGGACAUAGAAUUAUUUCUCAGGGCUAAAAAGCAGCAGCUGAUUCGAUCUUGGAGCCUCUAUUUCAACUAUUUGCAUGCUGAUUUGGUUCUUGACCCUUGAAUAAAGUUUCUUCUACACAAGAAAAACUACAACUUUCAUUUAGGGUCAAACCUCAUAACUGCAGCAGAAGUCCAUCUUUCACUUUGGUCAAAGCAGUAACCCGAUAAAGCUCCAAAUAGGAUUUUAGGCCAAUUGAAGCAUUUUCUUGACAUAACCUCAACAUGAACCCUUCAUGACUUUUGUUGUAUAAUUCAUCUAGAGUCCUAUGAGCAAGUUUGGAAGGGUUGGUUCAUGACCCAUGAUUCUAUUUCCUUAAUAGAGCCAUUCCAACAAUGAUAUAACUUAUCAUUUCAUGUGACUUCUUGAUUCCAAACUUAACCAAACCUUUCCAGAGACCAACAUAGAUUGGGAUGGAUAUAAGACACAUGAAAAAGGUUCUAUUAGCAUCAUCAAAGCAUACCUUUUAAAAAGGCAUAUAUGCAAGCAAGGUUGCAUCCACCAAGCCCAAGUUGCGGUUUACUUUCAUAGGUUGACUGUGACCUCUUUGUUACCAUUAAGCUUGUCAUGUUUGAGCUCAAACCUAGUACUUAGCAAGUGACAAACAGCUUGGGUGUUACAGCCUUCCCCCCUUAAAAGAAUCUCGUCCCGAGAUUCGGUGCAAAAGACUUUCAAGGGAAGAAAACAAUGUCACGCAUUUUCCAACAUUAGCAAUAGCAGUGGGCGACUUAGCUUAGAACAUCAGAGAAGCUAACUUGAUCCAAACAUUUUCUGAUACUUGCCCUUCAUAGUAAACCUUUAUCUAGAGAAUCUCCCUUUUUGUUUGACUCCACUGAAGCACUACCUUGGGAGGAAUCCAAGACAACAUUGUUCCAUGUACUUUGUUUCUGAUUGUUUAGAGCCUAAGGAGCUACUUGUACCAUUAGCUUCUUUAGUGAAACUAAUGCAAGCCAUAUGAACUUUACACUAUGUCACAAGCUUAUAAGGGUUGCUCAUUAUACUGAUUCCAGGCUCAUUCACAAGAUUUGAAAAGCAGUUCUCUACCAAAAUGGUUGAAUUAUAACUUCCCACACUUGCAGGUCCCUUUCUCUGAUGACAACAUUGUACUGACCACCCGAUUAAGAGAACAGUGAAUGUGAUAGCUGACUCUGUUUGUUUCAUGCCUUCCAUGAUCAUUUACUUUAAUGGGAUUCUUGUAUCCAAACAACAACAGUUAUCUGGGUUGAAUCAGAUGUAACUUCUUGGGUAACACAUAGAAGGUAACCAAGGCAUGUAAGAAUUGGAUAACCACUACUGACAAAGGAUGAUAGUGGGGUCCAUAGGUCUCCAACUGUUGCAAGUGUUCAACUAACUAAAGAAAUAGUUUACCACCAAGUAGGUUAAGCAUGACCUUUCUUCAUGAUGCAGUUGCAUAAGAGUUAGGUUGACUUGUACCAUAGAAAAACCAAUCCAAGGGAACUACUUUUGCUUUUGAGGUUUCCUUUUUAAGAUCAGUCAGUAGCUCUGAUAUUGAAAAUCUAUUGACUGACACCUUUCAAAACAUUUUUUAUUUGCACUGGCACAAAUGGGUACAAAGAAUCUUAUUUCAGCAUAUAAGCAUUAUCUAUGCAGCAAGACAUUGCCCAUAUUGUAAUCCAUGGCACCCAAACAAACACCACUCACAUUUCCAUGAAAUUAGGUAGAAUUACAGAUCCAUGAGUCUUCCAACCUUUGAUCAAAAUUCAGCUCAAACGGGCACCAUUUGUGUAGGCAGAACAUAUGCAUACUAAAAUUGUUCGGUGCUAAAACGGCAGCACUCCUGACUGACAAGACAUCUCUCAACUCCACAGUUUAAUUCACUAUUUGACGAAAUAUAUCCUUCAUGGCUAUCAAUCCAUCGUUUCCUUGCUUGAGAUUAGCUUUGUUACUAGCAACCAAUCAAUUGGCUCUCAUCACUAAAAUUUCCAAAGCUCCACACUUAACUACAACAAUUGUGGCUGACGCUUAACAAUUGGUCACCCUCAAAACCAGGAGAUAAUGAUUCACGCUAAAGAUGGUUGACUGUAGCUGUAUGACCAUGAUGCACAUAAAGAUCAAGACUUAGGAAAACUAGAUCAUAAGCAUAAUGGUGAUGACUGAUGCUUGUUCAACAAAUAACUUGUCCAACAUUAAGUGUCGUGUGUCCUUUGAUUCGCCGUGGACGACCAAUGUUGCUCAUUAAAUGACCAUCAUCAUUGCAGGAAUAGUUAAAUAGUGUCACUUGUCUACCAUCUCUUGUAGUCCGUUAAUGUUGAUGUCAGUGACCCAUUAUUCAAAGGUAAUCCUUUUUGUAACUUCAUGGGUCACUUGUCUACCAUCUCCUACUUGCACAUGAAGUAAGAAUCUUCUAAUAUGAUCUAAAGAGAUAAUUGAGGACAAACUCAUGAUGAGAUGACACAUUGGUGUAGUUCUAUAAUAGAGCAUGGCUAGCGACAACGAUACCAGUGCGUGCCGAGCAGCACAACCAUGUGUCGGCCGCCACAAGGGGCUCUCGGUUUCGUCACGGCACCAUAAAUCAUUAACCAAGGCACCAUUACUGAACAUACAACCCAAAGGAAAUCUCUCAUGGUAAAAAUUGGGUUGCAUAGCAGCGAGCACUUUGCAAAAGAGGGGGUAUCAACUGAGAUAGUCAUGAGAUUAGAGGUCCACAAGGAAGUGAUUAAAACAUAGUACUAGAGAACAUAGAUCACAUAAGAUUAAGAUGGAUAAACACCCAGAGACUCAAGAGAGUUGGAGAUAAAACGAUUGAGUUUUGAAAGAUUGAGUCAAUACACAGAUUAGGGGAUGGAUACACAACAUUCAAGAGCUAACAACCAUGCACAAACUCAAGCUCUUUAUCAUUGGAAUCUACUUGGAGAUAACUACUGACGGUUCUUAAGUAUCAAUUUUAAUUAUCAAAUAAACAAGAGAAAGGACCAAUAUGCAACCAUCACCUAGAAUUAGGGUUUGAUCUGACAGAAUUCCACGAGUUUUGUUGUUUAUCUAUUUCUGCAGGGGGUUAUCAGGAAAUAAGGAAGAAAGGCCCACAUGUCGGGAUUACAUAGAGAUAUCAACGCACCGCGCAAUUUUACAUCAUCUAGAAGACUCCAGAAGCCACGAGACCGAAGCGGAGGCGAAGCUGGGCCAGGCUUAGGGCGCCCGCCCUGGAAGCCUGGGCGCCCGCCCCCCUGCUGGAGCCAAUUCAGGACUCCUUCGCUCGGGAUAUUCCACCGACCUAUUGGAUCAAGAAAAACAUAGUACUACCUCGGCUAUCGACCCAAAAACGCAUAGAAGGGGAGGACUAUAUAAGCGAGGCCCCCUGGCCCCUGGAAGACAUGAAGAAAUUAUCAUAGAGACUGAGGGGUGCCCUCGAAGGAAAACCUCUAUUGUAAUUAAUAUUUCUUUUUAGGCUUAGCAAUCAAUGUAAGGUAGAAAUAGAUCUUCUAGUUUCUACUAGAUUGAGAGAGAUAGAGUGGAGGUGUAGAGUGGAGGAAGCCCGGCUUGUCGGUGUCUACUCCAAGCUUGUACCUGCGGGAUCAAGUUCUCCUAACCCGAAGCUUGCUCCUAGGAUUCUUCAGUAAUUCGACUUCUAAAUUCUAGUAAGUUCUUGUUUUAUUGUUCUUAUGGUUUAUGAGUUUACUUUAAUCUCUUCGCGUAGAGUUUAGAGUAAUCAUUGCUGGCGUAAAUGUGGUGUUUAGGCUAGGGUACUCAUAGAUAUUCCCUGACUAGCUGGACCGUGGUAGUAGUGAGGAACGUGACAUUUCCGAGCUACCUUUGUAGAUCACAUCUCGUUAGCAGGAAGGAUAGGGUUUAUAGGUGCGGGUCGAACAUCCUUUGUGUUGUCUAGAUUCCGUUAGCCUCCCCAUCAGAACAAUAGAUCAUCCUUACCAAGGUUAGAAGGAGACUACGGUUGCAGUCUUCUCUAUUUAUCACUCACAUCGAAAGACAUUCUUUGUGCCUAAAGGGAUAGUAGCAAUAGACCGGUUAGUCAGAUGCACUCUUUCUCCCAGUGGUAAAAAUAUAAAUACGAUACUCUGGAAAACCUCCCGGGUGAAAUGCUCACCGAUAUCCGUGCGCUUGCGGAUCAUUUUCUAAUUGCGUUACCAAAUAUCAACAAUAACCAUGAGAUUAAAGUGACAUGAGUGUUAUUCUAAGAUAAGGCUCUUCAACACUCGCAAGCUUACUAAGGACAAAAAGGUAACAACUACGACACUACCUGAUUAACAACACAUCUACUCAUGCAUCAUGGUUUUAAACAAACAUGUGAGAACAUGAAUCACACUAUCUCCAACAAUCAUUACUAAGCACAAAGUUCUGCAGAUAACAAGCAGUCAUCUAAAGCAACACUAGUACACCUAAACAUACAAAACAUGAUGGUAAAGUGCUUUUAUCUUUUACUUUCUUUUACUAGAAAGGUGUAUGUUUCUUCUCUAGUUGUGAAAACAAAUUUUUAACUUAUGCUUAAAAGACUAGUCAUCUUAGAGAUGUGCAUCAUACUGACAGGGUGCACAGACAGACCACAACAGGCAAAACAAAGCAAAUUAUACCCUAUCUUUAAUUAUAGCUAUUCAAGCAACAUGUAGCAAAGCAUUUUAUCCAACUGCACACAAGCAAGGUGACACCACAUUGAUUCAUAAGUUACUUAUUGUUAGAACAAAGGUGAGAGACACAAAGUUAUACAUAAGAUAACAAUCAUGAUGAUGCAUGCUUCGUCCUAUUCGUCCUCACAAAAUUGCCAGCCUAAGGUGGCAAUCACGUUCUAUGUCGGUGGCAUAACACGUACACUCUCGACAUAUAGCUAGUCGUAAUAUUCAAUUUACGCAUCCGUGGUUAGUGUACCUGCAGAAAAUUCAUUUCAGCGCACCCACAAUAUGAAACAUGCAGUACAAGAUUAAAAAGCUAUGCGCUCCACACACGUGUAUCCCCAUACCUGUUUGUGUAGUGCUACUACCCACAUCAUCGUCCUAGUGACGACAUCGCCUCUAAGGACGGAAUCACCCAUCAUGCGAUACCUUUUCAUAGGCACAUGUAAAAUGUGCACAUGAUCCAGUACCAAAAGCACUUCCCUAGAUCGGUGGUGUAUCCGAUCAUGCUCUCACAGCUCACACUUACCGUGGCGUAGAGGAAGAAAUGAUCCAUACAUUACCAUUCAAAUGAAUGGCACUCAUACUAUUGCACGCCGUAUGAGCAACGAAAUAGAAAUAUGAUGCAGAAACCCCCAAGUCAGUACUUAAAUAAGCCACCUAAAGGUCCUUAUUUGAGCAUAAAGGAAAUGACCACUGGCAUACUUAGGUAAAACAUUUUCAGAUUUGAACACACCUAUAUCUAUAAUAGCUAUAAGCUAUUAAAAACUAAUUUUAGAAAACAAAAUCUUUUGUUUAGAAUACACAUAUGACAAGUUUAAUGUUGAACCUUGCUUUGAUACCAGCUGUAACAGAACCGCCCAAUUUACAAGAGAUCAACUAUGAAAAACUCCCGCCAAAGCAGUUGCUUUAACAUAAUCGAACUCUUAUAAACCGGGUAGUCCGUGAAAUCACGAGGGAUUUCAAACCAACCAUCAUACAAGCCAAGAUCGUAGUGAUUGAACAUAACAAGUCACAUGUUACAUCCAUUUCACAAGUAGUUUGAUAUACAUCGGAGUUCUAUAUAGUUAUUACAACUUGAGUUGAAAAAUAGCGGAAGCAGAAUAAUUUUGAAACUAACAUUACCCUUAUUUCAAAUACAUGCCAGUAUCCAGGUCAACUCCAACAAAAGCAACAUAGAUGAGGUAACUAAGAUGGAUCAUGCCCAUGAUCUUACUCCUCUAAUAUGGUAGGAGUCAUCCAACUCUUGCAGUAGCCAUGAUACAUCACAACCUGCAACAAGUGGGAAUAAACCCUGAGUACGAGAAGGUACUCAGCUAGACUUACCCGUCAUAAACCAGAAAUAACAUGACACCAAGGAGUAUGCAAGGCUUUAUUGGUGGGGCUAGCUGGAAAACACUUUUUGCAUAAAAAGCUUAGGUUACAGGUAAGUAACUUUUCAGGUAUUUAGCUCAAGUUAAUAAUCAUUACCUGUCAUCUAUAUUAGCACCUGUACUAGAGCAAUCACUUGAUUAAGAUACAACAGUAGUACCCAUAUUUGAUGUGGCAUUUCCAACAUCAUCAUCAUACCAUAACCAUCCAAGUGUUCCAUAAACAUUACUACGAUGACGAAGCUCAAGUCAAGUGCUCACUGUCCAGGAGCGAUGGCGAUUCGAAUCGAUUUCUAACCAGCUGGCGAGUUUAUUCCCCACACAAACCACACUCACUGAUCAAGUGAGCUACAGGUCACCAUAUUACACUAUCCAGGACCAAUUCGCGGGUUCGACAGGCACCGCCCGUACCCGAGGACCGUUCCGGCGACCGAGGUAUCCAAGGUACACCAAGGUUGCGCGCCGCGCCCUCGUCGUUCUCCUCAACCAUCACCAAUACAGCGAGUACAUCGGGCCGAUUCCCGGCCCGGAUAGUGUUCAGGCUUCGCGGUCGGAACAACUUAUCCUUCCAGCUAAGUGUGGGGCAUGUGUUCAACAUGACAAGAGGGCCGUCAACGAUCGGUCCUUAAUCGACACAGGCGGGGAUAGAUAGGCACCCAAGACCUCCAUGUCUUGUUACUUCUCUAUCAUCGUCCCGCCCGGUCUCCAAUUAUUCAUCCUCAUCACUUGGUUAUUUCCAUGAUAGCAUUCAAAAGUAGUAGGAGACUUAUAAUGCUCCGGGGCUUGCCUGGGAUCAACACGGAGUCAGUUUAAUUAGUUGUUCCAUCUUGGUGACAUCUUAGGUCGCAACACUUGCUUAGUCCUUCCACCUUCGCGAUGGGUCCACCCAACACUGUCUUCGGAUUUGUUCCCACACCAAGACCUUCACGUGAUUCAUCUAGCGCACCUAGAUGAGAUGCAAGUGCAUGAAUAUAAAGAAUAAUAACACAACAUGCAUCACAGAAAAGUAUGCAAGACAUAGGCAUUUAAAGUUAUUUAGCUAACAUCACACGACCAAUUAUAUAGAGCAAACAUAUCAAUAAUGACACAAGUUUUACAAGGUUACAAGUGUAUUACUUAAUCACCAUUAAAGACAUGAAUCACAGUUUGCACACAACAAGUAAAGCAAUCAAGCAUUCAUGCAUUUUCAGCAAUUUUGGACAUACAUGCAGCAACUCAGUAAACAAUUCAUAACUAGAGCUACACAGCUCCAAAAACUAUGCAAUAGGACAUUAUGGAAAGAUUAUAAAAUCAUCUACAAUUCAUCUUUAAUCAUAUUAGCAUGAUUAACAAGUUAACCAAGUAAAACAUGCAUGACCAUAUAAUCUGGUCCAGGAAUUUCCAGAGAACAAGCAUUUCAAGGGAUGAGCUUCAUACUACUGUUACUCACAAACCACUUAGCCAAAUGAUAUGAAACUUUACCACAAGAUAUAUUAAUAAAUUAUCUAUAUAUUUUAUAUAGACAAGUUUCACAAGAAACAUCAUUUAUAUCAUGAAAUUAGUUGCACAAUCAAAACUGCUCAUGCUGCCCAAACAGUAGGGGUACAAUUACACACAGAAAACUGAUAGGCAAUUCAAAGCAGCAUAACUGGAGUUGUAGACCUCCAGCAAACAUAAUUCUUAUAUUUGUGGAAAGCUUAUAAAGUUACCUACAACUUUCUUAUUAUCAUCUAAAUAUGAUUCCACAGUUAACAAGGUCAAUUAAUCCCAUGAAGGCAUCUCUGUCCAAAACAUAGACAGAAUCUGUCAUGCUACAUUAAACAGCUAUAACUUGAGGUUCACAUGUCCAUAAUUUAUGAUUGUGUACUUUCUAGAAAGCUUACGAAAUUGUGAACAACUUUGUUAUAAACAUCUAGAGCUAAAUCUACCACUAACAAGGUCUUACAUUACAAACAAUGCAAUCCUGUCUGGGUUUAGACAGAAACUGGAACAGUACUUUAAACCACUAUAACUCAAGAUGUGCUCAACCAAAAAUUGUGCUAUUUAUCUUUUUGGAAAGCUCAUGAAAAUUAAUAAAACUUAUAUAUUUUCAUUAAGGCAUGAUUCACAACUGAACUGAGCCAAACAAUACAAACAUGCAGAUCCACUCAGAAUAGGAGCAAAGGAACACAGGGUACUUGUUAUUUUUAUAACUCUUAAUCUAUUGUUCCUAAAUUCAUGAAACUUUUACCAGUCAUCAAAUAUCAUAUUAAAAGCAUGUCACAAUAUUUUCACAUUUAUUUGGGCAACAACACAGCAGUUAUGAAAAAGACAAAUAUAACAAGGAAUUAAAACCUAACUGCAUAAAUCUAUUUUUACGACUAUAACUUCAAACUAAACCAUACCAUAUUAUAGAUCUACUGCAUAUAGAAUUUCAUAACGAUUCCAAAAAGUCCACAUUUGCUAUUUUACGACUUUUCUAUGAAUUACUAUGCAUUUCCAAAGAUCAUCCAGAAAUCUGCAUAAAGAAAAGAUAAAGGAAAACACUUUUGCUUCGGAAACCCUGGGCUUUCUCGAAAUCAACCGCAGUCCAGAUGCACUAUUCAUAUGAGUGUUAGUUUCGCAUCUGGAACCCUGAGUUGUUUCAUAUUCUAACCCGAGAUCCCUCCUUCUCUACGGAAGGCGAAAUCUAGCUUCGGGGUCAGGGGGCCACGCCAUCGACGAGGAAGCGACGCUGGGGUCUCCCAAGCUCCCACGCACCACGAUGGGGCUCAGCCUGGAGGACGGCCCGGCCACGAUGCUCAUCCAUGCUAGCUGCUCGGGGUAGCGGGCGGCAAUGGUGGUGUCCGUGCUCGACAGUGAUGGGGAGCGAGUUGGAGAGACACAGAGAGGCGGAGGGAGUGGAGGGGAGGUGGAGGCGAGUGAAUGAGGGAGUGGUGAGCCCUUCUGGCUGUCCCAAACGCGAAAUGGAGCAGCAGCAGAGGUGCAGCAAUGGUGGGGCGCGCUCUGGUGCAUGGCGACCACGCAGGCGUUUCAUCGAACACGUGGCGCGCGUCGGAGUAGGCAAGGUGGGAGGCUAUUUUGGGCUUGUUCCUGGCCGAAUUUGAAGAUGAGCCAAAAAUGAAGUUUGCUCACCUCGGCCUGCUCUCCAACUUUGAUUAAGUGUGCUCAGUCAUUAGGCCAACCGAUUAGGAGAUAAAUAGAUGCCAAGUCACGAGUGUCAACGUAUUGACGGUGAUUAGCAAAACCAAGAAUUGAUGGUCCAAAUCAAGUCAAACAUGAUGCAACUUUUUACAUGACCUUCUCCAAGUAAUUGUCCACCACUUUUAUUUUUGGAUCAACUUUAGUUGCUUAACAAAAACAUGAGAACGCGGCAUGCCAACAGGUCGACGUCCGUUUAGCAAUAAAUUAAUCUUUUGCUAUUUUGGGAGCUAUUUUUGAACAUCCAAAUGAACUCCAAAUUUGAUGAUACUUGAUCCAUUGCUUUCAUCAAGAAGAGUACUCAAACUCAUAUUAAGGAAUCUAAUUGAGUUACUAUAUGAAUUUGGAUGCUAAAAUGUCACAGAGAAACUAACUUGCUGCUGUCACUUUCCGGGACUUAGAAUUAUUUCUCAGGGCUAAAAAGCAGCAGCUGAUUCGAAAUUGGAGCCUCUAUUUGAACUAUUUGCAUGCUGAUUUGGUUCUUGACCCUUGAAUAAAGUUUCUUCUACACAAGAAAAACUACAACUUUCAUUUAGGGUCAAACCUCAUAACUGCAACAGAAGUCCAUCUUUCACUUUGGUCAAUGCAGUAACCCGAUAAAGCUCCAAAUAGGAUUUUAGGCCAAUUGAAGCAUUUUCUUGACAUAACCUCAACAUGAACCCUUCAUGACUUUUGUUGUAUAAUUCAUCUAGAGUCCUAUGAGCAAGUUUGGAAGGGUUGGUUCAUGACCCAUGAUUCUAUUUACUUAAUAGAGCCAUUCCAACAAUGAUAUAACUUAUCAUUUCAUGUGACUUCUUGAUUACAAACUUAACCGAACCUUUCCAGAGACCAACAUAGAUUGGGAUGGAUAUAAGACACAUGAAAAAGGUUCCAUUAGCAUCAUCAAAGGAAACCUUUUAAAAAGGCAUAUAUGCAAGCAAGGUUGCAUCCACCAAGCCCAAGUUGCGGUUUACUUUCAUAGGUUGAUUGUGACCUCUUUGUUACCAUUAAGCUUGUCAUGUUUGAGCUCAAACCUAGUACUUAGCAAGUGACAAACAGCUGGGGUUUUACAGGCCCCGUCGUCAAGGACUUAACUCGGUGACCUGCCUUAGGCGCGGGAGGAGGUUGGGGGCGGGGGAUGAUCUGACCUGGCGCAGGCUCAGGAGGAGUGUCGGCGCGGGAAUGACAUGGAGACGGCUCCCUCUGCUGACUUUCACGAGACCAGCUUGGCCCCCCUUUGGGACUUCCGUCCGCGGGACGUCGACGCCGGUCGGGGGAGGGCCCUCGAGGAUCUAGUCGAGACGGGAUGCUAUUCCUUCGGAAUCAUCGCUGUCGUCGUCGCCAUCGUCGCCAUCAUCCUCGUCGUGGGAUUCUUCCUCUGGCUCCCCCUCUGCCUAGACUUCCCUCGACGCAUCUCCAGCACUUGACGCUAGAGAUUCUUCUUCUUUUCCUCCUUCUUUUUCAAGUCUGCUGUGGAUUUCUGCUUUUCUGCGGACUCUCGCCGCUUGUCACGAACGACCUCGUCCACCUUUACUGGAGGCCUCGAGGAUCGAGCGUCGAUCGGUCCCUGCGCGGGCAGAGAUGGGUCUUAAAAGUGGUCGAAGAGGAUCGAGAUUCAAGAUCGUACAUAGGAAAAGGACUUACCAGGUCAAUCGACCCCUAAUCGGGCCUCAUGAGGAAGUCGUUGACGUGCUCUGGCUGGAAGUCGCUAGCAACGGCCGCCCUAACUCAGGCCGCAACCUCAUCGUCCGCCGGAGCCUCGUUGGACAUCCGGCAAGCCUCGAGAUCCCGCGACGAAACACUGGGACCCAUCUCGUCCAUCCUCAACGGCCAAGACAUCAACGGGAGAACCCUCCGAUGAUGGAUGGCCGAGAGAACGAGAGCGGCUGACUGGCCUUCCUCGCGCAGCUUCUUCAGGGCGUUGAGGAGGGGGUCGAGCCGUGCUUGGUGAGUUUGGAUGACGCCGUAGCUCUAGUGGCCCGGGCGCUCUGAGAUCAAGCGCCCGGUGUAGACGGGGAAGAGGUCGUCGUCGUUCCGUAGAUAAAACCACUGGGAGUCCCAUCCGGCGUGGUUCGACGUUAACCCCACCGGGAUGUACUCGCAUGGCCUCUCCGAUUUGCCAGUCUUCAACACCAGGUUGAGGCACCCGGCCCGUACAGGCUUCCUCACACCUAUGGUUCUAGUAGGGGCGUUGAAGAGCUCGCCCCGGUACAGAUGGAGCCACAGGUCCCAGUAGGGCAUCAUACCCAUAUAGCCCUCACACACCGCGGCAAAAACCGCCGCAGCGGUGAUGGCGUUUGGGGAGAAGUGCUGGAGCUCCACCCCGUAGUGGUGGCAAAGCGCUCGCAUGAAACGGCUUAGAGGAGAACCCAAGCCGUGGCGGUGGAACUUGGCGAAGGAGACCACGUAGCCCUUGGGCGGCCUUGGCUCCCGGUGGUCCGCCGCCGGCGCGAUCCACUCCGGCCGCGACAACAAAGUGCGGGAGCGCAGGAGUCCCUCCCUCUCGAGCUCUAGCAGCCGGCGCUCCAUCAUCGACGACGGGCGCUAGUUGUCGGUGUUUUCCCCACGGGGGGUCACACCAAUGAGUAAAUUUGUAUGCGUGCUCCCUUUUCCAAAUGGUGAUGCAAGAAGACAGAAAGAUUUAUCCUGGUUCGGGCAAGAGAAGGCCCUACGUCUAGCGGGGGAGGGAAGUUUGUAUUAUCUUGCACCUAAGUGCUUGUACAGGGGCGAAUACAAGUGUGUAUGAACCGGGAUGGAGUAUGGAAACUUCUCUACGUGUGUGCAUUGUGAUACGUGAUCUCUGUCUAUUCCUGGGUCUCCCCUUUUAUAGCUCCAAGGAGAGACCUAGGGCACAUGUAUAGGUGUCAGAGUAGGGGUCGAUAGAGGAAUGGCGCGCUGACCUACUCGAGGCCUCCGUACCGGCGUGAUCUCGAGCUGUCCCGUCUUGGUAGCUUGAUGAUGAUUACGCGUGCCCCUGUAUCCUGCUCUGCGCGUCGUCUCGGGCUGGUUCACCUGUCGCACGCUUGUAUGGUAUAGCGGCAGAUCCUGCGGAGUGGCUGCGGUGUUGUCAGUCGACGCCCAACUCUUCCCUAGGAAGGAAUCAUGCCUGGUCGAGGGUCAGGCGCCGUGCAGUGCCUUGUCGUCUAAAGCGUUGACCUUGGGUGUCUCAAGGGGGUCCCGACUAGACGCUCCAUCCCUGCUUUUCGCGCCCUGGCACGCUCUGAGUCGUUUGGUGGGGAAAGCUACAAAAAGGAUGAUGGGACGGGUGCCUGUUCCCUAUCACGCUUCCCGUGACCAGCGUGUUAGGUGGGAAAGCGAUAGGCGCAUUAAAUGCCCUGGCUCUCGUGCGCGCGUCAGGCGGCGGACAGUGCCCUUGCGCUCGACGCCCCCCGAUUCGUUCGAGUCCAUUUCCGUAUUCGACGGUAGUUAGCGCUCGAUCCCUGAGUGGUUCGCUCGACGUCUUUUCUGUCUUCGAGGCUUCGGCCGUCGAUGACCGCACGACUUAUCAGAGCGUCGAGUUGAGGCCCUCGAUCUGUGCACGUGUAAUCUCGUUAUGGGCAACAGUUAGGGUACCCCUUACUGAUACCCUCGACAGUAGCCCCCGAGUCUCCAUUCGAGCGCUGGCGCUCAAGUGGAGGCUUUAUUUUGCGGUCGAAUUUCCAUGGGGACGCGCGAGCGACCCCGCGGGGGUAGCCCUCGAGCCCUUGGAGGAGUUUUUUGACUCCUUCAAGGGUUAAAUUGCCUAACUCUCAGAAACGCUAUCGACACCGGUGGUGGAAGGUCCUGAUUGGCUUGUUUUGUGCGGGGGUUUCGACGUACUCUCGAUAGAGCGAGCGUCUUCCACCCCAAAUUGAGUUCCUAGCGGGUAGUCCAAGUGAGAACCUGUGCCCCUUUCUAGGGGGUCAGCUGUAGCCCGGAGGCGAUCUCAUAAAGCAGGGUCGACGUGGUCGGGGAUACCGAUCUCAUUCGAUAGAGUCCAGCGGCUCGAUGCCUCCCGUCGGGGGGAUUCCUUUCGACUGUCUCGACCCUACCUUGGACAUCCCUAGCGAGUCUUCGUGGCGGGCCUCGAUCUUCGACCACUCGCUGGGGAUCCCUGACUCUGGUGCUCGAGAUCGGCUGUCGAACCCUUUAGGUGGGCCAGCCUGCGACCUCUCGAGGCUUUCACGGGUACAUCCCUUGGCUUACAAGGGAAGGAAGGAGCCAUGGGCGGUUCGCCUUUUUGCCCGUUGGGCGCGCCUUUUUAGGUGGGAGGCGUUACGACACUGUGUUGGCGUGGAAUUUGGAGCGCCCCACCUGUGAGGAGGGAAAGGACAGUUAGACGGCGCAUUUAUGGGGGGAGUUACCUCAUUUCUCGGAUCUGCCCGUUGGUGGACUGCUACCUAUAAAUGUGCCUUGGCGUCGCCGCCGUUCUCCCUUCUGCCUCCCGUCUUCGUUCUCGCCUUAGCCCUCUCGUUGCCUUAGUUCUCUUGCUGUCUCACACGCGCGCGCACAUCCUCGAGCGGUAGCGGAUCCACCGUCCUUCCAUCCAAGAUGCCUGUGAGACUCGUCGCCGCCGACGACUGGCGCCCGUCGUCGAUGACGGAGCCCCGGUUGCUAGAGCUUGAGAGAGAGGGACUCCUACGCCGCCGCACCUCGCUAUCGGGGCCCCUUGUAUAGUACUUUGUUAAUCCUAUUUUCAAGUGAUACAGUAUCUUUAAGUGGUUGUUAUAUGUUUGUCUGUCUUUUCUCUCGAGGCUUCUUUUUAUUCCUUUUUGCGCCUAUGUUUGUUUUUUCUCGCUUGGUCUUUUGUUCGAGGCGGUCUCAAUUGCCUCAAGGGUGAGGAGGCGAGUAGAGUUUCCAUAGCCCGGGGGCAUGGGAGUUCUCAGGCUCGUCGUUUCUCGGCCCUUAAGGGGCUCGAGGUACCUUUACUACUCAACCGUGUGAGAUUACCGAUAGGAAUGAAAGGAUUGCUAGAUUUUUUCCGGCGCUUGGGGGGGUCGCCCCCCUUGCUAGCCCCCGAGGGAGUGUCGACUAUGAUGGGUCGUAGUCGAUACUCCCUUCUAUCGUUGAGACUUGUGGAAAAGUAAAUCGCUCGAGGGAAAGAUUUCAUUUAUUCGUAUAUUCAUUUACAAGGCCUUGGUACAAAGCGCACGUAGGAACAUAAAGCUUUGAAAUUCUAGGGGUAGAAUCGACGUAGCUGUUCGAUGUUCCAUGCAUUGGUGAAGACCGCCCCCUUUUCGUCUGCUAACUUGUAUGAUCCUGGCUUCAAGACCUCGGCCACCACGUACGGGCCUUCCCAAGGCGGAGUCAACUUGUGGCGUCCUUGAUUGCUUUGCCGUCGUCGUAGGACAAGGUCGCCCACGUUUAAGUCCCUCCUGCGCACGUGCUUGUCGUGGUAGCGUCGAAGCUUCUGCUGGUAUCUAGCAGAGUUGAUGAGGGCCAUGUCUCGAGCUUCUUCGAGUUGGUCGACCGCGUUUUCUUGAGAUUCUUUAUUUGAUUGCUCGUUGUACGCUUUGAGUCGAGGGGACCCGUACUCGAGGUCUGUGGGGAGGACAGCCUCAGAGCCGUAGACCAUGAAGAAUGGGGUGUAUUUUGUGGCCCUGCUCAGCGUCGUCCUUAGGCUCCAUAGGACCGAGGAAAGCUCCUCGACCCACUUCUUGCCGAAUUUCUUCAAGCGAUUGUAGAUCCUAUGUUUGAGCCCCUGCAAAAUCAUGCUGUUGGCACGCUCGACCUGGCCAUUAGUUCGAGGAUGGGUCACUGCGGACCAGUUCACACGGAUGUGAUGCUGAUCGUAGAAGUCUAAGAAUUUUUUGCCCGUGAACUGAGUGCCGUUGUCGGUGAUGAUGACGUUGGGGAUCCCGAAUCGGUGGAUGAUGUCGGUGAAGAAAAGGACGGCUUGUUCGGAGUGGAUGUUGGUGAUGGGUCGAGCCUUGAUCCACUUGGAGAACUUGUCGAUAGCCACAAGCAAGUGGGUGUACCCUCCUUUUGCCUUUUUGUUGACGGUUCUUAAGUAUCAAUUUUAAUUAUCAAAUAAACAAGAGAAAGGACCAAUAUGCAACCAUCACCUAGAAUUAGGGUUUGAUCUGACAGAAUUCCACGAGUUUUGUUGUUUAUCUGUUUCUGCAUGGGGUUAUCAGGAAAUAAGGAAGAAAGGCCCACAUGUCGGGAUUACAUAGAGAUAUCAACGCACCGCGUAAUUUUACAUCAUCUAGAAGACUCCAGAAGCCACGAGACCGAAGCGGAGGCGAAGCUGGGCCAGGCCCAGGGCGCCCGCCCUGGUAGCCUGGGCGCCCGCCCCCCUGCUGGAGUCAAUUCAGGACUCCUUCGCUCGGGAUAUUCCACCGACCUAUUGGAUCAAGAAAAACAUAGUAUCACCUCGGCUAUCGACCCAAAAACGCAUAGAAGGGGAGGACUAUAUAAGCGAGGCUCCCCUGGCCCCUGGAAGACAUGAAGAAAUUAUCAUAGAGACUGAGGGGUGCCCUCGAAGGAAAACCUCUUCUCUAAUUAAUAUUUCUUUUUAGGCUUAGCAAUCAAUGUAAGGUAGAAAUAGAUCUUCUAGUUUCUACUAGAUUGAGAGAGAUAGAAUGGAGGUGUAGAGUGGAGGAAGCCCGGCCUGUCGGUGUCUACACCAAGCUUGUACCUGCGGGAUCAAGUUCUCCUAACCCGAAGCUUGCUCCUAGGAUUCUUCAGUAAUUCGACUUCUAAAUUCUAGUAAGUUCUUGUUUUAUUGUUCUUAUGGUUUAUGAGUUUACUUUAAUCUCUUCGCGUAGAGUUUAGAGUAAUCAUUGCUGGCGUAAACGUGGUGUUUAGGCUGGGGUACUCAUAGAUAUUCCCUGACUAGCUGGACCGCGGUAGUAGUGAGGAACGUGACAUUUCCGAGCUACCUUUGUAGAUCACAUCUCGUUAGCAGGAAGGAUAGGGUUUAUAGGUGCGGGUUGAACAUCCUUUGUGGUGUCUAGAUUCCGUUAGCCUCCCCAUUAGAACAGUAGAUCAUCCUUACCAAGGUUAGAAGGAGACUACGGUUGCAGUCUUCUCUAUUUAUCACUCACAUCGAAAGACAUUCUUUGUGCCUAAAUGGAUAGUAGCAAUAGAUUUGGUUAGUCAGAUGCACCCUUUCUCCCAGUGGUAAAAAUAUAAAUACGAUACUCUGGAAACCUCCCGGGUGAAAUGCUCACCGAUAUCCGUGCGCUUGCGGAUCAUUUCCUUAUUUCGUUACCAAAUAUCAACAAGCAUUUCUGGCGCCGUUGCCGGGGAGAAAGACGGUUUGUUGAGAUAACUUUGAGUCUUGCUAUUAUCUUGUAUUAUACUUUUAUACUUUUAUUCUUUUAUCUUUUUAUUUUUAUCUUUAUGGAUAACUCAAAUUCCAUACCUAUUAUUAAAUUCUUUGCACCUUCAGAGACCAGCCAUAGACCAUGGGAGUCAACACGUCCUGCCCCUAAUUAUGAUCCGUGUCUGGAGUUGAUUGCAAUAGGCCAAAACCAAACCUUUUCUAUAGCCGAGGUCCUAUCUUUUAAUCAAAAAGAUAAUGCACUUUUAGCUACACCUAGGGAAUCUUUUAAUCUUUCUAUAAAUUCUAGUUUAGACCUAGCCCUACAAGACCAUGUUUUUCCUAGAUAUUUUCACAUUGGUCUUAAUCAUAUAAUCCUUGGUAGAGUCUUUCUUUCAUUAUCAGUUAGUAACGGAAGGUAUGUCUUCAUUCGUGGACAUCCUUCUUGUACUAGUCUUCAUAGAAAAAUCAUAGAGAUAGAGAAGGAAUCAUCUCCCAUACAAGGAGAGGAAGUUUCAAUAGCCGAUUUCCAAACUUUCCAAUCCCAUGAUUCGGCUAUCCAACCCAUCCAUGAGCCUAAUAAUCUCUACUAUGCUCUUUCUCUUGAACCUCCCGAUAAUCCUAUGAAUCUCUCUAGACAUCCCAUGCAUAAGGAGGAUCGAGAAGAGCAACAUCAAUGGCUAGAGGGCAUUAAAAAUUCAUGUGCUAUCACCACAUUUGAGAUCUCCAACCCUCUCUUCUUUUCUAUUUAUAAAAACUUUAAAAGAGCGGUUGUCGAUGCAUAUGUUUAUAAUAAAUAUUGCAGAUCUCGUCGAGUUAAUUGAUGGUUUCCCAAGGACAAGCUUAGUGUCCUAAAACAAGCACUUAUCAGAUUGUAACAUGAACUUCUAAUUACUUGCAACAUUACCUUGUGUAUUGAGCAUAUAAAGAUAAUUGUAGAAAUAUUCCUUCGGGUAUUCUUGUCACUAACCUUUCUAGGAUUGGAGCAAGAAGACCGGAUGAAUGACAAGCGCAAGGUAUGCCCAACCAAUCAACAUUGAAUUAAAUUCAUCCAAUCUUGAAUUUUGCAAAAUUCAAGCUUAGGGGAGUACUUCACAUAAAAACAUCCUUUGCCAUGUUGCUAUGUUGGUUGUCCUUACCUUUGAGACAUGCUCAAUUUGUUAAAUACUAAUCACACUACUUCAUCUCCACUUAAGUAGAUCUCUAUAAAUGCCAUCACGCUACCUUUGUUUAUCCUAGUAAGUGUUAGUUUGGAAGUACUGCACAUACUUCUAUUGGCUUUUAAAUUAAGCAUGGUGCUUAGGUUAAACAACCUUCCUUAAUCUGAUUAGACAUGGAGUCUAGUUCGGUUAUCGAACUAAAAAUUGCUUGUAUAGACAUUGGUAUAUUUUGUGGGACUAACCCCUGCAGGAAAACUUUCAAUAUCAACUUGGGAAGUCCUGAGAUAAACUCACAUUGGAGAUGAAGAAAGUGACACAUGAAGUUUAACAAUUUGCACAAGAAAGAUGUAGCUCAUAAGAGAUGAUCCAUGGAGGGAGCCACAAACACGAUGCACAACCGCUAGAAAGGAAAGCUUCUACAAGGUGAUACUGUACGAUCACUCUUCAAAGGUAACAUCUUAAGGUACUUGACUAUCCUUUUUAUAAGUUUCUCCUUGGUUCUGGCGUUCACAUAAAUAAAGAGACAAACAUGUAUGAUUUAUAACUCUAAAUUAACCAACCUAACUGAUUCAACAUGUUUAGUCCCUUAAUCUUUGUUCUUAGUACUACCUUCGUAAUCCCACGCUCCUAAACAUAUAAGCUAAUAUGUUGCACAUUCAAUCUUUGGAAGAUAAAAAAAAAUAGAUAGAUUAUCCUUCCAUUAGGUUGAGCCAUCUGAUCUAACAAAUGUUUUAAAUGCUACACUCAUGAUCCAUCAACUUUGUCUUGCUCACUAUGCUUAAGGUUAGAAAAGAACAAAUACACUUUUGGUUCUGUUGGUGUUUUCCACCAACAGAGCCCAUGCACUUGAUCUCUGCCUUGUCUCUAUGAGCAGGACACAUUUUGAGAAACAUGAAGGCGUUUUACAACUCCCAGAUUCCAUUAAGUGAAGAAACGGGAUCUACGAGCACAAACACAAUGGAGAUCAGACACUUAGUUUCCCAAAGGAAAUAUUAAAGAACCUCUGUGUCCAAGUUGGUACCUUGUACGCUCCAGCAAACUUCGUGGUGGUAGAGACUGGUACUGAGGAGAGGGCACCCAUCAUCUUACGGAGGCCAUUCCUAAACACCAGAGCUGUCAUCUACGCUAAUGAUGCCAAGAUCAGUCUCUACAUCAAGGGGAAGAAGGAGACUUUUCUUCAAGAACAAGACUACAUAAACUUCAGAGCAAUCCCGACAUGAACCAAGGAAGAGGACCAACAGGAGGAACAGGAACAAGCAAAUGUGGACCGAGUCAGCUAAGAUGGUCACUGCAGCUCAAGGAGGUCAAGAUCGUCGACUCAAGUCACCUUUCUUGAUCAAGAAGGACGACCCUGGUGUUCCAAUCAUCGAGUGCACAACCAAUAGAUACUCUUUUUAGAAAACACUCUACGACACCGGAUCUAACGUCAACAUAAUGGCCGCAGUCACUUAUCAGCUCCUGCAUGGAACCAUGCCCCUACAACCAAUAUAUAUUUAGCUCCAGAUGAUUUUCAGAACAUUGAUAUGGGAGAAGACGAGUACGAUCCACCCAUCAUCUUACGAAGACCAUUCGUCAACACUAUCCAAGUUAUCAUCUACAUUGGAACCGGAGAAGUCCACGUGUAUUUCCCCUCUGAUAAGGUACGCCAUUACUUUAAUGAUUCUAACUAUAUAGUUGAAGAUUCUAAGCAGGUCAAGACAAGAAGAAGACGACGCAACCGCAACCAGAGGAGGCAAAUCAUCAGGGACGGAUGGGCAGACUACGAAGGAAAAGUUGUAAGGUCAGAAGACGUUGAGUUUAAACAGAAUUAUCCAGAGGAGACCGAAGCACCAAGUCAGGUGUGGAAAAUGAAGAUAACUAUACAUGAAGAGGAGGCGCUGCCGGAAGUACCGACUACACCACCCAACGAACCUCACGAUAAUUGAGAAGGUGGAGAAUCCCGUUCGGAGGACUUAAAAAGACCGAACGCCUUGCCAAGAGGUAAACUUGGUAGUUAUCCUUUCCCUUUCAAUUAUUUCAAGUAGUUCACUUAGUUAAUUAAGUUCUAAACAGAAAGUAAAAAUGUGAAAAACAGUAAGCCCCAUGUGAGGAUACGAGUGACAUAAAACCCAUAAUUACAUUCACUGUGGUGGCAUAAAAAUAAAACAAAAAUAUUUUUCUGCUUUAUAAAAUAAAAAUAUAAAAAUAGGGAGUAAUAAUUAUUAAGGAGUCUCAACAUGAUAAAGGCUAGAUAUUUAUGCUCACACUUAAUCAGUUCCACAAGCUUUGUUGUCUAUUUGAGCUCCACAGAAUCUAAGAAUCAAGAAGACUGGCAGACGGAGGAUAUUCUAAUCGCUGUCACAAUGCUGGUGACUUUCAAAUACACCUCUGCCACCUGCUAGCUACAUCAAGAGAAAUUACGUCAAAAUUCAGCUUGGGGGAGAGCACCCCCAUUUAUCUCGAUAAGUAUUUCUAUCUAUCUAUCUUUAUACUUAUAUUAUAUUAGAAUAUAAAUAUACAUAACUAUGAAAAACCAAAUAAAGAUUUUAUGCUUAUAUAUAUAUGUCUUUUGCUUAGUGUGUUUAAUAAAUAAAUAAAGUGGCUAUGCUAAUCUGUAUCUAAAUAAAACUCAAGCAUGGAAAUGAUGAAUAGUUGCUCUGCCUAAUUUGCAGAUUUUAAGUUCUCUCUCAAGUUUAGACAUAACUGUUAUAAUUUAAAGCUUGCUCUAGACCUAAACUUGAGGGAUGAAAACUUGAUCUGAAAUCUAAGUUGUUAACGGAUACGAUAUGGGAAGGUUGAGCUGCUGUUUAUCUGUUUCUAGAGAUGCUAGAAUUCUGGAGAAUUUUAUCUUUGGAAAUCUUUAAAAUGUUGCAUGAUGAGUUCCUGUAUGAUGAGAGUUUAAAUUCCUACCACAGCCAUAUAUACAUGCUUGCUAGACUUCGAGCCACACAAUUACUUUUUACUGCUUAUGAGCAUUGAGUGUGGUCAAGCUGUGUAGACCCUUAGGAGCUUGUCAUGUGGUUAAAUCAAGAUUCACUUGCACGUUCACUCACACAUGCUACUUCUACUCCGGAAGUACCAUCCACAUAUAUCCAUACAUUUCCAUCUUCAGAAUCACCCAAAAAUAUUCUACUCCUAAUCCGGGAGAGAAUAGCCAAAAAUAAUUUUGUUCUUCCUUGUGUAAUAAAUGCCUCAAGAUCAAUAAAGAGUAUUAUUAUUAUGUCUUGUGUGUCUCUACUUUAUUUUUGUGCAAGAAAGCAGAAAACAAGUAUGGGGGAGAUCCCUCGACAUGCUAAACACACUCCGACUACACCACUCCACGAUUCAGGUACACACUCUGCACACUUUACUCUACACAUAUAUAUAUUUUAGAUUAUGCAGAAUAUUGUUCCCGACAUGAUAAAAUAAAAAGAUUAAAAUAUUUCUAAUCAUGAUUAAUCUCAAUCUGUGAUAUUUCCUGAAAACUUGCAAUUAGUAUAAAAUCAUUUUUUAAAACCCUGUGUUACUUAAGUCAAGAUGGAAUAUGUGAUGGUAGAGUAUGAGUUUCUUAUUCUUGAUAUCAUUGUUGCUUGGAGAAUUUAUUUCAAAAUGUUCAAAUUCCUAGCUACCAUCCUCAGUGUUUUAUAUGCCUGAUAAAACUGAAAUAUUAAAUAUGAUUAUAAAAGCUAUCUGCUCUGUAUUGAGUUUGUUCAAAAUGAGUUAGACCCUUGUUGAGAGAUUUAUCAUGCUCCUAAGAUCAAGACAUUAUUUCAGUAAGAUUCACUCUUCCGAAGUAUUAUUGCAUUAGAGGCAUGGGCUAUGCAAAAAUAGAAGAUAUUUCGAGGAAAUAAAAAGGAGCAAGUGCUCGACAACCUCGCAGAAAAAAUGGACAAGUGUCCGGAAGUAGAAUUAGGGGUACCUCGGUAUCCACUUAAAAAAAAUAAAAAAAAAUGACAGCCCAUGGUCCCUCUAAUAAGCAAUAUGCCAGCAAGAGUUGACAAAGUUUUUAAUUUCCAAAGUCUUUGAUCAAGCAAUAAAUGCAAAGUAAGAAUGCUUAAGAAUUUUUGCAAAUUAAAACAACCUCAGUGAGAUAUAUAUAAAAGAUAAUGAGUGAUCUGAGAGAACCUAUGAGGAUAAAAAGGUAUGCUAACUUUCUUUUAAAAAUAUACAAAAACUCCAAGUGGCAGGAUUGAGAAGAAAGGAUCUUUACUCUUAACCAUAUACAUCCCUGACUAUGGUACACAGUGGAUUUUUAACACCCUGCAAAUAUAAAGAAUGUUUUAAAUGUUUACCCCAGAUAUUUUUCUUAACCAUCCUUUUCUCGAGGACGAGUAAAAUCCUAAGUAUGGGGGUAUUUGUUGACGGUUCUUAAGUAUCAAUUUUAAUUAUCAAAUAAACAAGAGAAAGGACCAAUAUGCAACCAUCACCUAGAAUUAGGGUUUGAUCUGACAGAAUUCCACGAGUUUUGUUGUUUAUCUGUUUCUGCAGGGGGUUAUCAGGAAAUAAGGAAGAAAGGCCCACAUGUCGGGAUUACAUAGAGAUAUCAAAGCACCGCAUAAUUUUACAUCAUCUAGAAGACUCCAGAAGCCACGAGACCGAAGCAGAGGCGAAGCUGGGCCAGGCCCAGGGCGCCCGCCCUGGUAGCCUGGGCGCCCGCCCCCCUGCUGGAGUCAAUUCAGGACUCCUUCGCUCGGGAUAUUCCACCGACUUAUUGGAUCAAGAAAAACAUAGUACCACCUCGGCUAUCGACCCAAAAACGCAUAGAAGGGGAGGACUAUAUAAGCGAGGCUCCCCUGGCCCCUGGAAGACAUGAAGAAAUUAUCAUAGAGACUGAGGGGUGCCCUCGAAGGAAAACCUCUUCUCUAAUUAAUAUUUCUUUUUAGGCUUAGCAAUCAAUGUAAGGUAGAAAUAGAUCUUCUAGUUUCUACUAGAUUGAGAGAGAUAGAGUGGAGGUGUAGAGUGGAGGAAGCCCGGCCUGUCGGUGUCUACUCCAAGCUUGUACCUGCGGGAUCAAGUUCUCCUAACCCGAAGCUUGCUCCAAGGAUUCUUCAGUAAUUUGACUUCUAAAUUCUAGUAAGUUCUUGUUUUAUUGUUCUUAUGGUUUAUGAGUUUACUUUAAUCUCUUCGCGUAGAGUUUAGAGUAAUCAUUGCUGGCGUAAACGUGGUGUUUAGGCUGGGGUACUCAUAGAUAUUCCCUGACUAGCUGGACCGCGGUAGUAGUGAGGAACGUGACAUUUUCGAGCUACCUUUGUAGAUCACAUCUCGUUAGCAGGAAGGAUAGGGUUUAUAGGUGCGGGUUGAACAUCCUUUGUGGUGUCUAGAUUCCGUUAGCCUCCCCAUUAGAACGGUAGAUCAUCCUUACCAGGGUUAGAAGGAGACUACGGUUGCAGUCUUCUCUAUUUAUCACUCACAUCGAAAGACAUUCUUUGUGCCUAAAGGGAUAGUAGCAAUAGAUUUGGUUAGUCAGAUGCACCCUUUCUCCCAGUGGUAAAAAUAUAAAUACGAUACUCUGGAAAACCUCCCGGGUGAAAUGCUCACCGAUAUCCGUGCGCUUGCGGAUCAUUUCCUUAUUGCGUUACCAAAUAUCAACACUUUUGUUGAGGCCCUACUAAGUCGAGCCCCCAUACUGCAAAUGGCCAUGUGAUGGGGAUCAUCUGAAGAGCGUGGGCAGGCAAAUGCCUCUGUUUGGCGUAGAACUGACACCCGUGGCAUGAGCGUACGAGCUCGAUGGCAUCGGCUACGGCCGUUGGCCAGUAGAAGCCUUGUCGGAAGGCGCUCCCUAUGAGGGUCCGUGGAGCAGCAUGGUGGCCAUAAGCCCCCGAGUGUAGGUCCUCGAGGAGUUUCCGGCCUUCUUCCACGGUGAUGCAACGCUGCAAGACCCCCGUCGGGCUUCGUCGAUAUAGCUCGUUGUCCUCGCCAUAGAUCACAUACGACUUGGCCCGUCGAGCGAUACGGCGGGCCUCAGAUCGAUCUUCUGGCAGCUCGCCGCGGAUUAGGCAGUCGAGGAACGGCGUGCGGCAGUCGAACGGUCGAUCGGGCCGUUGCUCCGCCUCCAUUACCUCGGCUGCCAUCAGUAGUACGUCGACGGUGUCGGCUUGCUGGGCAGGAGUGGCGUCGACGCCAGCCCCCGAGCCCAGGUCGACGGAUGGCUCGUGAAGAUCCCUUGAGAACGCGUCAGGUGGUAUCGUGCCUCGGGUCGACGCGAUCUUGGCGAGUUCGUCAGCUGCCUCAUUGUAGCGCGGGCAAUGUGGACGAGUUCGAGGCCAUGGAAUUUGUCCUCGAGUCGACGGACUUCCUUGCAGUAUGCCUCCAUUUUCGGGUCGUGGCAGCUUGAGGUCUUCAUUACUUAGUCGAUGACGAGUUGGGAGUCGCCUCGGACGUCGAGGCGUCAGACUCCUAGCUCGAUGGCGAUUUUGAGACCGUUGACGAGUGCCUCGUAUUCUGCGACGUUGUUGGAUGCGACAAAGUGAAUUCUGAUGAUAUACCUCAUAUGAACGCCCAGGGGCGAGAUGAACAGCAAGCCGGCCCCAGCCCCCGUCUUCAUGAGAGACCCAUCGAAGUACAUCGUCCACAGCUCCGACUGGAUCUGAGUUGGGGGGAGUUGGGAGUCUGUCCAUUCCGCGACAAAAUCCACCAGGGCCUGCGAUUUGAUAGCCUUACGGGGCGCAUAAGUGAGAGUCUCACUCAUGAGCUCGACCGACCAUUUGGCUAUUCUUCCUGUGGCCUCCCUAUUUUGGAUUAUCUCGCCCAAGGGGAAGGACGAGACCACCGAGAUGGGGUGGCCGAGGAAAUAGUGUUGCAGCUUGCGUCGGGCGAGGAUUACGGCGUAUAUUAGCUUCUGGAUUUGAGGGUCACGCGUCUUGGUCUCUGAGAGCACCUCGCUGAUGAAAUAGACCGGUCUCUGGACUGGCAACGCAUGCCCCUCUUCCUACCUCUCGACAACCACAGCUGUGCUGAUGACCUGAGAUGUUGAGGCGACGUAAAGGAGCAGUGGUUCUGCAGGUUGAGGCGGGACCAGGACCGGUGUUGAAGUCAGCGUUUUCUUCAAGUUUUCGAGGGCUUCCUCAGCCUUGGGGGUCUAAGAGAAACGCUAAACCUUCUUCAGAAGUCGAUAUAAUGGUAACGCCUGUUCUCCUAACCUCGAGAUGAAACGGCUUAGCGCCGCUAGGCAUCCCGUGACUCUCUGCACACCCUUGAUGUCUCGAAUCGGGCCCAUUCUCGUGAUGGCCGAGACUUUCUCGGGGUUGGCCUCGAUGCCACGCUGGGAAACAAUGUAACCCAAGAGCAUGCCACGAGGCAUGCCAAAAACACAUUUCUCGGGAUUGAGCUUGAUCUGGUUGGCGCGUAAGCAGCUGAAAGCGAUCUCGAGAUCCUGGAUCAGGUCACCUUGCCGCUUUGAUUUGACGACGAUGUCGUCGACAUAGGCCUCGACCGUCGACCCAAUGUGUUUGCCAAACACAUGGAGCAUGCAACGUUGGUACGUAGCUCCCGCGUUUCGAAGCCCAAACGGCAUGGUUACAUAACAAUACAUCCCAAAAGGUGUGAUAAAAGACGUCGCGAGCUGGUCGGACUAUUUCAUUUUUAUUUGGUGGUAACCGGAAUAUGCAUCAAGGAAAGAAAGGAUUUCACAUCCCGCAGUAGAAUCAACAAUUUGAUCAAUACGUGGUAAAGGAAAAGGAACUUUCGGACAUGCUUUAUUUAAACUUGUGUAAUCGACACACAUCCUCAUUUUCCCAUUCUUUUUCUUAACUAGUACAGGGUUUGCUAACCAGUCAGGAUGAUGAACCUCCUUGAUGAAUCCGGCCGUCAAAAGCUUGUGGAUCUCCUCGCCAAUGAUCUUGCGCUUCUCCUCGUCGAAUCGGCGCAACCGUUGCUUCACUGGCUUGGAACCGACUCGAAUUUCCAAGGAGUGCUCGGCGACUUCCCUCGGUAUGCCAGGCAUGUCCGAGGGACUCCAUGCAAACAUGUCGGCGUUUGCACGGAGAAAGUCGACAAGCACAGCUUCCUAUUUAGGGUCGAGGUCGGCGCUGAUCGUCAGCACCUUGCCGUCGGAGUUGUUAGGGUCGAGCGGGAUCUUCUUGGUUCCUUCGGCUGGCUCGAAGCUGCCCGCGUGGCGCUUGGGCUCCGAAGCCUCAGCGGCCAGGGCCUCGAGCUUUGCGACGAGCUCGGUGGAGUUCUCGACCGCUUCCCCAUACCCAACGCACUCGAUGUCGCACUCGUAAGCGUGCUCGAAGGAGGAGCUGAUGGUGAUGACUCCUUUGGGAUCGGGCAUCUUCAGCUUCACGUAGGUGUAGUUGGGUAUAGCCAUGAACUUGGCGUAGCCCGGGUGCCCGAUGAUGGCGUGGUACGUGCCCCGGAACCCGACCACCUCAAAGGUGAGGAUCUCCUUCCUGAAGUUGGCCGCUGUGCCAAAGCAGACCGGUAGGUCAAUUCGACCCACUGGAAACGCCUUUUUCCCUGGCAUGACGCCAUGGAAACCGCCGGCGCUUGGUUGGAGCCGUCCCCUGUCGAUGCCCAGGAGGUCGAGGGUCUCGAGGUAGAUGAUGUUGAGGCUGCUGCCGCCGUCCAUCAGCACCUUUGAAAGCCGGGUGUUGACGAUGAUGGGAUCGACGACGAGCGGGUAGACGCCUGGGGCAACUACUUUGUCCGGGUGAUCUUCUCGAUCGAAAGUGAUGGGAGUGCUCGACCAGCUGAGGUACUGGGGUACCGCCAUUCUCGCCGCGAAGACCUCACGUCGUUCCCUUCUGCGCUGCCUUGUGGUCAACUGCAUCGAGGGCCCUCCAUAAAUCAUGUAGCAGUCGUGGACGGCUGGGAAGCCGUCGUCAUCUUUGUUGUCCUCCUUGUUGCCGCCCUUCUCCUUCUUUGAGUCGUCGCAUGCAUUCUUUUUGAACCCCAGACCGUCGAAAUGCUUUCUCAGCAUACGACAGUCCUUGAGCUUGUGGUUGGCGCCUCCCUUAUUGUAAGGGCAUGGCUCUUCUAGCAUCUUGUCAAAAAUUCCUCCAUCUGGAGGGCCUCGAGGCCUCUUGCGUUCCGUGACGGCGACGAGAUCGUCGUCGAGGUCUUCCUGCUUGAACUGCCACGCUCUCUGCAUCUUCUUGUUUUUCUUGGGCCCUCAACUAGGGGUCCCAUCUUCAUCGGUGGGUUGCUUGCCUUUUCUUCCUUCACAACUGAAGAAAGCGCCGACUGCUUCCUCCCCUGCUGCGUAGUUUGCCACUACAUCCAUCAGCUCAUCGACGGUCUGAGGGCGAUUCUAGCCCAAUUCCCGUACCAGGUCUCGACUGGUGGUACCAGAGACAAAGGCCAGGAUGACGUCGUUGUCGGGGAUGUGUGGCAGCUCGGUGCGCUGCUUUGAGAAGCGUCAAGCAUACUCUCGAAGAGUUUCUCCUGACUUCUGCUUGCACUUGCUGAGGUCCCACGAGUUCCCGGGCCGUAUGUAGGUCCCUUUGAAAUUACCCUUGAAAAAUCUAACUAAAUCGACCCAUUCGUGGCUUUGAUUAGCUGGAAGCUCCUCGAGCCACCGACGGGCGGUAUCAGAAAGGAAAAGCGGUAGCUGUCUGAUGAUGGCUCGAUCGUCACCUCGAGCACCUCCCAACUGACAAGCCAACCUGAAGUCUGACAGCCACAGCUCCGGUGGUUUCACCCUUGUAUUUCGCGAUGCUGGUCGGGGGUCGGAACGGACUGGGCAGGGUUGUGCUGCGGAUUGCCCUGCUGAACACACGUGGGCCUGGUGGCUCGGGGGCCAUUCGGUCCUCGUCGCUGUCGUACCUCCCGCCACGAUGUGCGCUGUAACCGCGCUCUUCCGCGUCCCCAUGCCGGCGGCGUCGAUUUUCCUCGAUGUCAUGCCGUGCGUCGUGUCGACGCUGGUUAUCAACGGGAAGAACGAACGUGGUCUUUUUUCCUCGAGGGGAUGGCUGCUGAUGGACUGAUAUCUCCUUUUCGUUUUGGGGGGGCUCAUCACGCUUUUUAGUGGCAGCUCCUCGUCGUCGAGAAGCCGAGCUUUCGGCUUGUUAAACUGCCGCCACCUGGAGCAGAGUCUGUACCUCGUCUCGAAUACGUCGAGCUUGAGAGUUUGAUGGCUCUGGCAUGUUGCGCAGCAGCAUUGUCGCCGCCACUACAUUCUGGCUUGCUCGAGGGAAACGGCUGACAGGCUGCUCUGGCUCUGCAUCUCUGACGAUUUGUCGGUGUACCUCUCGAGCGUGUCUGCGGACACUUCCGCCAGGCAGGUAAGGCAAGUCUUGCUCGAGGAUUUGCUCUAGCAGGACGAGGCGCUCACGAUCCUCGUCAAGCUUGGUCUUGAGCUCUCGUAACUGCGCGAGUUGUGCGGCCCUGUCUUCCUGUGGAAGCGGGUCGACCUGUCCGGCGUUCCCAGGCGUCCUGGGAUCUUCUCUUGCCGCAGGGGCUCGACCGCCGGCAGCCGCAUCCUGCGUCUCGUCGGUAGUUUCUACCGCCCCGUGGACGUGAUAGCAUUCCCUUGUAGGGUCGUAGCUAUCGGUCUCAGAGUCGGAGUACGGCUCGGUGGCGUAGUAACAUCCACGUCCUUCCUCCAGCAGCCGCUGCCUGAGCGAGGUGAUCGUGUAUCAUCCCGGGCCUAGGCGGCGGAGGCCUCGUACCCGGGAGAGGUCCGGCAACUCGGACGUCGGCGGCCGUGCUUCGGAGUCACGUGGGAGGACCAUUGGUCUUUCCACAUACGUUUGGGCGUUUGGGCAUAUCGUCCUGGCGAGUGACGUCGCAGCGUUGUCCAACCCGAAUGGCAAUGCCCUUCUUGGGGUGAACAACCCAUGUGGAAGCAACCUAGCGGUGGGGGAGGGCGCCCGGGGCGUGUCACCUCUUGUCGUCGUGUGGUGUCGGACCGGCACGCCCGUAGUUCCAGCACGCGGCGCAGCCGGCUCCUGCGCCACCUCCUACCUAGCACGAACUGCCGGUCGUGACGAGGUAGAGGGAUGACGAUGGUGCUGCCCACGCCUCUUCUUAGGCGGGGAGGCGUGAUGUCGAGGGCGUCUCGGGGCCCUCGUUCGCACUGGCGCAACGUGGGCUCCUCCCGGUCCUCUGAUCGAGAGCAAGACCAUGUCGUAGCCGAAGCCAGUCGACAUGAACUCAAGGCUCCCAAACCAGAUCACCGUGGAGCGUGGAAUCGGCGAGGCGAGAGUGGCCAUCUAGAAAGGAGUGGGAAAUCGAUGAAAAACAUGCAGGACCCCUACCUGGCGCGCCAACUGUCGGUGUUUUCCCCAUGGGUGGUCACACCAACGAGUAAAUUUGUAUGCGUGCUCCCUUUUCCAGAUGGUGAUGCAAGAAGACACAAAGAUUUAUCCUAGUUCCUGCAAGAGAAGGCCCUACGUCUAGCGGGGGAGGGAAGUUUGUAUUAUCUUGCACCUAAGUGCUUGUACAGGGGCGAAUACAAGUGUGUAUGAACCGGGAUGGAGUAUGGAAACUUCUCUACGUGUGUGCGUUGUGAUACGUGAUCUCUGUCUAUUCCUGGGUCUCCCCUUUUAUAGCUCCAAGGAGAGACCUAGGGCACAUGUAUAGGUAGCAGAGUAGGGGUCGAUAGAGGCAUGGCGCGCUGACCUACUCGAGGCCUCCGUACCGGCGUGAUCUCGAGCCGUCCCGUCUUGGUAGCUUGAUGAUGAUUACGCGUGCCCCUGUAUCAUGCUCUGCGUGCCGUCUCGGGCUGGUUCACCGGUCGCACGCUUGUACGGUAUAGCGGCAGAUCCGGCGGAGUGGCUGCGGUGUUGUCAGUCAACGCCCAACUCUUCCCCAGGAAGGAAUCAUGCCUGGUCGAGGGUCAGGCGCCGUGCAGUGCCUUGUCGUCCAAAGCGUUGACCUUGGGUGUCUCGAGGGGGUCCCGACUAGACGCUCCAUCCUUGCUUUCCGCGCCUUGGCACGCUCUGAGUCGUUUGGUGGGGAAAGCUGCAAAAAGGAUGAUGGGACGGGUGCCUGUUCCCUCUCACGCUUCCCAUGACCAGCGUGUUAGGUGGGAAAGCGACAGGCGCAUUAAAUGCCCUGGCUCUCGUGCGCGCGUCAGGCGGCAGACAGUGCCCUUGCGCUCGAUGCCCCCCGAUUCGUUCGAGUCCAUUUCUGUAUUCGACGGUAGUUAGCGCUCGAUCCCUGAGUGGUUCGCUCGACGUAUUUUCCGUCUUCGAGGCUGCGGCCGUCGAUGACCGCACGACUUAUCAGAGCAUCGAGUUGAGGCCCUCGAUCUGUGCACGGGUAAUCUCGUUAAGGGCAUCAGUUAGGGUACCCCUUACUGAUACCCUCGACAGAACCCUUACUGAUACCCUCGACACCCUUCUCCUUCUUUCUGUCAUCGCGUGCGUCCUUUUUGAACCCCAGACCGUCGAAAUGCUUUUUCAGCAUACGACAGUCUUUGAGCUUGUGGUUGGCUCCUCCCUUAUGGUAAGGACAUGGCUCCUCUAGCAUCUUAUCGAAGAUGCCUCCAUCUGGAGGGCCUCGAGGCCUCUUGCGUUGCAUGGCGGCGACAAGAUUGUCGUCGAAAUCUUCCCGCUGGAACUGCCGCGCUUUUCUGCUUCUUCUUGUUCUUCUUGGGCCCUCGACUGGGGGUCCCAUCUUCAUUGGUAGGCUGCUUGCCUUUCCUUCCUUCACAGCUAAAGGAGGCACCGACCACUUCAUCCCCUGCUGCGUAAUUUGCCACUACGUCCAUCAGCUCAUCGACGGUCUGAGGGCGAUUCCGGCCCAAUUCCCGCACUAAGUCUCGACUGGUGGUACCAGAGACAAAGGCCAGGAUGACAUCAUGGUCGGGGAUAUGCGGUAGCACGGUGCGCUGUUUCGAGAAGCGUCGAGCGUACUCUCAAAGAGUUUCUCCUGACUUCUGCUUGCACCUGCUGAGGUCCCACGAGUUCCCAGGCCGUAUGUAGGUCCCUUUGAAAUUACCCUCGAAAACCCUAACCAAAUCGACCUAGUCGUGAAUCUGAUCGGCUGAAAGUUCCUCGAGCCACCGACGGGCGGUGUCGGAGAGGAAGAGCGGUAGCUGUCUGAUGAUGGCUCGAUCAUCUCCUCGAGCGCCUCCUAGCUGACAGGCCAGCCUAAAAUCGGCUAGCCACAACUCUGGUUUGGUUUCACCGUUGUACUUUACGAUGCUGGUCGGGGGUCGGAACGGAUAGGGCAGGGGCAUGCUGCGGAUUGCCCUGCUGAACACCCGUGGGCCUGGUGGCUCGGGGGCCAUUCAGUCUUCAUCGCUGUCGUACCUCCCACCGCGAUGUGCGCUGUAGCCGCGCUCUUCCGCGUCUCCAUGCCGACGGCGUUGAUUCUCUUCAAUAUCGCGUCGUGUGUCGUGUUGACGCUGGUUGUCGACGGGGAGGACGAGCGUGUCUUUUUUGCUCGGGGAGGUGGCUGUUGAUGGACUGACACCUCCUUUUCGUUUUGGGCUGGCUCGUCGCGCUUUUCAGUGGCAGCUCCUCGACGUCGGGAAGCCGAGCUUUCGGCUUGUUGAACUGCCGCCACUUGGAGCAGAGUCUGUACCUCGUCUCGAAUGCGUCGAGCUUGGGAGUUCGAUGGUUCUGGCAUGUUGCACAGCAGCAUUGUCGCUGGCACUACAUUCUGGCCUGCUCGAGGGAAAUGGCUGACGGGCUGCUCUGGCUCUACGUCCCCGAUGAUUUGUCGGUGUACCUCUCGAGCUCGUCUACGGACACUUCCGCCAGGCGGGUAAGGCAAGUCUUGUUCGAGGAUUUGCUCGAGCAGGACGAGGCGCUCACGAUCCUCGUCGAGCUUUGUCUUGAGCUCUCAUAGCUGCGCAAGCUGCGCGGCCUUGUCUUCCUAUGGAAGUGGGUCGACCUGUCCGUCGUUCCCAGGCGUCCUGGGGUCUUCUCUUGCUGCAGGGGCUCGACCGCCGGUAGCCGCAUCCUGUGUCUCGUCGGUAGUUUCUACCGCCCUGUCGACGUGAUAGCAUUCCCUAGUAGGGUCGUAGCUAUCGGUCUCGGAGUCGGAGUCCGGCUCGGCGGCGUAGAAACAUCCACGUCCCUCCUCCAGCAGCCGCUGCCUGACCGAGGUGAUCGUGUAUUGCCCAGGGCCUAGGCGUCGGAGGCCUCGUACCUGGGAGAAAUCCGACAGCUCGGACGUCGGCUGCUAUGCUUUAGAGUCACGUGGGAGGACCAUUGGUCUCUCUACGUACGUCUGGACGUUUGGGCAUAUCGCCCUGGCGAGCGACGCCGCGGCGUUGUCCAAUCCGAACGGCAGCGCCCUUCUUGGAGUGAACAACCCAUGUGGAAGUAACCUAGCGGUGGUGGAGAGCGUGCGGGGCGCGUCACCUCUUGUCGUCGUGUGAUGCUGGGCCGGCAUGCCCACAGUUCUGGCACGCGGCGCUGCCGGCUCCUGUGUCACCUCCUGCCUAGUGCGAACUGCCGGUCGUGACGGGGCAGAGGGGUGAUGAUGAUGCUACCCACGCCUCUUCUUGGGCGGGGAGGCAUGGUGUCGAGGGCGUCUCGGGGCCCUCAACCGUGCUGGCGCAACGCGGGCUCCUCCCGGUUCUUUGAUCGAGAGCAAGAUCAUGUCAUAGCCGGAGCCAGUCGACAUGAACUCAAGACUCCCAAACCAAAUCACCAUGGAGCGUGGAAUCGGCGAAGCGAGGGUGGCCAUCUAGAAAGGAGUGGGAAAUCGAUGAAAAACACGCAGGACCCCUACCUGGCGCGCCAACUGUCGGUGUUUUCCCCAUGGGUGGUCACACCAACGAGUAAAUUUGUAUGCGUGCUCCCUUUUCCAGAUGGUGAUGCAAGAAGACACAAAGAUUUAUCCUGGUUCGGGCAAGAGAAGGCCCUACGUCCAGCGGGGGAGGAAAGUUUGUAUUAUCUUGCACCUAAGUGCUUGUACAAGGGCGAAUACAAGUGCGUAUGAACUGGGAUGGAGUAUAGAGACUCCUCUAUGUGUGGGUGUUGUGUUGCCUCAUGUCCUGUGUUCACUCCCGGGUCUCCCUUUUAUAGUUCCAAGGAGAGGCCUAGGGUACAUGUAUAGGUGACAGACUAGGGGUCGACAGAGGCAUGGCGCGCUGACCUACUCGAGGCCUCCGUACCGGCGUGGUCUCGAGCCGUCCCGUCCUGAUAGCUUGAUGAUGAUCACGCGUGCCCUUAUAUCCCGCUCCGUACGCCGUCUCGGGCCGGUUUGUCCGUGGCACGCCUGUACGUCACGGCGGCUCAUACGUCAGAGUGGUGGCAGUGCCGUCAGUCGACGCCCAACCCUUCCCUAGGAAGGAAAUAGGUCUGGUCAAGGGUCGGACGCCGUGUAGCGUCUUGCUAUCCAGAGCAUUGACUUUUGGCGCCUCGAGGGGGUCCUGACUAGACGUUCCAUCCCGGCUUCCCGCGUCCUGACAUGCUCUGGGUCAUUUGGUGGGGAAGGCUGCAAAAAGAAUAAAGGGACGGGUGCCUGUUCCCCAUCACGUUUCCCGUGACCAGCGUGUUAGGUGGGAAAGCGACAGGCGCAUUAAAUGCCCGGGUUCUCGUGCGCGCGUCAGGCGGCGGGUGGCAUCCUUGGCGCUCGACGCCUCCUGGUUCGCUCGAGCCUACUUCCGUAUUCGACGAUAGCUGACGCUCGACCCCUGAGCAGUUCGUUCGAUGCCUUUUUCCGUCUUCGAGGCUGCAGCCAUCGAUGACUGUAUGUAUGGCUGAUUAUAACGUUGAAUUGAGGGCCUCGAUCUGUGUAAGGGUAAUCUCGUUAUGUGUAUCAGUUAGGAUACCCCUUACUGAUACCCUCGACAGUGAUCUUUAUGCCGAUUCCACUCUUGUCGACGCUUUUCUUCCUCUCGACGUGGAUCCUUUUGUAGUUGGCGAUAUCGAUCUUCACACUGCUGCCUUGUUUCCCGAUGUCGUCUAUGAGUAAUCACGAUGCCAGAUCGAGGAGGUCUCCUAGAGCUACUACCCUUCUUGAUCAAGCCCUUUCCAUUAGCGUCAUCGGUGGUCACUUGAUGCUGAGGAUCUACCGAUUCUAUAGCCGACUGCAAUUGCUGCCUGAACACCUUGCACUCAUUUGUGCCGUGUGACGUUGCAUUAUGCCAUUUGCAAUACUUGAUUUUCUUCAACUCUUCUACUGAUGGGAUCACAUAAUUAGGUGACAGUUUUAAUCUGCCUGCCCUGAAGCAAGAAAUCAAAUAUCCUAUCGGCCUUGGUGAUGUCAAAAGCAAACUUUUCUAGUUCCUUUUGACCAAAAGGACAAGACAUCGGCUUUUUGUUCUUCAUCCACUCUGCCAAGCCGAUGACUGGUUCUUCAUCAAAAUCAGAACUCAUUGCCUCGUCAACAAAUGACACUUUCUUGUUCCAAGCUUUUCUAGGUUCAAAAUCUUUGAUAUCUUGAUCAGAGAUCCUCUAUACCAAAUGACUCAAACUUUCAAAUUCUUGAGAAGCAUAUUUAUCCUUGAUGUGUGGCAUCAAUCCUUGAAAGGCCAAAUCGGCUAACUGCUGAUCAUCCAGAACCAGACUGUAACAUUUGUUCUUUACAUCCCGUAGCCUCUGCACAAAGCUUUCAACUCAUUCAUCAUUGCGUUGCUUCAAUCUUACUAAAUCGGUAAUCUUCUUUUCAUGGACUCCAGAAAAGAAAUACUUGUGGAACUGCUUUUCCAGAUCGGCCCAGGUAAUAACCGAGUUCGGAGGCAAUGAGAUAAACCAAGUAAAUGCCGAUCCUAACAAAGAUGAUGAAAAUAAACGAACUCUUAACUCAUCUCUGUUAGCAACUUCUCCACACUAGAUGAUCAACCGAUUGACAUGUUCCAUGGUUGACGUGUCAUCUUGUCCAGAAAAUUUAGUGAAAUCUAGCACCUUGUACCGAUUUGGAAGUGGAAUCAAAUCAUAUGCAGGAGGAUAUGGUGUUCAAUAAGAAUAGGUGUUAACUUUAGGUUUUAUCCCAAACUGAUCUCUCAUAACUUCUGCUAUCUUAUCGGUCCAACAGGCAUCGGCAUCCUGCUGAUGUGCGGGUUGAAGUUCUAGCAACUACUGAUAAGCUACCACGUGUCUCUGAGGAGCACGUUCUCCAGGAAACAUAACGUUGGCCAUAGCUUGCUGGCCACCAAUCUGCUGAGCAAGAUUGAUCGGCUGAUUGGCUGGUCCUUGAUUCUGAAAACCAACCUGCAUCUGUCCUUGUUGGAAUCCCAUAGCCUGAUGAUUUUGCUGUGUCACAUGUGGUAAGACAAACUGUCCUGUGCAUCCAUUAUUAGCAUUCAUCGGUGCAGGUCCUGCCGAUGGCUGAUAAUUGGCUAUCAUUGCUGGGUUGACAUACCCUGUCUGAGUCAUAAAUCUCUGUUGAAUCGGAAAUGGAUCUGCCGAUGAAUUUUCAUUAGGCAUCUAGAACGUUGGCAUUUGAAAAUUCCCAGUAGCAGGCCUUGCAGUAGUAGUCGUAUAAUACUGAGGAAUUUGAGUCAUCGUUGAAACUAGAGGUGCCGAUGUCAUAGGAGCUUUUCCUAAUAAGUCAGUCACGUGAGAUGUUCUAGAACUAUUUGCAAAAAACUCUGGAGGCAUACCAUUUCCCCACCAAUUGGAUGGAACUUGACAAUUCUGAAAUACAGAUCCUGACAUUGCCAAUGCUGAUAGAUCUGUGUUAAGAUGAACCCGUCCCUCUGACGUCGCUGGUUAGGUCUCAUUGGUGUAGAUUGCCCAUUGGUCAACCCUAAUGUGCUUGGAGGAGAAGUAACUUCUGUUCCCGCAACGGCCGGAGGAGCCGAUGGAGCUGUAACCGAUGACAACCCAGGCUGGUGAUAGGCCGGGCCAACAUAUAAUGGUGGUGUCUAUCCUUCUUUAAAAGUUCUAGCCACAGCAUUGUAAACAGUAUUGGACAACACACUGGAUUGAUUGAUGAAAGCACAACUAAAAGCAUUGUCAACCAUGUCUUGCAAUAUACCAAGAUUGGCGUCGAAAGUAACCUGCCGAGGCAUCGGUAGCUCUUGCUUCUUGAUUACUUCACCGCUCCUGUUGACGCUAAAGGAUUUCAAGCAGAGCUGCUAUUCCUCCAUAGCCCUUGCCAUAACUCGCUUCUGCUCGUCCCUGAGAUAAGCUUCCGUCACAGCAAUGACAUUCUCUGUGUCGAGAUCAGCAGUAGCCAUGUUGAUUUUUUUGAUAGAUUGGUCCCACCGGGUGUGCCAAAAGAUGUGUUGGUGCAAAAAAUGGAUCUGCAAACACAAAAGGCUAUACCCGAUCUAAACCUUGAGGCGUGCCAGCCAAUUUGACAUAGCAAUCGACAAAGGUGAUAACUCGAACACUUUGGUCCCGACAACAGUGAUGCGCCCGGAUGUCACGGCCAAGAGGUAUUCACACGGAACUUAAGGAUUCGUCGACUAUGACUCGACGAAUCCUUAAGAACUCGUAGAAGAAUGAAAAAUAUGCGAGUUGAGGAAGUCGUCGAAAAAGUAGAUGCAAAAGUAGACGUAAAACUUGUGUAUGAUAUUGAUUGCUUGUUUUAUUACAUCACUACUGGGCCUAUAUUUACUCUGUCCUAAAGAGUCACAACCGUACACGACUAGGAUUUAAUUCUAAACCGAACAGGACUCGUACAUAAAACAAAUUCUAACAAAUAUGUUAAAUAACUACCUAUCUAUUCUGGUGAUCGUCAUAUCACCGUUCUCUUCCUAUCAACCUUCACGCCUUCCUUCAUCGGCACAUGCCCUGUAUCUCUUUUAACAACUCCCAUACCUUUCCUCAUCAGCAUCGGCAACCAUUAGUAAUCGGCAAUGAUCAGCAACUACUACCAGACUUAGUAAUAUCUUCCUUCUAUUGUCCUAUCAUCGGCAUCAUCAGCUAUCGGCAAUCUUCUUAUCGGCCAGACACAUCACCUCUCUGACUGCCGAUUCAAGCCUCAUGGACUAUCCCGAUUUGUGUCCAAAAAUGGUGCCAAUAGCUUGUCCGAGAUGGUAGUGUCCGAGGAAGGAGGAAUUGCCGAUGAUGAUCCAGUUGUAACUCUUGCGUCCUGAAAAAAUUAGUAUCAGUACGGUUGGAAGUCACCAUGGAUUGAAAUAAACAGGGUUGUUCUCUUGAACGCUUCUACCAGGGUUGUAGCGGCAGCAAAUGGAGUGACCCUAGCCUUACCAAUUUUGACUUGGUAGUGACUUUUUUGGUACGGGCUCCUUGACGAAUCAGAAUAGCCAAGGUGGGAGCAUUGUAGCCGAUCGGAGAUAUCGGAGAUACGGGUCGAAGGUCAAAGGUUUUCCCACUCUUGCUCGUGCUUGGUGCUAGGUCUUCGACCUGUCACAAGAAAAUUAGUUGUUGAUGAAAUUAAAUGUGUUGGAAAAGCUAGUGUUAAAAGAAACUUACUGCAUCAUCGGGGACGAUAUGCUCAGGGUCGAUCAGAUGCCGAUACGUAUGGAAAGAUGCUGCAAAUAAUUGUCUCUUCCACUCUUGCCACCAUAACUAUAGUAUCGACAUUUGGGGAGCACCUAGGUGGAUAGAUCAAUAUCUAUAGUAUCAACAUUAGGGAAGAGUUGCACUAUCUUGUCCCACUCCCAUCUAAUGGUGAUUGUUUCUCUUGGCUUGAUCACAUCGGCAAAGCAGAGUUUGGUUGGCAACUGUUCAAAGGCCAAAUGACGUGAUACUGUAGAUGGAUUGUAGAAUUCAUAGGUGGUGCUCCUCUUCUUCCCACUGCUGAAUAUAUUCACUAGGAUUGCCCGGGGAGUGAUGAUGGCCAUCAUAAGUUCAUCACUCUUGUUCAAAGCCUCAGCGGCAAAAUUGAAGAGGAGGGGAAAUCUGGCUUCUUUAUCAAUAUAGGGCAUCCACGCCCGAUGAUCGCGGGAGAGACCAUUAUAAAAGCUUUGUAAAAAUCGGCCGAUCUUGUCUUCGUUAGCCUCUGUCCUAGGAAGUACUAUUAUGGCCUCACCAAAAUUGAGGGGUGGGCGUCUUACCGAUUCUUCGUCCCCAAGCUCAUGAUCUUGGGCGAUAUCUCGCGGGAACUGCUGAGCAAUGAAAUCCCAUUGCAAGCAUUUGUGCAUGUGAGCAUUCAGCCACAUGUUAACGAACCACCAUGGGCCUCCUAAGUUGCUGAUGGGUUCACCAAGCAGGAGCUUUUGAGACACUUGAUGUAAGAGAUGACAAGUGGAGCUCAGGAGAUAUCGGCCAAGAGGGAACCUUACACAACUGGCCAGCAGUUCAGUUGACCCUAUCGAUCGACCAUAGAAGAUGAAUUCUUCUAACCACAUGUUUAGGAAUGUGGCGUGUUCCCUCUGACCAAUUGUCCUGGUCUUCCUGUAUUCUUGGAUAUACCCUGUCCAACCGCCGAUGUUACAGGUAUUCACCUUACACUCAGGUUUUCUACCAUAAACAAGAGCAUCAUCGGUAGUUGAAUUUCUAAGCUGGUGAGCAUGUAUACAUCGGCAAGAGUGGGGUUGGCUCGGCCGUGUCCAAACAUGAAAGUGUUUGUUGCGUCUGACUAAGAAUAGGUGGCAGCAAUCAUCAUCGACUCAUUGUCUUGCAUAUCGACAAUGGAUUUUCGCUCUGCCCAGUACACCUGCAUCAAAUCGUAUGCCGUGUCCAUGAUUGGUAGAGUGUGGGUCGGCAAGACAAGACGGUUGGAAUCUAAUCGGUUGGAAUCUAAGGGUAGAAGAUGAGCAUUGUUGACACCGUUUUUGGGCACGUGUCCAUGAUUUGUAGAGUGUGGGUCGGCAAGACAAGACGGCAGUGCUUGAUCUGCAGGAUGAGUUGCCGAUGAGGAUGGUUGCCGAUGGAGGGACGGCUAAAUGUGACCAAGUCCAUAGGUGAUGAUGUGUUUGUGACGAUGGCUACAACAAGGGAGUAUGCCGAUGAUGCAGAGGAAGAACCUGGAGGUUGCCGAUCGGCUUGUGGAGGUGUUCCAGUUUGUCACGGGAGGAUAGUUUUAUAUUUUCCUUAGUUAUUUAGAUCGUUUUGUAUACGGAUUCUGUUUAAUUUGGAAUUCGAAUUCUAGUCAUGUCUGGUUGUGGCUCUUUGAGUAGGGUAUAAAUGUAGACCCUAGGGCAUUGUAAUGAGACAAUCUAUCAAUCAAUCAAACACAAGUUUUUACUCAUAUUCUAGUACCUACUUUUUCGACGACUUCGUCAUACUUUUUGCCUUUUUAUUACGAGUUCUUAGGAAUUUGUCGACUUAAGCUCGGCGUGUUCUCAAGUUCCGCAUGAAUACCUCUUGGCCGUGACAUCCGGGCGCAUCGCUGUUGUCGAGACCGAAGUAUUCGAGUUACUACCUUUGCCGAUAGUAAGGUCAAAUCGACUGGCACGCCUUAACGUUUAAAUCGGAUAUUAGCCCUUUGUGUUUGCAGAUCUAGCUUUUGCAUCAACACAUCUUUUGGCACGCCCAGUGGGACAGAUUCAAGAUCAAGAUCAACAUGUCGACUACUGAGUUUGAUCAGGAAAACGUCAUCCCCGUGACGGAAGCCAAUCUCAAGGAUGAGCAGAAGCAAGCUAUUGCUAAAGCCAUGGAGGAUUACAAGUAGCAAUGCCUGAGGUCCUUCAGCAUAAAUAGGAGCGGCGAAGUGAUCCAGAAGGAUGCACUGCCGACGCCUCGGCAGGUUACUUUUGAAGCCAAUCCUGGUAAACUUCAAGAGAUGGUUGAUAGUGCUAUCAACCGUGCUUUGAUCAACCAAGUUGGUGUGCUGUCCAAUACGGUUUUCAAUGCCGUAGCUAGAACUUUCAAGGAAGGACAAUUGCCACCAGAUUAUGUGGGCCCCUCUCAUCAUCAGCCAGGAUCACCGGUGGUCACAGCUCCAUCGGCUGCUACAGCCGCUGCGGGAACACAGACUACCGUUCCUCCAGGCACGUUGGGAGUCACUAAUGCGCAAUCUACGCCGAUGACAACUAAUCCACCGACUUCAGAUGAGCAGAUCAGGCUCACUACAGAUCUAUUGGCAUCAACGAUGUCAGGACCGGUCCCUCCUCCUAACUGGUGGGGUUUCGGUAUGCCCCCGGAAUACUUGAAGACACCUGGCACAUCUCAGGCAACUGAUAUGAGAGGCAAGGCUCCUAUGGCAUCGACACCUCCCAAUAUGCCGAUGAAUCAAAGUCCCCAGUAUACUACAACUACUACUGCAAGACCUUACACUGGGAAUUCUCAAGCUCCGACGUUCCAGAUGCCUAACGCAUCGGCAGACUCAAUGCUGAUGGAACAGAGGUUUACGACUCAGCCAGGGUAUGUCAAUUCGAUGAUAAUGCCCAAUUACCAGUCAUCGGCAGGACCUAUACCGAUGAAUGCUAAUAGUGGAUGGCUUGGGCAUUAAGUCUUUCCGCAAGCACCCCAACAGAGUCAUCAGGCUAUAGGGUUCCAGCAAGGCCAGAUCUAUCCCAGGUUCCAGAAUUAGGGAAUGCCCAACCAGCCAGUGAAUCUUGGGCAGCAGGUCGGCGGACAGCAGAUUGGCGGGCAACAGAUUGGUGGUCCACAGAUUGGAGGCCAAAUGAUUAACCCGAUGUUUCAUGCAGAUCGUGCGCCGCACCGACACGUGGAAGCCUACCAUCAGGUGCCAGAUCCACAGCCGCCUCAUCAGCAGGAUGCCGAUACUUAUUGGGCCGAUAAGAUUGCUGAAGUAAUGAGGGAUCAAUUUGGGAUAAAGCCUAAAGUCAACACUUACUCUUAUCAGACACCGUAUCCUCCCGCAUACGAUUUGAUCCCGCUUCCAAAUCGGUACAAGGUACCGGAUUUUACUAAGUUUUCUGGGCAGGAUGACACGUCAACCAUGGAACACGUCAACAGGUUCAUCAUUCAAUGCGGGGAAGCUGGUAACAGGGACGUGUUAAGGGCUCGCUUAUUCUCGUCAUCAUUGUCUGGAUCGGCUUUCACCUGGUUUAUAUCAUUACCUCCCAACUCAGUGAUUACUUGGGCCGAUUUGGAGAAACAAUUGCACAAGUACUUCUUUUCUGGGGUCCAUGAGAAGAAGAUCACCGAUUUGGUCAAAUUGAGGCAACGCAACGAUGAAUCGGUUGAAGGUUUUGUGCAGAGGAUACGGGUGGUCAAGAACAAAUGCUAUAGCCUGGUUCUGGAUGAUCGGCAACUAGCCGAUUUGGCUUUCUAGGGUUUGUUGCCACACAUCAGGGACAAGUAUGCGUUUCAAGAGUUUGAAAGCUUAAGUCAUUUGGUGAAGAGGAUCAAGAUAACAAGCCUUUUGAGCCCAAGAGAGCAUGGAACAAAAAGGUAUCGUUCGUUGAUGAAGCAACAAGCUCGGAUUCUAAUGAGGAACCAGUCAUCGGCUUGGCAGAAUGGGUGAAAAAUAAGAAGUCGAUGUCUUGCCCUUUUGGGCACAAGGAACCAGAGAAGUUCGCAUUCGACAUCACUAAGGCCGAUAGGAUAUUUGACUUUCUACUUCAGGAAGAUCAGAUCAAGCUGUCACCUAAUCAUGUGAUCCCAUCGGCUGAAGAGUUGAAGAAGAUGAAGUAUUGUAAGUGGCACAAUGCAACUUCUCACAGCACCAACGAGUGCAAGGUUUUCAGACAGCAGCUGCAAUCGGCUAUAGAGUCUGGAAGGAUCAAAUUUGACAGUUCCAAGACCCAGAAGCCGAUGAAGAUUGAUCAACAUCCUUUCCCAACAAACAUGUUGGAUGCUAAGGGAAAGGCUAAGGUCUUGACGUCGAAAGCAGCUGAAAGAAGUGCAUCGGUAGAUCCUCAGCAUCAGAUCACUACUGCCGAUGCGAAGGGGAAUGGUCUGAUCCAGGAAGGAGCUAACUCAGGAAGACCUCCCUGAUCUGGUAUUGUGAUAAUCCACAAGAGGCCUCGGGGAGACUUGGCAGCAACAUGAAGAUCGAUAUCGGUGCCAGCAAGAGGAUUAUCAUCGGGAAGAGGAAAGACGCCGACAGGAGUGGAAUCGGCAUAGGGAUCACUAGAAUUGCCCGUUCUUCAUCCAUUGUUGGGAGGAGAAUAUCAAGCUACCCACUGUCAGAGAUUGUCCUAAGUGCAACGGUUAUGAUCAGUAUGACAGAUCCGAUCGACGCUUUCACGAUGAUAAUCGGUAGUUUAAUGGGCCGAUUAGGGGGAGAGCAUCCGUUCAUGAUCGGCUGGGGGCAGGCUCAGUGUGCACGACAGGCUUGGAGAUCAUGUUGAGUAUUUUUCUAGGAACCAGGAAGAACUUGAAGAAAUGGCUAAUGCACGGGUUCCCGUUGAGUUCGUAUUUUGCAGGGAUGCCAAUACUUAUCGGGUGGAGUCAAGGGAAAAUCGUCGCCCAGCGAUAAGGCAGCAGCAACUUCCUCCAUGGUGUCAAGAGGGGUUGACCAGGACACAGAAAAGAAGACUGCAGUGCAAAAGGCAAGAAGAGUUAAGUAAGGCGGAGAACUCUGGACAGUCUGGGGAUCGGCAACAACUAGAUCCUAAGGGGAAGGGUCCAUCGGCAGACGUCAACAUGGUAUUUAUGUUGCCGAUGGAGUUCCUUGCACCACCCAGUGAUGAUGAGUUGGAGUUUUCCGACCAGAUAGCUGAGUUGGCUCUAGAUCCGAUGACAGCCAUCUUCGAGAAGCCUGCCAAUGAUGAAAGGCAACAUCUUAAGGCUAUGUUUGUCAGAGGAAGGGUUGAUGGUCAGCCCAUGACUAAAAUUCUCAUUGAUGGUGGAGCUGCUAUUAACAUCAUGCCUUAUGCAGUGUAUCGGAAACUUGGGAAAGGAGAUCAGGAUUUGACCAAGACCGAUAUGAUGUUAAUGGACUUUGAGGGAAACGUGUCUCCGGUCAAGGGGCAAUAUGUGUUGAGUUGACCAUCGGCAGCAAAACCUUGCCGACAACUUUCUUCAUAAUCAGUGGAAAGGGUGCAUAUAACUUACUGUUAGGGAGAGAUUGGAUUCAUGCCAAUUGUUGCAUCCCAUCUACAAUGCACCAGUGCUUGGUCCAGAGGGUAGGUGACAAGAUUGAAAUUGUCCCAGGAGAUUCUUCGUAUGUUAUUGCAUCGGCAGAAGCAGAUACUUAUGAAAGGACUAGGUAUAUUUCAGGAGAAGUUUGGGAGAAGGAUUUUCUCAAGGUUGCCGACUAUGAAAUUCCACCGAUCCAAGCGGUCGGUUUUGAUGAAGGUUUUUAAUGGAUAGAUUCGCCGAUGAUGGAAAGUUAGGCCAGGGGUUCACAUCGGCCGAUGAUUUGGUAGAAGUAGAUAUAGGUAGUGGUGAUAAACCUAGACCUACUUUUAUUAGUGCUAAGUCAUGUUCUGAGUGUAAGCAACAGUUGACUGAGUUGUUAAAGGAAUAUAAAGAUUGCUUUGCUUGGGAUUAUACUGAGAUGCCUGGUUUGGACCGAUCGAUUGUUGAACAUCAGUUGCCUAUCAAGUCUGGAUUUCGGCCACAUCAGCAGCCGGCUCGCCGAUGUAAUCCUAAUAUUCUUCCUGACAUCAAGGCCAAAAUAACUAAACUUAUUGAAGCCAACUUUAUUCGGCAGUGUCGGUAUGCCGAGUGGAUUUCCAAUGUUGUUCCGGUUUACAAGAAGAACGGGAAGCUUAGGGUCUGCAUUGAUUUCAGGAAUCUUAACAAAGCUACACCGAUGGAUGGCUACCCAAUGCCAGUUGCCGAUCUGCUAGUUGAUGCUGCGGCUGGGCAUAGGAUUAUUAGCUUUAUGGAUGGCAAUGCAGGAUACAAUCAAAUAUUCAUGGCUGAAGAGGAUAUUCCAAAGACUGCAUUUAGAUGUCCUAGUCAUGUCGGGUUGUUUGAAUGGAUAGUCAUGACCUUUGGCUUAAAGAAUGCUGGUGCUACUUAUCAAAGGGCCAUGAAUUUUAUAUUUCAUGAGUUCAUCGGCAAGCUGGUGGAGAUUUAUAUUGAUGAUGUGGUGGUUAAGUCUGGGGACUUCACAAAUCAUCUUGCCGAUCUACGAAAGGUGUUGGAAUGCACAAGGAAGCAUGGUUUGAAAAUGAAUCCCAAUAAGUGUGCAUUUGGUGUAUCGGCAGGGCAGUUUCUUGGAUUCAUGGUGCAUCAAAGGGGAAUUGAAAUCAGCCGAAGAUCUAUUGAAGCCAUCAACAAAAUAGUUGCCCCAACCAAUAAGACUGAGCUCCAGUCCUUGAUCGGUAAGGUAAAUUUUAUCAGAAGAUUUAUAUCUAAUUUAUCUGGUAAAAUUUGUGCUUUCAGUCCUCUUCUUAAGCUAAAGGCCGAUCAAAGAUUUGUUUGGGGGAAAGAACAACAGUUGGCUCUGGAUGAGAUCAAGAAUUACUUAGUGAAUCCUCCAAUUCUAAUUCCACCUCAGCAAGGGAAGCCCUUCAGAUUGUAUUUAUCUACCGAUGGGAUGGUCAUCGGAUCGGCUUUAAUUCAAGAAUUUGAAGGGAAGGAACGUGUGAUUUAUUACUUAAGCAGGAGGUUGAUUGAUGCUGAGACCAGGUAUUUGGUUAUUGAGAAACUAUGCUUGUGCCUGUAUUUCUCUUGUAUCAAGUUAAGGCACUACUUGCUAUCGGUCGAAUGCACUGUUAUUUGCAAGGAUGACGUGGUCCGGUACAUGCCGUCUAUGCCGAUUAUGAGUGGCAGGAUCGGUAAAUGGAUUUUGGCGCUGUCGGAAUUCGAUCUGCGAUACGAAUCGGCUAAGGCAGUUAAGGGGCAGAUUAUGGCCGAUUUUGUAACUCAACAUUGCGGUGCAGUGGAGGCUUUGGAAAUUGUACCUUGGACGCUCUUCUUUGAUGGAUCCACAUGUGACCGAGGGCAGGAAUCGGCAUAGUAUUAAUUUCCCCUCAGGGAAGGAAGUAUGAGUUUUCCUUGCCGAUUGUUGCCAUGUUGACGAAUAAUCAGGCUGAGUAUCAAGCUUUAAUAAAGGGAUUGGAGUUAUUAAGAGAAGUUCAUGCUGAUGUUGUUGAGGUCUUCGGGGAUUCUAUGCUAGUUAUAAAUCAAUUGGCUGGAAGCUAUGAAUGCCGAAGUGAAGUUCUCAUAAUUUAUUACGAAAGGAGUAUGCAACUGUUAAAGGAAUUCAAAGAUUUCUGAUUAGAGCAUGUUCCUCGAUUGCAUAAUGAAGAGGCCAAUCGGUUGGCUCAACAUGCCUCGGGAUAUCAGCCUAUGAUUAAUGCGAUAUCGGCAAUAUAUUAUGCUUGUUCUAUAUUACUGCUUGUUCUAUAUUACAGGAUAUAUUAUGCUUGUUCUAUAUUACUGCAUCUAAGUGAUAGGAGUUGGUUGAUACCGUUGAUGCAUUGGUACUCCUUGAUAUCACCCCUCAUUUAUCUACCUUGUCCUAUGUAGAUAGGUACGGAGUCGAUGCUUAGCUUGCUUAGUCCGGAAGAAGUCGGGUGAUUUCCGGUCAUCUGCGAGAUAUAGGUGGAUACCUGCUUGGGUAAGCAGUGGUUGCUUUGGGAAAAGAAUAACCAAGUGUGGAAUGGAAUUUGAGACCGGACAGGGUCUUAUGGUGGUUUGACCAUACUGCCUCUGCCUGUGUCGAUUAAGGACCGGUCGUUGACGGCCCUUGUCACAGAACCGACCAAAUUAUAAGAGUUCAAGUGCAGAAACGAUCGUCAAGCAAUCAAGUUUCUAGACUUGAGCCCAUAUAAUCCCGGUAGUCAAUCGAAAUCACGAGGGACUUCAAACCAACUCGCAACAAACCAAGAUCGUAAUAGUUCAACAUAAACACAACGAUUGUUACAUAGUCAUUCAUUGCCGUCGAAGCGGCACCACAUCGGAGUAUUAAGUUAUUACAACACAUGUUAGAAGUAGCGGAAGCAAAAUAAGUACACACACUUGCUCAAAGUUCAGUUCACAAGUUUGUUACUGCCAGAGUCUAGGUCAUCCUUCCAAAAGCAUCAUAGACGAGAAGAUUAGAGAACCGUGCCCAACGGUUAGUCCUCAUCCCCAGCGGGAUGGAGACAGGUCUUGCAGAAACCGUCAUAGAAGAUAUCAUCUGCAACAGGUGGGAAUAAACCCUGAGUACGAGGUUGUACUCAGCUAGACUUACCCGUCUAGGAAAACAUAAAAGACACCAAGGAUCAUGCAAGGCUGAAUUUUUAAGUGGAGCUGGUUGACUCACCUUUUUGCCAAAAGCUUAACUUACAACUAAAUCAUUUUAAGAGCAUCAAAUUUAUUUAUCAUCAGCCUACCGCUAGAUUAGCACCUGUACUACAACACAUCAUUUGAUUAUUACAAACAAUAGUAACCAUAUCAAUUUUAUCACAUGUUCUUCUUGCUAUCAUCAUUAUCAUGAACCAAGUUCGUUAGUGAAUGCUACGUUUGCCGCUGCUCUGUCAAGUUCUCACUAACCGGGAGAGACGGCGAUUCGAAUCGAAUUCCUAUCCAGCUGGAGGUUUAUUCCUAGCACUCACCCAAGCAUCCCCUGCCGGAGAGCCAAAGGGUCACCUUUGGUACGACUCAGAAAUCGCGGCUCCGAUCAGCGCCGCACUCCCAGGGCUACCACUCUGCCAGGGAGGUCAGGAAUUUUAACUCACCUGCCUUUGGACUUACGCCAAUGGUCCCCCGCACACCGCACUCCCUCCGGUAGUGCGCACUUUAUACUUGCCGGUCUUCCGGUCUGAGUCAUACUACUCGGCUUCGCGGUCGGAACGAGUUAUCCGGCCAACUAAGUGUCAGGCAUGCGUUCAACAUGACAAGAGGACGUACAACGAUCGGUCCUUAGCUGCCACAGACGGAGUUACUACACACUUGCAAAACUCCGCCCGGCUUAAGUCAAAUUAACCAGGUUCCAUCCACGAUAGCACAUAUAGACCAUCGCGACCCGACACAACCCUAUAUCGCGCGGAUGACAGGAUAUCACCCGACUUCUACCGAUUAAAGCAUAGCUAAGCUGCUACUCGAACCUAACUCUACAACCAGGGAGGGUAAGUUAUCUGGACAAGGAUAGAGUAGAAUGCAGCAACAGUUUCAUCACAACUCCUAUACGUAAUGCAGCAAUAGAUAUAACGUAUUAAGUAAACUUUCGAAAAUAGAGGAGGCUUAAAAUGCUCCGGGGCUUGCCUUUCACGAACGAUGCCGGCUCGUGACUUGGACACUCAACUUCUUCUUCGGGCUCCUCGAGUCCGACUUGCUGGACCUCCACCUCCUGGCUGCCUUCCUGGCCUUCGGGGUUCGCUUGGAGCUCGAAGGAAACUGCCACGUCCGGUGCACCUAUUGCAUGCUCGAUGAAUGAGAAGGUGCACAUGCUACAGAUGAAUGCUUAAUAGCACAAGCAACUCACUGGACACUCAUUUACGGAACAAGAGUUAUACUAACUCACAAGAAUAAACAAGUUAACAUAACUCAAAACCUAUCAUGGCAAUAAAGCAGCAAGCAACAUAAAACAAGUAUGCUCAGUAAAUAAAUCAUAAGUAUAGAUAGACAGGUCCAACAAACAUGAGUAAGGACAUUCUGGAAAGCUUAGGAAAUUAUCUACAACCCAUCUUUAAACAUGACAGCAAGAUUCAAACCUUAAACUAGUCAUUUUAACAAAGUUCCAGGUUCUGUCCCAGAAAAACAGAGAACCCCUAUUUCUGGAACCUAACUUGGAACAGCUGUAACUUUUAAACUACUUGGCCAAAUGACCUCAAAUUUGAACCACAGUUAGUUCAACAAGUUUAGAACAACUUUGUUUUAUACAAGUUUCACAGAAAGUCAACUUAUCAUUAAGCAAAGUUAAAUUAUUCACUUGCUGUCCAGACAGCAUUUAACCCUAUAGUUAAUUAUUUAAUGACAUGAUCAAGACACAAACUAAGCCAACCAUAAGGCUCAUGGGCACAAACAAAUCACAAGGUCACCAGAUCAUCAGUUGAAAACCCCAAAACAAUUACUUAACAAGGCAUUUAUUAAUUAAUUUUAGGCAAGGCAUAUUUACAAGAUAUUAGUUAAAGUGCUCAGAAAAAUCUACAAAAAUUACAGAGGCACAAGUAUAACAUCAGAUGAACACCAUAAAAUUUUCAGGACCAUUGCACAUGCCAAUUUAAAGAUAUGCAUUUAACAUGUAUCAAGGCAUUUAUUUCAUAAAUUCAUAGACAUGACUCAUAUGGUGUCAAACAACAGAUUUCAGAUUAUUUAUAUCUUAGGAAUGCCAUAAACAAGUUUACCACCAAAAUAGAGCACCAGCAUAAGCACCAAUUAUUUUAUGUGAUUUAAUUAAAGAAACAAGCCAUAUUUCAAACACAAAUUGCAUAUCACAACUGCAGUGCUCCAAAAAUCAUGAAAUAAUUAUCAGAGCACUCUAAUGCCAUGCAAAGACUACCAUAAAAUUUUAAAAGCAAACUAAGCAGUAUAACCAGAGAUAUGCAUUUAUCCAUAAAUAACAAGAUUAAAUCCUUAAUAAAUAAUUUCCCAGAAAACAUGAUUCAUUUUAUAUUUUUAUUAAAUACUAGCCAUCUCAAGAAACAACACGAAAUUUGUUUCACAAUUUUUGGAUCACUAGAACUAGAGAUAUGAUUUUUACAAAAUCAGCUCAAACUCUGAUUUAAACAAAGGAGAAAGAGGGACUGACAGAGGGGACCCGCGCGUCAACGGACCCCACCUGCCAGUGACACCGAAGCAGAGGCGCGGCUUGACCGCCGGAGAUCUCGCCGACGGCGAGGUCUCGGCGCUGGCCAAGGGCACCAUCGUGCUCCCCACUGGAUUCCGCAUCUAGCGGUACCCAAAACCCUAACUCUACCGAGCUCUAGGUACCUCGCCCUCGCGAAUGGCGGCACGGCGGUGGUGCGCGGCCGACUGCCGGCGUCUCUGGCCGGAGACAGGGCAGAAGAGAACGAGGACGAGCAACAGCAAGACCUAGCGAAGCUUUUGGGACAAGAAUGAGAAGAAAUGGCGGACUACAGAGCCCUGGCCACGACGCCGGUGGCCAUGGCGGAACUCCGGCGAGGUAAGCUCGCGUCGGAGCAGGCAAUGCGGGCUCACCGAGGCUCGGCAGUCGCAACCAGCUCGACGACGGUGGAGAGGAGAGGCUUGCGGAGCGCUGGACCGAGCUGCUUGGCCGGAGACACGGAGAUGCGCGCGCGCGAGCUCGCCGAAGCAACGGCGGCGACGCGGAAACGACGACGCGCGAGAGAGAGAGGACACCGGGAGCGGAAAUGGCUCUGUCCACGCGACCGGGGCGCCGGGGCGAGAUGAAGGACGCGCGGAGGACUGACGGGCGGGGCCAACGGCGACGUACGGACGCCACGGGUCCAGACACGCGGCACACCGGCGAGCUCCCCCUGUCUGAACGACGACGCGAUUCAGUCUCCCCAAACCGACUGAAACUCGAUUUUGCCCAACGAUUUACUCCCUAAUCACUCGAUGAUUUUGCUGGCUAAUUGCUCCAUGCCAGAGAGCUACACGAGUACUCCAACAUUGCUUACAAGAUCAAGGCUUGAUUCGCUCUAGAAUUCAAACGGGAAGGUGAAGAACACCCUCUCGAGCAAACUGCAAAGCCCCCAGGACUUAGAAAAUUUCUAAGUGUGGAAAACAGCCCCAAAACUGCCUUGUGGGCCACUUUUGAGCUAUUUGUGAUCAUUUUCAUGAGAUGGCCAUAAAACAACUUUUGUUCCGUAUAAAAUUUGCUACAACUUUGCUGUAGGAAGUUUUGACAUGCAAACAUUUUAUGAAACACUUUUUAAAAGCCUAAGCAAAAGAGGUUUCUAGGGCCUAUUUGCAUAAGUAAGACUUAAGUGAUUAUUUUGGAGAAGUGAUCAACAUGAACAUUGUUUCCAAGGUUAAGUUAAGCAUAGAUAAGCUGUUUACCAAGGCAUUAAGCACAAACACAAGCAUUGUUCACCCAAACAUAAGCAUAGAAAGCCUAUCUAAGCCAUUUAAAACACAUUUUUGCAAAGGAUGCCAUGUCCCAAGAUAGAUGAUGAUCAUGGAUGCUUUUGAAUACAUAAUGAUGCUCAUGCUAUGCACAUGUUUGAUGCAACCAUAACACUGGGGUGUUACAGCCCUCUUGUCAUGUUGAACGCAUGCCCCACACUUAGCUGGAAGGAUAAGUCGUUCCGACCGCGAAGCCUGAGCACUAUCCGGGCCGGGAAUCGAGCCGCCAUGCGCUGUAUUGGAGAUGGUUGAGGAGAACGAUGAGCGCGCGGCGCGCAACCUUGGUAUACCUUGGAUACCUCGGUCGCCAGAACGGUCCUCGGGUACUGGCGGUGCCUGCCGAACCCGCGAAUUGGUCCUGGAUAGUGUAAUACGGUGAUCUGUAGCUCACUUGAUCAGUGAGUGUGGUUUGUGUGGGGAAUACCUCGCCAGCUGGUUAGAAAUCGAUUCGAAUCGCCAUCGCUCCUGGAUAGUGAGCACUUGACAUGAGCUUCGUCCUCGUAGUAAGGACUAUGGAACACUUGGGUUAUAAUGAUAAAUGGUUUAUGAAUGCUAUGAUGAGGUACUAUCAUAUCUUUAUAAUUGCUUGUAAUAGUGCAGGUGCAAAACCUAGAUAAUAGGUAAUGAUACCUUCAACUUGAGCAAAUUAAAAGAAGAAAAGAUUUAUGUAGGUGAUGAUAAUAGAAUUCUGCGGUUUUGCAAAAUGGUCGUCAGCUACCCCACUAUAUAGCCUUCAUGAUCCUUGAAGAGUCUUUAUUUUAAUUUAUGUCGGGUAAGUCUAGCUGAGUACCUUCUCGUACUCAGGGUUCUACUCCCAUGUUGUUUUGUAGAUGGUCAAAUGUACUAUGGUUAUUGCAUCCUCUGUCUGUACCCAGCCAUAGGUGAUGACUAGACCAAGAGCGAUGGUCACUCCGUCUUCUCUUUUGCUUUUGUGGGAAUGACCGAACUAUGGCACUGUAUCAGACUAAAUGUGUGUGUUGUAUUUUCGAACUAUGAAGCUUCCGCUACUUGAAGAACUUGGUUUUUAAUAACUUUAAGUACUCCGAUGUAUUUUAUAAAUGUUGUAAUCUGGAUGUAUUUGUGGAUGGCGACCGCUAAACUUAUUACGAUCUUGGCUGUUGUGCGACGUGUGGUUUGAAAUCCUUCGAGAUUUCACGGACUACCGGGAUUAUAUGGGCUUAAGCCUGAUGGUUUGACAGUGCAAAUGGUCACUGUUAGGCUUAAUCUCUUAUAAUUUGGUCGGUUCUGUUACAGCUGGCAUCGGAGCAAGGUUUAGCGAGUUACUGUUCAUAAGUACGUUCUAAACAAAAUCUAAACCGGUUUAAUAAAAGAUUUUAUUAAUUAAUGAUGAUCAAGGUGUUAAACUACGUUUUGGAAAAACUAUCUAGUAUGCCAUGGUCAUAUCCUUUAUGCCCAUUUAAGGACUCUAAGGUGGCUAGUUAAGUACUGACUUGGGGGUUAAUGCAUCAUAUUUUAUUUCGUCGCUCAUAGGGCGUGCAAUAGUAUGAGUGCCAUUCAUUUGAGUGGUAAUGUAUGGAUCAAUUUUUCCUCUACGCCACGGUAAGUGAGAGCUGUGAGAGCAUGAUCGGAUACACUGCCGGUCUAGGGGAGUGUUGUUAGGUGCUGUGUCAUGCACACAUGUUUUGGUGUGUUUUGGGAACAGUACCGCAUGUUGGGAAUUCCGUCCGGAGAGGCGAUGCCGUCAUUAGGGCGAUGAUGUGGGUAGUAACAUGUCACAUGCAUGGAUGGGUGUCUGUGUAUGUGGAGUGUGUAGUUUUAAAAUUCUUGUUUUGCAUUAGCAUAUUGUGGGCGGGCUGAAAUGAGUUUUCUGCAGGUACACUAACCACGUUCUCGCUUAGAACGUUAGUUACGUUAUGAGAGAACGUUGUGUGCCACCGCAUAUACCGCUUAGUGUUAACCUUUGUUUCUAAGUUUGUGAGAUCGUAAGUUCGCGCAUGCAUCAUGUUCAUCUCAUAUCAUUGCUUACUUUCCCCCUUCAUUUAAUCUGUCCCAAUUCUAAAUAAAAUAAUUAAAGGUAAUCCUCGCUCUUACCGAAGGUAUUCCAUUGCAGCAGAUGGCGCGCAAUAGGCUCACCGCUCGCAAGUCCACUGGUGGGCGGGCCCCUCGCCAUCCGUUGGCAGCUAGGAGCUCACGACAUAAGAGCAAGUUCCUGGAGGAGUUUGGGAUGCCCACUUUGCUUUGGAGGGUGCUCAGUUCGAUGGGGUAUCCCGAAGGAAGGGAGCCUCGCUACUAUUGGGAUAAGGAGCCGCUUGGUGACGGUACACUGGUGGGGAUCGAGGCAGUUGUCCCUACCAGUGGAGGAGACCCUACUUGGGGCGGCUGGGUGUACGAGUCUCGAGGUAUCACGCCUUUCCACGGUGCCAGCAGGGCAGCUUUCGCAGUUCUGAGGGACCUCAUGGAGAGGUUUCCACAGGAGUUGGCCCACGCCUUCGCUGGGGUGUUUCCUCGGGGUGACCCCUACACUUCGGUGUGGGAUCAGUCCGAGGUGAAUGCUCUAGAGAGGAGUGCGGAUGAGGACCAGCACAGUGACAGCACAGCUAUGAGUGCCAUGUACGCGUUGAUGAAGACCUAUGGAGGCCUAGAGCGUUGUUUGGGUCGCUUGUCCGGGUCUCUUCUCACCGUCCAGGAUGAGAAGCGUCAGUUGCAACGUGAGUUCGACUCUGAGGUUGAGAGGCUGCAGGCAGAGUUGGCCCGUGUGACCAGAGAGAGAGAUCAGGCAGUCUAGAAGAACAGUGAGCUGAGUGAGGACCUGCUUGCAGUGCGUGAGCAGAGGGAUAGGGCGACUACUGCUCACAGGAACUGCGAGCGCAUGCUAGUCCAUGUGCUUGGACAGAGGAAUGAAGCCUAGCACGAGGAGGACACUUUGAGGGCCCGACAGCUAGAGCUAGAGCAGCAGCUAGCCAAUGCCAAGGAGUACAACGAGAACUUGCAUGAGGAGAUCCACCAGCUGCAUAACCAGCUCUACCCUCACCACCUGCCUGGAGCAGCUGAGCUAGACUCUGAGGGCGAGAUGGAUGCGGAUCCCGAGAUAGGAGCCGCUGCUAGUGGUGAUGAGGAUGAGGAGGGCUCAGGCAUGGACAGUGAUCAUAGCGACUAGAUGCUAGGGCUCUAGAGCUAGUCCUUCUUCUUUUGUGUUGUAUGUUGCAUGGCAUGUCGUGUACUUUUGGAUCUGGGCCAUGUAAGACUUAUGAGUUAGUGCUGAAAGUCCAGUGUAUGUAUGCUGGCAAGUUGGAUGUACACGAACCUUGUUGCGUGAAUGUUAAGUAAUCUGUUAGUGAUGUUGUGCAUAGAUGAUGAAUUGUUGUGCCUCUGUUUAUUGUGCGAAUUUAUUCCCUCAGUAAAUUCAGUACGGCAUGAUUCUACACAUUUCUACCGUUGAUGGCGACCCCUAACGAUUGCUUAUCAUUGACGUAUGCAGAUGGUGCAAACACGUGGCGGGGGUAACAGCAAUCCGGGUCUUAGAGCAGGUACGUCCGGAGGUGGGGCUCAACGGAAUGAGGACAGAGCACCAACACCGCCACCACCACCGCCUCCUCCGUACACUGCAGACGUGUUUUUCGCGCAGUUUCUGGGGAGCCAACGCAACAUGGAACAGAUGCAACGCAACAUGGAAGAGGCUCUCCGUAACAUAGCUGACAACACCCGUCGUGGGGAUAACCAGGGCGGCCGUGAAGUCAACCAAUACAACUCAUUCAAGGACUUCAUGGAUACCAAGCCACCAAUUUUCAAAGAGGCUUUGGAACCGCUCGAGGCGGAUGAGUGGAUCAACACUAUGGAGCAGAAGUUUCGUCUUCUCCGAAUGACAGAAGAGCUUAAGGCUGAGUAUGCGGCACAUCAGUUGCAAGGACCCGCGGGGAUUUGGUGGUCCCAUCACCGUACCACCUACCCAGAGGGGACCCCAAUUACCUGGAACCGCUUCACCACCGCUUUUCGGGGAAAUUAUAUUCCUCCGGGUUUAGUUGAAAUGAAGAUCGGGGAGUUCAUGAGGCUGUCCCAGGGGGCGAAAUCUGUGAAGGAGUAUCUACACGCUUUCAACAACCUCGCUCGCUAUGCCCCUGAGUUUGUGAACACGGAGGCCAAGAAGAUUGCUAGUUUCCAGAGAGGCUUGAAUCCAAAGAUGCUGAAGACCAUGGGUACAGGAGCCAGGGCUACCUUCAAUGCCUAUAUCAGUGACUGCUUGACCCAGGAGAACAAUAAUAACAACUACAGUGCAUCCAAGUCACGUAAGAGGGCUUUUGAAGCCGGAUCAAACCAGUCCAGGGCACCAGUGGCAGGGUGACCGCAGUAUCGUCCUCCUGCCCCAGGUGCUAGGUUCCGACUGCCGCAGAGAAGGAACACCGGGCAUCCAACACAGCAGAAGUCGUACAAGGUGGUAAUAGCCCCUGCCAAGCCAAAGGCAAUUCAAGCUGCAGCACCUGCCGUCAACAAUGCGCCCAAGGGUCCAUGCUAUAACUGCCACAAGAUGGGGCACUUUGCUAAGGAAUGUCCAUACCCCAAGAGGCAGCAACCAACCUAACCAGCUCGUGUGCAUCACACCUCGAUCGAGGAGAUCCCGGAAGGAGAACCGGUAACAGCUGGUAUGUUCCCUGUCAACCAACAUCUUGCAGUUGUUUUGUUUGAUUCUGGAUCAUCGCAUUCAUUCAUGAGCCAAGCAUUUGCACAAAAGCAUAGUCAACCGGUUACAGAUCUGGGUUAUGGCUACCGCAUCAGCUCAGCAGAGGCGGAUGUGUUGACCAAUAGAGUGGUUCGAGGAGCAACCCUGGAUAUAAGUGACCGAGUUUUUCGGGUAAAUCUAGUGGUCAUGCCUGGGUUAGUUUUGGAUGUUAUCAUGGGCAUGAACUGGAUGAGAGAAUGGGAUGCCAUCAUAGAUGCUGGGAAGAGGAUGUUAUCUCUCAGAGAACCGCAGGGCAGUAGCUCUUUUCAAGUACCUCUGCCCCGUCGUCUUGACUUUGCUAGCAUCUCUUGUGCUACGCAUGUGGUUCCCUUACCACAGAUCCCAGUAGUCUGUGAGUUCCCUGAUGUUUUUCCCAAGGAAUUACCAGGACUUCCCCCAGAUAGGGAAGUAGAGUUUGCAAUUGAGUUGAUCCCAGGUACAGCACCAAUAUCUAGAAGGCCGUACUGGAUGCCACCUAACGAACUCGCCGAGUUGAAAAAUCAACUAAAGGAGUUGCUGGAUAAAGGAUUCAUCCGGCCAAGUUCGUCAGAAUGGGGUUGUCCGGCGUUGUUUGUAAAAAAGAAGGAUCAAUCGUUGCGCGUGUGCGUGGUCUAUCGUCCACUCAAUGCAGUGACGAUCAAGAAUAAGUAUCCCUUGCCAAGGAUCGAUAUCUUAUUUGAUCAGUUGUCCAAGGCAAAAGUGUUUUCCAAGAUAGAUUUGAGGUCUAGGUAUCACCAAAUCAAGAUUCGUCCGCAAGAUAUCCCGAAGACUGCUUUUUCCACCAGAUACGGGUUGUAUGAGUACCUUGUCAUGUCCUUUGGGUUGACAAAUGCUCCUGCAUAGUUUAUGUAUCUGAUGAAUUCAGUCUUUAUGCCAGAAUUGGAUAAGUUUGUUGUGGUGUUUAUCGAUGAUAUCCUGGUUUAUUCAGAAAAUGAGCAAGAUCACGCCAAGCAUCUGAGAACAGUGUUAACACGAUUACGAGAGCAUCAGUUAUAUGCCAAGUUCAGCAAGUGUGAGUUCUGGUUGAAGAAAGUUCCUUUCCUAGGGCACAUUCUGUCUGAAGAAGGGAUUGCUGUGGAUCCGUCAAAAGUGCAGGAAGUCAUGGACUGGAAGGCACCAACUUCUGUCUCGGAAGUUAGAAGUUUUCUUGGUUUGGCCGGGUAUUAUCGUCGAUUCAUACCUGACUUCUCCAAUAUUGCUAAGCCAAUGACAAGUUUGCUACAAAAGGAUCAUAAGUUUGUCUGGACGGAGGGGUGUGAGUUAGCCUUCCGCACCUUGCGAAAGUUGCUAACCACUGCUCCCGUUCUGGCACAACCCAAUAUAGAGAAGCCUUUUGAUGUGUUUUGUGACGCAUCAAAGAGUGGCCUGGGGUGUGUGUUGAUGCAAGAUGGAAGGGUGACAGCUUAUGCUUCCCGACAGUUGAGAAAGCACGAAGUCAACUACCCAACUCACGACCUCAAGUUAGCAGCAGUGGUACAUGCUUUGAAGAUUUGGAGACACUAUUUACUGGGAAAUAAAUGUCACAUUUAUACUGAUCAUAAGAGUUUGAAGUACAUCUUCACUCAAUCCGAGCUAAAUAUGAGGCAACGACGGUGGUUAGAGUUAAUCAAGGACUAUGAUCUGGAAGUUCACUACCAUCCAGGCAAAGCUAAUGUAGUAGCAGAUGCCUUGAGUCGCAAACCGCACUAUCAAAUGGUUCAACCGUUGUUUGAAGAUGGGUUCAAUCUUAUGCAUCCUGAGGUCUUAUGUCACAUACAACUCAGUUGUUCACUCGAGAGUCAAGUCAUUGAAGGUCAGAAAACAGACAAGGGUAUUUUCCACAUCAAAGAGAGGAUCAAAGACGACCCAAAAACUCAGUUUUGAGUUGAUGAGAAAGGGGUACUGUGGUUUCAACAUCGGUUAGUAGUCCCGAAGGAUCGGGAAUUGAAGAAUCGCAUCAUGGAUGAAGCCCAUCUCUCUAAGCUUUCUAUUCAUCCUGGCAGUAGUAAAAUGUACCAAGACUUGAGACCCCACUUUUGGUGGACCAAGAUGAAGAAAGAGAUAGCUGCGUAUGUAGCCCGUUGUGACACGUGUUGCAGAGUUAAGGCCAUCCAUAUGAAACCUGCAGGUCUGUUGCAACCGUUAUCAGUUCCAGAGUGGAAAUGGGAAGAGGUCAGUAUGGACUUUAUCACAGGUUUACCAACCACGAGGAAGGGGAAUGACUCAAUUUGGGUAAUCAUGGAUCGAUUAACCAAGUCGGCUCAUUUCAUUCCAGUUAAGAAUACAUACAGGCCUCCCGAGUAUGCCAAUAUAUAUAUGGCUGAGAUUGUCAAGUUGCAUGGUAUUCCCAAGACCAUCAUAUCAGAUAGAGGACCACAGUUCACCGCUCACUUUUGGGAGCGAAUGCAUAAGAAUUUGGGGACCAGUCUGAUAAGAAGCACGGCGUAUCAUCCUCAGACCUCAGGACAAACUGAGAGGCUAAAUCAGGUAUUAGAAGAUAUGCUGAGGGCCUGUGUGCUAUCAUCCAAGGGAUCAUGGGAAUCAUGGUUACCUCUGGCUGAAUUCUCAUACAAUAAUAGUUAUCAAGAGAGCAUCAAGAUGGCCCCGUUCGAAGCCUUGUAUGGUCGAAGGUGUAGAACUCUGUUAAACUGGGUUGAACCUGGUGAAAGAAGAUAUUAUGGUAUCGACUUUGUGAACGAAGCAUAGAAAAAGGUGCAAGUCAUACAACAACAUUUGCAAGCGGCACAAUCACGACAAAAGAGUUAUGCUGAUAAGAGGAGAAGGCCACUUGAAUUCAAAGUAGGUGACUAUGUAUACCUCAAGGUUACGCCAAUGAAGAAAGUUCAACGUUUCCGAGUUCGAAGCAAGCUUGCACCCAGAUAUGUGGGACCGUACCAAAUACUGGAGAGGAAAGGCCCCGUGGCCUACAAGAUUCAGUUACCUGAAGAGUUGAGCUCGAUCUUUCCGGUCUUCCAUGUGUCGCAACUGCGGAAAUGUUUGAAAGUACCUGAGCAAAGAAUUGAACCUCGAGGGAUCAAAAUAAAAGCAGACUUAGAGUAUAAGGAGCAGCCAGUGGGAAUUGUGGAUACAAAGGAACGGGUAACCCGAAACAGAAUUGUCAGAACAUAUAAGGUAGUGUGGAGUCAUCAUGACGAUAGGGAUGCCACCUGGGAAACAGAGGAUUACUUAAAAACAGUUUAUCCAAAAUUUCAUAAGAAAUGGUUAGUAACCCAAAAUCUCGGGACGAGAUUUCCCUAAGGGGGGAAGGGCUGUAACACCCUAGGUGUUAAGCAUGCAUUUAGCCCUAUUACAACAUGCAUAAGCAUUCUCAUCAAGCAUAGCAUCAUGAGCAUGUCAUUCAUCCCAAAAACAUGAUUUUGUGUGCUUUAUUUCAUGUGUUUUAAUUAAGCUAAAAGUAUGAUGCUUGCUUCUAAAAAUGUGAAAUAUUCAAACUAGUUUGAAUUAUGUGUAAGAAGAAUUAAGAAUAUUUUUGUGCAAUUUUUGGAGCUAUAGAAUUUGAGAAAUGGAAUUUAUACAAAAAUCCCCAAAUUGAAUUUAUUUGAAAACCUAGAACUAGUUUUAAUUUGUAGUUCAAAUUCUGUUGGGAAUUUGUUCUUGCUUAUUAAAACAAAGUUGUGGGGUUUUUGUUUUGGAACAACUUUGUUUUUGGGAGCAAGAGGUGAAAAUGGUUUUAAAUUGGUCCAAAUGAAUUUAGAAAGGAUUUGGAGAAAAGAAAUUCAAAAAAAAAUGAAAAGGGGCAGGCGCUGCCGGGCCAACCCCGCCUCCCUUUCGGCCCAGCGAGCGGCCUGGCCUGCUUCCCCCUCCCCCUCUCUCCCGCGCGCAGACGCGCCUCGUCCCAGCCAGCGUCGGCCACGUGGCGGCCGUACGCCGGCGAGGAGCGCGCCGCGGCCGGCCUCCAACACCCCCUGGUCGGGACGCCGGCUCGGGCUCCCAGUCCAUUCCCUCCAUCCUGUCGCCCGCGCCCUUCUCCUUCCUCCCUCCGCUCGCGAGCGCAACCAAGCCGUAGACCUCCGCCGCGGCGCCAUCGCCGGAGCAGCUCCGCUGCUCACCGCCGGCCACUCCGGUGACCAAAACUCGACACCGAAGCCACCAGCGCCUUCGCCAUCGUUAGGGUAAGCUUGUGCGAGCGUUCUACCGAGGUGAGAGUCCGUCGAGCGCCGUGAAUAGCUCGCCGGAGUUACCCCGAGCUCGCCGGAGUACUCUGCCGCGACGGAUCUUGCGUUUCCCUGCCUCUUUUCGCUGGUUUUUGGUUGCGCUAGGUCGGUAGGGUGGUGAGGAAGCUCGGAGAGCCGUUUGCGCACGCUCUACCACGAUGGAGCGGCCUGGCCACGGCGAGCAGCGCCGCCAUGCCGCCAUGCACGCUCGACGGAGGUGCUCUGGCCAUCCUCCGGUCAAUCUGAGAGUACCGCUGGGUACUCCUCGCUGCGGGGAGCACGUUGGUGCUCACCCCGUGGCCGGGGACCUCACCGCCGGCGAGAUCUGCUCGUCGGAGGUGAGCUCCCUCUCGGUCUCGCUGAACAGUGGGGCCAGAGGCCCACUGUCAGUCACAGGGGAACCCCGGUGGGUGUAGAUCUGGGUGUGUUUAGCCUUUUUCGUCGGUUUUCUUGAAUAAAUGUUUUCUAGAAAUCGAUUCAAAACUUGUAAAAUUCAUAUCUUGAGUUCUACAGCUCCAAAUUUGAUGAAAUAAAUUUUGGUGUGCUCUAUAUUUCCAGAUCUACAGUUUGAUGUAAUUGCAUGUCAUGUUUGAGUAACUUUUCUGUAUGAAAAUAUUUAAUCCAUGUUUUUGCUAAACUUGGAAAAUGCAUAGUAAUUAAAAUAUGGUUCAGAAAAAUGUGAAACUUGAUUUGUUGGCUCUGCAUGUAUGUUUACUCACUGGGAAAAUAUUGCUACAUAUUAUUUGGUGUAUAAAUGAAUUUAUGGUAAUUUAAAUGCUUGCAUGGCAGUGGUUUAUGAUUUUUAGAAAUUAGUUGGAUCAUGCAAUAAAUCUGGAAAAUUUUGUGGGUGUUUCUUAUGAUAUUAUACAAAUUGUAAAAAUAUGAAAUCUGUUGUUUGACACUUAUAUCACAGUAGAGUGAUUAUACUUACCUUAUUAAUUAAUCCUGUGAUUUUUGUAGCUCAAAAUAAGUAUCCAAAAAUUAUGAAAAAUUUACAGUAGACUUUAUGCUUGACUAGUAGUCUCCUUUGAUUUUUGAGGAAUUUAUUGGUGAACAGAACUGCAUGUAAAUUUAAUGGGCCUAGAAAUGAAUAAAGAAAAUUAUGAAUUGUUGUAUGUAUAGGUUGAAUAGAAUAAGUUUGGGUUUGGUGUAUCUUUGAAGCAACUUGUGGGUUGCUGGUCACACUUGAAAAAUACUUGUAGAAGAGAAUGCACUAGAUGUUUAGUCCAAUUGUCUGUUCCUGGAUGAUGUUGACUACCUUGUAAUGAGCAUGACCAAGUGUAUCAUCUAUGCAUCAUGUCAUGAUCCUUUGGUACCUUCUCAUACAAGCAUCCACUCGGGCAUCUCGCACUCCACUCAUGAGCACACAUGCAUCAUACAGGCUCGCAGGAGAACGAGGUGGGACCCGAGGAACCAGAGGAGAUUCAGGAGCAGGAACCUCCGGAAGCACAGGAGUCCGGAGAGGAACUGCAGGAGUGUCCGGAUCACCGACCCAGCACGUUUGAGAAAGGCAAGCCCCGAAGCAUUCUAAGUCUCCCUAUUCUCGCUAACUUACAGGAUAUAUUAUGCUUGUUCUAUAUUACUGCAUCUAAGUGAUAGGAGUUGGUUGAUACCGUUGAUGCAUUGGUACUCCUUGAUAUCACCCCUCAUUUAUCUACCUUGUCCUAUGUAGAUAGGUACGGAGUCGAUGCUUAGCUUGCUUAGUCCGGUAGAAGUCGGGUGAUUUCCGGUCACCUGCGAGAUAUAGGUGGAUCCCUGCUUGGGUAAGCAGUGGUUGCUUUGGGAAAAGAAUAACCAAGUGUGGAAUGGAAUUUGAGACCGGGCAGGGUCUUAUGGUGGUUUGACCAUAGUGCCUCUGCCUGUGUCGAUUAAGGACCGGUCGUUGACGGCCCUCUUGUCAUGUUGAACGCAUGCCCCACACUUAGCUGGAAGGAUAAGUCGUUCCGACCGCGAAGCCUGAACACUAUCCGGGCCGGGAAUCGAGCCGCCAUGCGCUGUAUUGGUGAUGGUUGAGGAGAACGACGAGGGCGCGCCGUGCAACCUUGGUAUACCUUGGAUACCUCGGUCGCCGGAACGGUCCUCGGGUACUGGCGGUGCCUGCCGAACCCGCGAAUUGGUCCUGGAUAGUGUAAUACGGUGAUCUGUAGCUCACUUGAUCAGUGAGUGUGGUUUGUGUGGGGAAUAGCUCGCCAGCUGGUUAGAAAUCGAUUCGAAUCGCUAUCGCUCCUGGAUAGUGAGCACUUGACAUGAGCUUCGUCCUCGUAGUAAGGACUAUGGAACACUUGGGUUAUAAUGAUAAAUGGUUUAUGAAUGCUAUGAUGAGGUACUAUCAUAUCUUUAUAAUUGCUUGUAAUAGUGCAGGUGCAAAACCUAGCUAAUAGGUAAUGAUACCUUCAACUUGAGCAAAUUAAAAGAAGAAAAGAUUUAUGUAGGUGAUGAUAAUAGAAUUCUGCGGUUUUGCAAAAUGGUCGUCAGCUACCCCACUAUAUAGCCUUCAUGAUCCUUGAAGAGUCUUUAUUUUAAUUUAUGUCGGGUAAGUCUAGCUGAGUACCUUCUCGUACUCAGGGUUCUACUCCCAUGUUGUUUUGCAGAUGGUCAAAUGUACUAUGGUUAUUGCAUCCUCUGUCUGUACCCAGCCAUGGGUGAUGACUAGACCAAGGGCGAUGGUCACUCCGUCUUCUCUUUUGCUUUUGUGGGAAUGACCGAACUAUGGCACUGUAUCAGACUAAAUGUGUGUGUUGUAUUUUUGAACUAUGAAGCUUCCGCUACUUGAAGAACUUGGUUUGUAAUAACUUUAAGUACUCCGAUGUAUUUUAUAAAUGUUGUAAUCUGGAUGUAUUUGUGGAUGGCGACCGCUAAACUUAUUACGAUCUUGGCUGUUGUGCGACGUGUGGUUUGAAAUCCUUCGAGAUUUCACCGACUACCGGGAUUAUAUGGGCUUAAGCCUGAUGGUUUGACUGUGCAAAUGGUCACUGUUAGGCUUAAUCUCUUAUAAUUUGGUCGGUUCUGUUACACAUUGGUCCAGUUUCCUUUCACCCCAUUGGACUUCAUUUGAGUAGCUGACUCUCAAGAACCAAUCCUUCCAUCUCACGGUAGGACUGGGCCAGGAACGAAAGGAAUCCUUCCAUAGAUCCAAAGAAAAAUUCUCGGCUCUAAAAGGGAUCCUGUUGGUUUCUGCAUUAAUAAAAUCGGUGGGAUCUGGAUUUCCUAAUGGACCAAGACAUUGGAGAUGUGGCUGAUCGGUAGGGAUGACGUUGUUAUUGGACAGAUCCUAAUGGUUUUGAAUGCAAAAGGAAAACAAAGAAAGAAAAGGAAAAAAUGUUCAGUAAAGUAAAUUGCGGAUGAACAGGGAUGCAGGAAAAGCACAAAAGGUGGAAUGAAGAACUGACCUCAGGGACGGUGAAGUUGAUGGCCAUCUCGUCACGAAGAGGGUGGUCGAGGGCUUUGGAGUUGGUGAAGAAGGGGCUUCGUUGGAGAUCUUGGAGCUCUCGAACAGCGCCGCCGUCGCGAAAGUGGAGUUGGAGCUGUGGAAUGAUGUGAUGGGGGAGAAGUACUCGAGAAGGAACUAUUUAUAGGACAAAACGGGCAAGGGAAAAUCUGACUUAUCUCUUCGCCGUAUCCGUGAAAUCUGAGGGUACUCAGGUAGAUAUGGUAACUGUUCGCACGGUAAUCAAGGGAUGGCACAGGUGAUUUGACAGGAAGCGGUCAUUAUCCAGAGAUAUCUCACUGUGCGAGAUUUCCUGGUCGAUCGAUCGGCAGCGCCUUGUAACGGUCAUAUUGCCGAUGGACGGAAUAUCCGUUCAGGAGGAUAAGAUACUUUACUAAACAGAACGUUCUGAUCGGUUCAUCGGCAAGUCUCUGUAACGGUAACAUUGCCGAUGCGCGACUAAAGUGGAAAUGUCUGUUUGGGAGGUUGAGGAUUUCGAGGGAUCUGCGGAGGAAUCAAACUAGGGUUGUUUGGAUUAAAGCUGUUGGUUACCAGAUUGGGAGAAUUAAUUGCGGAAAAGCAUCAUUUACUGCAAAGAAUUUUGGAGCAUUAAUGAUUUCAUACUCUGAAAUUGGGGGCAUGUGUUGACACCGUUUUUGGGCACGUGUCCAUGAUUGGUAGAGUGCGGGUCGGCAAGACAAGACGGCAGUGCUUGAUCUGCAGGAUGAGUUGCCGAUGAGGAUGGUUGCCGAUGGAGGGACGGCUGAAUGUGACCAAGUCCAUAGAUGAUGAUGUGUUUGUGCCGAUGGCUACAACAAGGGAGUCUGCCGAUGAUGCGGAAGAAGAACCUGGAGGUUGCCGAUCGGCUUGUGGAGGUGUUCCAGUUUGUCACGGGAGGAUAGUUUUAUAUUUUCCUUAGUUAUUUAGAUCGUUUUGUUUACAUAUUCUGUUUAAUUUGGAAUUCAAAUUCUAGUCGUGUCUGGUUGUGGCUCUUUGAGCAGGGUAUAAAUAUAGACCCUAGGGCAUUGUAAUGAGACAAUCUAUCAAUCAAUCAAACACAAGUUUUUACUCAUAUUCCAGUACCUACUUUUUCAACGACUUCGUCAUACUUUUUGCCUUUUUAUUACGAGUUCUUAGGAAUUCGUCGACUUAAGCUCGGCGUGUUCUCAUGUUCCGCGUGAAUACCUCUUGGCCGUGGCAUCCGGGCGCAUCGCUAUUGUCGGGACCAAAGUAUUCGAUUUACUACCUUUGCCGAUAGUAAGGUCAAAUCGGCUGGCACGCCUUAACGUUUAAAUCAGGUAUUAGUCCUUUGUGUUUGCAGAUCUAGCUUUUGCAUCAACAAGCAUUUGAGAUAGAUGUAUUUAUAGGCCGAUUGGAGUAGGGGCAUUCUAGACUUAUCUCUCUAUCGUGCACGUGUAGGUCGAGGUUGUUCAGAUGGAUGUGGUAACCAUUCGCAUGAUAAUCAAGGGAUUGUGCAGGUGGUUUGAUGGCAAGCAAUCAUGACUCGGAAGAAAUUUUGGUGUAUAGGAUAUUUUAAUUCUGAGAUCAGCAGCGUGAUUGAAGAUUACUGUGUUACGUUCUUGCCGAUGGACUAUUACUUUUGUGUCUUGACCAUAAUCGGAACAAGGUGAUUGAAGAUUGUGUGAUAUUUACUUAGGUGUGUAAAUCAAUGCUUGGAGGAUGAGCUAAAUAAUUAGGUGAAGGCAAUCAUUAUCUAGAGUAAAUUUUGGAACAUUAAUGAUUUUAUACUCCAAAAUUGGGGGCAUGUGUUGACACCAUUUUUGGCACGUGUCAAAAUGAUCAGAGUGGGCUAAUCGGUAGAAGGAAAGUUUUUGUAUUACGCUGGUAGAAGGGUGCCGAUGAAAAUCAGCCUCUGAGGAUUAUUGCCGAUGAAUGGUGGUGACCGAUGGAAAGGUUGUCAUUUGAUUUAGACUCAGAGGCAUUGAUGACAAGAUCAGAGAUGUUAUUGCCGAUGCUGAUGGAGGAAUAUUUGAAGACUACUGCCGAUGGAACGGAAGUCGAUGAUCGAGGAAGAUUUGAAGACUACUGCCGAUGAAGCUUAUGAUGACAAAAAGAAUGCUGAGGGAGCGGAAGCCUAUGAAAAUUUCAUUGUAAUUAAGGCGGACAAGGAAGUAGAUAGGUGUCGUUUUCCUUUUCUGUAUUUAUUAGAGUAUGACUCAUGUACGAGUCACGUUUUCCCUUAGAUAUGGACUCGGUGUUCUAGUUGUAUCUGGUCAUGUUUCUUCGGAUCAGGGUAUAAAUAUGGACCAAGGGACAAUGUAAAUGGACAUCAAUCAAUAUCAAAGCAAUUUUCCUCAUAUUUGCAUCUACUUAUUUUUUGGCAACUUCGUCAAUUUGCGUAUUUUUUUUCAAGAGUUCUCAUCGAUAAAACGAGCUAUAUCACUUUACUGCAACCUUCGACGAUCCUCGAGUUCCAUGUGAGUACCUUUUGGCCGUGGCUUCCACACGCAUCGCUGUUGUCAGGACCAAAGUACUCGAGUUAUCAUCCUUGUCGAUUAACAGGUCAAAUCGUCUAGCACGCUUUGGAUAUUGGAUUGGGUAUUAACCCUUUGUGUUUGCAGAUCCACUUUUGCAUCAACACUCAUAAUGGUUCUCCUCCAGUGGGGGUCAGGCUUGUGUUUAUAGGGGGACAUCUGACCCCUCCUCUACCAUGAACUAGUGAUGUGGUACUAAUCUUUCCACCCCCUAGGAGGAACCAUAGCCCUUAGAUCAAACCGAAUUAAACAUGCACUUAAGAUUAAUCCUUAAAGUCGAAGGAUUGGGAAUCCGUGAGACGGAGCCUGAUUGGCUGCGGUAGUUGGGCAGCCGCCCAAGGUGGUGGGGCGGGUGCCCAUCUCGUGUGGCUGUUUGCCUUCCCGUUUGUUCUGAUGUCUUCUCGAAACUUUUAUACUCCAGAAAAGUGUAUUUUCUUGUGAAAUACAUAUUUCUUCAUCUAAGACUCCAAAUAGGGAAAAUGAUAUAUGGAUUUCGAUCAUCUCGACGAGCCUGUCGCAAUGGUGCAGUCUCAUACAUCAAUUGAGAUACUUUUAUUCAAUUAUUAGUUUGCCUUUAGCUCUUUUCCUAUGUGACCCCUACAAAACAUAGAUGCACCAAUACUCGUAGAAUUUGUUAGUUGAAACCUCUAAACCAAUGUUUGUGAGCAUCUCUUUGUAGUUAUAAAAGUUAUGUUGAUGGUUAAAAAUAGGAGUUAACUACCAUCAACAGGCGUCCAAAGCAAUGUUGGUUUGAUCCAAUGGCCAGAACAUGUUGUCAAAUGGAUCAUGGUCUUCCAACACAUGACAAAGCGGUACUCCAACACGUGUCUUACUAGAAACCGACCUUAGGAGAUCAUCUAGACUGUCGGGAGCAAAGGCGGUUACCUAGGGGUGGCUCCUGUCGUAGAUCCCUAGAGCCCACUAGGGGGAGUGGCGCCUGCCACCCCAUUCUGAUACCUAUCACUCCUCUUCACUCCCUUGCGAGCUCCUUCCACCAGAAUACUCCUUGGCCUAUAGAAGGACCACCUUAGCCACUGUUUUGAAGGGGAGAAAAGAGGCUCAAGCAUAGCAUAGAGCUUAGUGCAAGUGUUAGCAUAGUAGCUCCCUCGCUUAGGUAGCCAGCUUAGCUCUAUAGCCUCUCUGCCUCUAGCUCAGCUUUGCUCUAGCAGUUGGGAGUUGUAAGCGGGAGGAGUAGCCAGGCGUAGCACAGCUUGGAGACGAAAGAGUCUUCCUCCUCUCCACUCUGGUCUUAUACCUUUGCUAUCUUAGUACUCAUUUGUUUGUCAUUUACCUUUGGUAUACUGAGUGCUAUUUACCUUUCAAGUACUUAGUUUAUAGUGAUCAUAUCAUUAGUGAGCUUAGGAGCUUGAUUAUGUUGGGUUAAGUGCUUCGUUCGUUUAGUGUUAGUUGUUCAAGCUAGUACUGCUGUGUCAUUUGGUUAGGGUGUCUUUACUCUAGAGCUUGGGUAAAGAUAGUCCGAGUUGGUACCUUAUAUGCCCUAGCAGACUUCGUAGUGGUAGAGACCGGAAAUGAUGAGAGAGCACCUAUCAUCCUAGGGAGGCCAUUCUUGAACACCACAGGAGCUAUCAUCUACGCUAGUGCUGCCAAGAUCAGUUUCUACAUCAAAGGGAGGAAGGAGACAUUUUUCUUCAGGAACAAGACUACACAAAUUCCAGAUCAAUCCAGACGUGAAUCAAGGAAGAGGACCAACAGGAGGAACAGGAACAAGCAAGUGUGGACCGAGUCAGCUAAGAUGGUCACUGCAAUUCAUGGAGGCCAAGAUCAUCAACUCAAGUCACCGUUUUUGACCAAGAAGGACGACCCAGGAAUGCCAAGCAUCUACUGCUCCAUAAAUGGAUACAACUUCUACAAGGCAACUUGUGACACCGGAUUGGGCGUCAACAUAAUGGCCGCAGUCACCUAUCGGCUCUUGUUCGGAACCAUGCCCUUAAGACCAACAUACAUUCAGCUCCAGAUGGCAGAUCAGACAUUUCGAGAAGUUAAAGGAACAGUAACUGAUGUCCCUGUCAAAAUAGACGAUCAUUUUGUCUACACAGACUUUUAAGUUAUUGACAUGGGAGAAGAUGAAUAUGAUCCACCCAUCAUCCUUGGUAGACCGUUCCUUAGCACCGUUAAAGCAAUCAUCUACAUUGGAACUAGAGAAGUCCAUAUGCACUUCCCCUCAGAGAAGGUACGCCGUUAUUUUACUGACCCUAACUAUAUCGUUGAAGAAUCUAAGCAGGUCAGAAAACGACGCAACCACAACCAGAGGAGGCAGAUCAUCAAGGACGGAUGGGCAGACUACGAAGGAGAAGUUGUAAGGUCAGAAGACGUAGAGUUUAAACAGAAUUAUCCAGAGGAGAUUGAAGCACCGAGUCAGGUAUGAAAAAUGAAGAUAACUAUACAUGAAGAGGAGGCGCUGCCGGAAGUACCGACUACGCCACCCAACGAAUCUCAGGACAAUUGAGAAAAUGGAGAGUCCCGUUCGGUGGACUUAAAAACACCAAACGCCUUGCCAAGAGGUAAACUUGGUAGUUAUCCUUUCCCUUUCAAUUAUUUCCAAUAGUUUACUUAGUUAAUCAUAUUCAUACUAUCUUAAAAAGAAAAUAAAAAUAUGAAAAUCCGUAAGCCCCAUGUGAGUAUACGAGUGGCAUAAAACCCACAAGUACAUUCACUGUGGUGGCAUAAAAAUAAAAUAAAAAUUUCUUUUCUGCUUUAUAAAAAUGAAAAUAUAAAAACAGGGAGUAAUAUUUAUCAAGGAGUCUCAACAUGAUAAAGGCAAGAUAUUUAUGCUAACACUUAACCUGUUCCACAAGCUUUGUUGUCUAUUUGAGCUCCACAGAAUUUAAGAAUCAAGAAGACUAGCAGACGAAGGACAUUCUAAUCACUGUCAGAAUGCUGCUGACAUUCAAAUACACCUCUGCCACCUGCUAGCUACAUCAAGAGAAAUUACGUCAAAAUUCAGCUUGGGGGAGAGCACCCUCAUUUAUCUCGAUAAGUAUUUCUAUCUAUCUAUCUUUAUACUUAUAUUAUUUUAGAAUUUAAAUAUAUAUAACUAUAGAAAACCAAAUAAAGAUUUUGUGCUUAUAUAUAAGCUUAGUGUGUUUAAUAAAUAAAUAAAGUAGCUAUGCUAAUCUGUAUCUAAAUCAAGCAUGGAUAUGAUGAAUAGUUGGUCUGCCUAAUUUGCAAAUUUUAAGUUCUCUCUCAAGUUUAGACAUAACUGUUAUAAUUUAAGGCUUGCUCUAGACCUAAACUUGUGGGAUGAAAACUUGAUCUGAAGUCUAAGUUGUUAACGGAUACGAUAUGGGAAGGUUGAGCUGCUAUUUAUCUGUUCCUAGAGAUGCGAGAAUUCUGGAGUUCCUAUAUGAUGAAAGUUUAAAUUCCUACCACAGCCAUAUAUACAUGCUUGCUAGACUUUGAGCCACACAUUUACUAUUUACUGCUUAUGAGCAUUGAGUGUGGUCAAGCUGUGUAGACCCUUAGGAGCUUGUCAUGUGGUUAAAUCAAGAUUUCACUUGCACGUUCACUCAUAUAUGCUACUUCUACUCCGGAAGUACCAUCCACAUAUAUCCACCCAUUUUCAUCUCCAGAACCACCCAAAAAUAUUCUACUCCUAAUCCAGGAGAGAAUGACCAAAAAUAUUUCUAUUUUUCCCUUGUGAAAUAAAUCCUCAAGUUAUCUUGUUACUACCACUUGCUAUAUUAUCUCAAGAGAUGAGUGCUCUAAGAAAAAAAAGAGAGAAUAUAUAUAUAUAUAUAUAUAUAUAUAUAUAUAUAUAUAUAUAUAUACGAGGAAAUAUAAAGAAGCAAGUGCUCGGAACCUUGAAAGAAAAGAAAAAAGUGAGACGAGAGGUAAAAAUGGACAAGUGUCCGACAGUAGAAUUAGGGGUACAAGAUACCCACCUAAGAGAAAAGUGUCGGCGUUUUCCCCCCGAGCGGUCACGUCAACGAGUAAAUUAGUAUGCGUGCUCCCUUUCCCAGAUGGUGAUGCAAGAAGACACAAAGAUUUAUCCUUGUUCGGGCAAGAGAAGGCCCUACGUCCAGCGGAGGAAGGAGGUUCGUAUUAUCUUGCACCUAAGUGCUUGUACAGGGGUGAAUACAAGUGUGGUAUGAAGUAUGGGAGUUCUACUGCGUAUGGGCGUAGUGUCCCUAUCCGUUCUAUUCCUGAGUCCCUCCUUUUAUAGCUCUAAGGAGAGACCUAGGGUACAUGCGUAGAUGUCAGAGUAGGGGUCGAUAGCAGCAUGGAGCGCUGACCUACUUGAGGCUUCCGUACCGGCAUGGCCUCGAGCCGUCCCGUCUGGAUAGUCUGGUGAUGAUUACGCGUGCCCCUGCAUUCUGCUCUACGCGCCGUCUUGGACUGGUUUACCGGUCGCACGCCUGUACGAUAUGGCGGCAAAUCCGGCGGAGUGGUUGAGAUGUAGUCAGUCGACGCCCAACUCGUCCCCAUGAAGGAACCCUGUCCGGUCGAGGGUCGGACGUCGUGUAACGUGCUGAUAUCCGGAGCGCUGACCAUGGAUGUCUCGAGGGGGUCCCGAUUGGACGUUCCAUCCUUGUUUCCCGCAUCCUGACACAUCCUGGGACGUUCGGCAGGGAAGGCUGCAAAAAGAACGAUGGGACGGGUGCCUGUUUCCUAUCACGCUUCCCGUGACCAGUGUGUUAGGUGGGAAAACGGCACGUGUAUUAAAUGCCCUGGCUCUCGUGCGCGCGUCAGGCGGCGGACAGUGUCCCUGCGCUCGACGCUUUCCGUUUUGCUCGAGCCCGCUCCCGUAUUCAACGGUAGCUAGCGCUCGACCCCUGAUUGAUUCGUUCGACACUAUUUCCGUCUUCGAGGCUACGGCCGUCGAUGGCAGCGCAUGUGUACGGCCAGAGCGUCGAGUCGAGGGCCUCGUCCUGCGUACGGAUAGUCUCAUUACGUGCAUCGGUGAGGGUACCCCUUAUUGAUACCCUCGACAGUAGCCCCCGAGUCUCCAUUUGAGCGCUGGCGCUCGAGUGGAGGCUUUUACUCUUGGGUCGAGUUUCCGUGGGGGCGCGCGAGCGACCCCGCGGGGGUAGCCCCCGAGCCCUUGAAGCAGUUUUUUACUCCUUCGAGGGUUAUACUGCCUAUUUUGCAGAAACACUAUCGACACCAGUGGUGGAAGGUUCUGAUUGGCUUGCUUUGCAUGGAGGUUUCGACGUACUCUCGAUAGAGCGAGCGUCUUCCACCCCAGAUCGAGUUCCUAGCGGGUAGUCCAAGUGAGAACCUGUGCCCCUUUCGAGGGGGUCAGCUGUAGCCCGGAGGCGUUCUCAUAAAGUAGGGUCGACGUGGUCGGGGAUACCGGUCUCAUUCGAUAGAGUCCAGCGGCUCGAUGCCUCCCGUCGGGGGGAUUCCUCUCGACUGUCUCGACCCUACCUUGAACAUCCCUAGCGAGUCUUCGAGGCAGGCCUCGAUCUUCGACCGCUCGCUGGGGAUCCCUGACUCCGGUGCUCGAGAUCGGCUGUCGAACCCUUUCGGUGGGCCAGCCUGCGACCUCUCGAGGCUUUCGCGGGUACGCCCCUUGGCUUACUAGGGAAGGAAGCUGCCGUGGCGGUUCGCCUUUUUGCCCGUUGGGCGCGCCUUUUUAGGCGGAUGACGUUACGACACUGCGUCGGCGUGGAAUUCGGAGCGCCCCGCCUGUGAGGCGAGAGAGACUGUUAGGUGGCGCAUUUAAGGGGGGCGUUGCCUCAUUUCUCGGAUCUAUCCGUUGGCGGAUCGUUGCCUAUAAAUACGCCGUGGCACCGCCGCCGCUCUUCCUUCUUCCUUCCGCCUCCUUGCCUUCAUCCUUUCGUCGCCUUAAUUCUCUUGUUGUCUUACUCACGCGUGCGCCCCUUCUAGCAAUAGCGAAUCCACCGUCCUUUCAGCCAAGAUGCCAAUGACACUCGUCGCCACCGACGACUAGCGCCCGUCGUCGAUGACGGAGCGCCGGGUGCUAGAGCUCAAGAGCGAGGGACUCUUGCGUCGCCGCACCUCGCUGUCGUCGCCAGAGUGGAUCGCGUCGCCGGCGGGCCACAGGGAGCCCCAGCCGCCCGAGGGCUACGUGGUGUCGUUCGCCAAGUUCCACCGCCACGGCCUGGGCACUCCCCCGAGCCGCUUCAUGCAGGCCCUCUGCUUCCACUAUGGGGUGGAGCUCCAGCAUUUCUCCCCGAACGCCAUCACCGUCGCGGUGGUCUUCGCCGCAGUGUGUGAGGGCUAUCUGGGGAUGAUGCCCCACUGGGAUCUGUGGCUCCACCUCUACAGGGGUGAGCUUUUCAAUGCCCCCACCGGAACCAUCGGCGUGAGGAAGCACGUGCGGGCUGGGUGCCUCAACCUGGUGCUGAAGACGAAGAAGACGGAGAGGCCACGCGAGUAUAUCCCAGUGGGGCUGUCGUCAAACCAUGCUGGGUGGGACUCCCAAUGGUUCUACUUGAGGAACGACGACGGUCUCUUCCCCGGUUACACGGGCCGUCUGAUUACAGAGCGCCCGGACAACUGGACGUACGGCGUCGUCCAAGAGCACCAGUCGCGGCUCGACCCCCUCCUCGACGCCAUGAAGAAGCUGCGCCUGGAGGGCCUGUCCGCCGCUCUCGUCCUCUCGGCCGUCCAUCGUCGAAGGGUCCUCCCUUUGAUGUCUCGGCCGUUGAGGAUGGACGAGAUGGGGCCGGGCGUCUCGUCCCGGGAUCUCAAGGCCUGCCGGAUGUCCAACGUGGCUCUGGCGGACGAUGAGAUCGCUGCCCGGGUUAGGGCGGCCAUCGCCGGUGACUUUAAGUCGAAGCACGUCAACGGCUUCCCUAUGAGGCCCGAUGAAGGUUCGGUCGACCUAGUAUGUUCUUUCCUCGCACAUAGCUCCGAUUCUGGAGUUUCCUCGAUUCUUUUUUAAACCUUCCUUUACUCUGGCAGGGACGUAUUGAUGUGCGGUCCUCGAGGCCCCUGUGAAGGAGGACGAGGUCGAUCGUGACAGGCGGCGCCAGUCCGCCGAAAAGCUAAAGUCCGCCAAGGACUCCGCAAAGAAAGGGGAGAAGAAGAAGAACCUCGACCGCCAAGCUUUUGAGGCGCGUCGAGCCAAAUCCAGGCAGAGGGGGGAGCCUGAGGAAGAAUCUCCCAGUGACGACGACGAUGACGACGAGGACAGCGACGACUCUGAGGGGAUGGCGUCACGUCUUGACCGGAUCCUCGAAGGCCCGCCUCGAGGUGAUGUCGACGUCCCCCGGACGGAGACUCCGAAGGAGGGCCCCAGCAGGUCCCACCGCCCUCGGGCCGACAUGCCUCCUGCGCCCUCGACUGGCCAGGUCACGCCGCGCCCUCCCCCCGCGUCCAGGGGUGGUGGCCAUGCUAGGUCCCAGGUGAUGGGGCCACUGACUCGUGGUCGCGCUGCGGCCUCCAAGAAAGGAGAGGCCGGCCGCAGGAGCACCAGUCCCGGCGCCCGCUACGCGGGAAUUGCUGCGCCAGGGCCAGUGCCUGUGCUCGUGGGGCCCGGAGCCUUGACGCGGGGUGGCUCGAGGCCCACCGGUCGGGGCACCAGUAGGCGAGCUGUUUUUCCCGUAGGGUAAGCUUUUUGAAGUUGUGACUUCCAUUCCCUCGCGUUUCCUUGUAUUCUGGUCUUUUCUUGCUCGUUUCCUUCUUUUUAGGCUAGAGCGGACGCUCGAGCAGGCCCAGCCCUCAAUGGCAAAGAGGCUCAAAGUGGGAGCUGCCUCCAAGGAGCCAGGUUCGUGGCUUACUUUAGGUACUCGUGAUGUUCUUCUAUUGGUCGUCAUAGUGACCGGCUUCUGUUCUUUGUUUUGCAGGCUCCUCCGACCCACGUCCUCCGGCCAACGCUGAGAGCGCCCCGCCUCGUCUCGAGCCUGCCCCGUCGCCGCCGGCGCGGGUCGAGGCGCCCCAGACUCAGGUGCAAGGAGGAGCCCCCGAGCCUCCCCGAUUGGGGGUCGAGGCGGAACCCAUUACCAUCAGCGACAUGUCUGGUGGCAACGAGACAUCGGGGGAUGCCCACCCUUUGGAGGAGGAGGCGUCGACGUCCCUCAUCGUGGGACGGACCCCCUGGCCCGCUGGUCUCCGCGCCCUCGAGGAGCAGAAGAAGAAAGGGGAGGAGGAUGAGGAGUGGGAGCGCGAGGCAACGCGGCAGCCGCAGGAGCAUGAGGAGCAACAACAGCAACAGCAGCAGCAGCAGCAACACAAGCAGGAGCAGCAACAGCGAUAGUAGCAGGUGGAGCACCAACAGCAAGCGCUCGAGGUGGAGUGGCAGCAGCAUCAGGGGGGCCAAGAAGAAAAGCCGCUUGAGCCCUUGCCUCAAGAUCUGCCUCAACCAGUGCCGUCGGUGCCACAAGAGCCUGGCGAGCAGGAAGAAGAUUUGCCGGUGUACGGCCCCCCGACCCUAGCGUGGCUCCUUCCGGGGGCGCCCGCCGCGAUCCAGGUAGAGCCGGGGCGAGCGGAUGGUGUGGUGGCGCUUGCCUGCCUGAUGCGCACCCCCACCGACCCCGAAUCUGAGAUCAAGAGGACGAUCUACGGCAUGGACGGGAUCGCCCCAGGGUUCCUCCAGGAGCGUCGAGCGUGGGAGGAUCGAUUUCCCUCUGAGGAGGACGAGAUUGGGACGUCGGGAAGCAAGGGCGGUACCUAGAAGACGGUGGAUGACGACGGGCGGUUCCCAUGCCUCGUCGAUCUGUUCCUGCACCGCGGGGGCUCCCUCGAGACCGUCGAGAACCUUAUCCGCGGUGUCAAGGCGCGGGCUGAUCGAGAGAUGGAGAACCGGUGCCCCGAUCGGAUUCGUAUCUGAGCUUCCACCGACCCGUCCGAGCCCAACAUCUUCCUCGACAACAAGAAGGAGGCCAAGAAGUGGGAGCAUGUCGAGGAGCUCCGCCUUUGGAUGAAGCACGUGGUGGGGCUCCUGUCGGACAUCAUCAACAACGGGCUCGGGCCGGCUUAUUUUGUAAGUGUUUUUUGAUCUUUGAUCUUCAUGGAACCUUUUGGUUUUGUGUUCUAACUGUUCGACCGCCGACUCGCAGGACAUGAAAGAGACCUCCCGCACCAAGUCGAGCUUCAUUCACGCCACAAGAGGCGGCUGGGAGCAGCUCCCUGUCCUCAAGGACCGACUCCUCGAGUCGCAGGAGAAACUCCUCAAGGCUUAUAAAGACCUCAUAGUGCUCGAGGAGAAGAAGAAGGCGAGGGAGGCUGCUUUGGCCGAGGCUCGAGAGGCCUCAAGAAAGGCGGAGGAGGAGACGACGCUGCUGCGGGAGCAGGCUCUGACGGUCGAGGAGGCCGCGUCCAGAGCCCGGGAGGAGGCCCUGUCCUACAAGAGUGUUAUUGCGAAUCUGGACAAAGAGAAGGGCCUUCUUAAAACCGACCUGGACUCUCUCCGAGAGUCCUUCCAAAAGAUGAAGGUGGAGCACGUGAACGGCGAGAUCGCCAGGAGCGCCGCGGAGGAAGCCAAGAGGAAGGCCCUCGAAGAUCUCGAGGCGGAGCGUGUUCAAUCCUGCAGGCUCUCUGACGACGUCGAACGUCUGAAGGGAGAGCUGUUGGAGAAGAGUGGGGCCAUUGCUCAGGCUGGCAAGGCGAUCGAGGAUCUCCGCGUUGCCAACACUGAUCUGGCACGUUCCAACAGAGAGAUCGAGAGGGCCAACACCAGGCUAGUCGGCGAGAAUACGGCCCUGAGGAGAGCGUCCGUGGUACGUUUCCUUUGUCGGAUUUCUUUUUCGAGGUGUACUUGGUUUUUUCUAAAGUUUCUUGCAUUGGCAUUUACAGGGCUUAAGGACGAACUCCUAGCCGCCCAAGUCGAGGCCCGUAAUGCUAAGGCCCAGCUCGAGGCGGAGGUUGCUUUGAAUCGUCGCGUGCGGACGGCGAUAAGCGACCUCUCGACCUCUUGGGAGGUCGAGCCUAUGGACGAGUCGAGGGAGGGAGCUCGAGGCGACGCACUGGUCGACCAGCUGUGCUACUUAGGCGCGACGCUGAGAGACCGAGUGCGGGACGCCCUCCAUAUCGGGGUGAAGCGGGCGAUGGCAGUUGUCUGCUCGGGCUUCUCCAAUGACAUGGAGGUGGUGUCCCACGGCUUCGUCACCGACAUCUCCAAAACCGGCGUGGAGAACGAAGAGAGGCUCCAUGCCUUGAUCGACGACGCGGAGGCUCCUGGGGAAAGGCUGGCUAAGCUUUUUGAGCCUGAGGUGCUUCCUCCUAAGACUGGCUCUGGUGGAGGCAGGGGCGGUGAGGAUCGUGCCAUGGACUGAGGCCUGCGAGCCUGCUCAGGGUGCCCGGGGCCCCUUGUAUAAUACUUUGUUAACAUGCUUUUUAAGUGAUGCAGUGUCUUUAAAUAUUUUUUAAAUGUUUAUCUGUCUUUCCGCUCGAGGCUUUUUGUUUCUCUUCGCGCCUACGUUUGUAUUCCUUGUUCAAUCUUUCGUCAAAAACAACCUCGAUCACCUCAAGGGUAAGGAAGUGAGUAGAGUUUCCGUAGCCCGGGGGCGUAGGAGUUCUCAGGCUCGUUGUCCCUCGGCCUUUGAGGGGCUCGAGGCGCCUUAGCUACUCGAGUCGUGCAAGGUUUACUAAGUAAGAAGAGAAAAUUUCUUUGCUUUUUCAACGCUUGGGGGGGGUCGUCCCCCUGGUAGCCCCCGAGGGGGUGUUGACUAUGAUGGGUCAUAGUCGGCGCCUCCUCCUAACGUCGAGAUUAUGACUUAUAAAGCCUUGGUAUAAGAAGAAGUUGCUCGAGGGAAAGACUUCAUUUAUUCACGCAUUCGUUUACAAAGUCUCGGUACAAAAUGUGCGUAGGAACAUAAGUUUUGAACUUCUAGGGGUAGAAUCGACGUAGCUGUUCGAUGUUCCAUGAUUUGGUGAAGACCGCCCCCUUCUCGUCUGCUAACUUGUACGUUCCUGGCUUCAAGACCUCGGCCACCACGUACGGGCCUUCCCAAGGCGGAGUCAACUUGUGGCGUCCUUGAUUGCUUUGCCGUCGUUGCAAGACAAGGUCGCCCACGUUCAAGUCCCUCUUUCGUACGUGUUUGUCAUGGUAGCGUCGAAGCUUCUACUGGUAUCUGGCAGAGUUGAGGAGGGCCAUGUCUCGAGCCUCCUCAAGCUGGUCGACCGCAUUCUCUUGAGCUUCCUUAUUCGACUGCUCGUGGUAUGCCUUGAGUCGAGGAGAUCCAUACUCGAGGUCCGUUGGGAGCACGGCCUCAGAGCCAUAGACCAUGAAGAACGGGGUGUAUUUGGUGGCCUGGCUUGGCGUCGUCCUCAAACUCCAUAGGACCAAGGAAAGCUCCUCGACCCACUUCUUGCCGAAUUUCUUCAGGCGAUUGUAGAUCCUUGGUUUGAGCCCCUGCAAGAUCAUGCCGUUGGCACGCUCGACCUGGCCGUUAGUUCGAGGGUGAGCCACCGCGGACCAGUUCACACGGAUGUGAUGCUGAUUGCAGAAGUCCAAGAACUUUUUGCCGGUGAACUGGGUGCCGUUGUCGGUGAUGAUCACGUUAGGGAUUCCGAAUCGGUGUAUGAUGUCGGUGAAAAAGAGGACGGCUUGUUCGGAGCGGAUGUUGGUGGUGGGUCGAGCCUCGAUCCAUUUGGAGAAUUUGUCGAUGGCCACCAGCAGGUGGGUGUAACCCCCUUUCGCCUUUUGUAGAGGUCCUACUAAAUCGAGCCCCCACACCGCAAACGGCCAGGUGAUGGGGAUCAUCUGAAGAGCGUGGGCGGGCAGAUGUGUCUGUUUGGCAUAGAACUGGCACCCAUGACAUGAGCGUACAAGCUCGAUGGCGUCUGCCAUGGCCGUUGGCCAGUAGAAACCUUGUCGAAAGGCGUUCCCCACGAGGGUCCGUGGAGCAGCAUGGUGGCCGCAAGCCCCCGAGUAUAUGUCCUCGAGGAGUUUUCGGCCUUCUUCUACGGUGACGCAACGCUGUAAGACCCCUGUCGGGCUUCGUUGAUAUAGCUCGUUGCCUUCGCCAUAGAUCACGUAUGACUUGGCCCGUCGAGUGACGCGGCGGGCCUCUGAUCGAUCUUCUGGCAGCUCGUAGCGGAUUAGGCAGUCGAGGGACGGUGUGCGCCAGUCAAACGGUCGACCUGGUCGCUGUUCUACCUCCAUCACCUCUGCUGCCGUCAGUAGUGCGUCAACGGUGUCGGUUGGCUGGGCGGGAGCGGCAUCGACGCCAGCCCCCGAGCUCAAGUCGACAGAUAGUUCGUGGAGAUCUCUUGAGAACGCGUCAGGUGGCACCGUGCCUCAGGUCGACGCGAUCUUGGCGAGUUCGUCGGCUGCCUCGUUGUAGCGUCGGGCGACAUGGACGAGCUCGAGGCCAUGGAACUUGUCCUCGAUUCGACGGACUUCCUUGCAGUACGCCUGCAUUUUUGGGUCGUGGCAGCUUGAAGUCUUCAUCACUUGGUCGAUGACAAAUUGGGAGUCACCUCGGACGUCGAGGCGUCGGACUCCUAGCUCGAUGGCGAUCUUAAGACCGUUGACAAGGGCCUCGUAUUCUGCGACAUUGUUGGAUGCGGCAAAAUGAAUCCUGAUGACGUACCUCACAUGGAUGCCCAAGGGCGAGACGAACAGCAGGCCAGCCCCGACCCCCGUCUUCAUGAGCGACCCAUCGAAAUACAUCGUCCACAGCUCAGACUGGACCUGAGUCGGGGGAAGCUGGGAGUCUGUCCAUUCCGCGAUGAAGUCCACCAGGGCUUGCGAUUUGAUGGCCUUGCGGGGCGCGUAAGUGAGAGUCUCACUCAUGAACUCGACCGACCAUUUAGCUACUCUUCCCAUGGCCUCCUUGCUCUGGAUUAUCACGCCCAAGGGAAAGACGAGACCACCGUGAUGGGGUGGCCGAGAAAGUAGUGCUGUAGCUGCGGCGGGCGAGGAUUACGGCGUAGAUCAGCUUCUGGAUUUGGGGGUAACGUGCCUUGGUCUCCGAAAGCACUUCGCUGAUGAAAUAGACUGGCCUCUGGACUGGCAGCGCAUGCCCCUCCUCCUGCCUCUCGACCACCACCGCUGCACUGACGACCUGGGUCGUCGACGCAACGUAAAGGAGCAGUGGUUCCGCAGGUUGAGGUGGGACCAGGACUGGUGCUGAGGUCAGCGUUUUCUUCAGCUUUUCGAGAGCUUCCUCGGCCUCGGGGGUCCAAGAAAAACGCUCGACCUUCUUCAAAAGUCGAUACAAUGGUAACGCCCUUUCUCCUAGUAUCGAGAUGAAACGGCUUAGAGCCGCCAGGCAUCCCGUAACUUUUUGCACACCCUUGAUGUCUCGGAUCAGCCCCAUUCUUGUGAUGGCCGAGACUUUCUCGGGGUUGGCCUCGAUGCCGUGCUGAGAAACAAUGUAACCCAAGAGCAUGCCUCGAGGCACGCCGAAGACGCAUUUCUCGGGAUUAAGCUUGAUCUGGUUGGUGCGUAGACAGCUAAAAGCGAUCGCGAGGUCCUAGACCAGGUCUCCUUGCCUUUUCGAUUUGACGACAAUGUCGUCGACAUAGGCCUCGACCGUCGAUCCUAUGUGUUUGUCAAAUACGUGGAGCAUGCAGCGUUGGUAUGUGGCUCCCGCGUUUCGAUGCCCAAACGGCAUGGUUACAUAGCAAUACAUCCCAAAAGGUGUGAUGAAAGAGGUCGCGAGCUGGUCGGACUCUUUCAUUUUUAUUUGAUGGUAACCAGAAUACGCAUCAAGGAAAGAAAGGGUUUCACAUCCCGCAGUAGAAUCGACAAUCUGAUCAAUACGUGGUAAUGGAAAAGGGACUUUCGGACAUGCUUUAUUUAAACUUGUAUAAUCGACACACAUCCUCAUUUUCCCAUUCUUUUUCUUAACUAAUACAGGGUUUGCUAACCAGUCGGGAUAAUGAACCUUGAUGAAUCCGGCCGUCAAAAGCUUGUGGAUUUCCUCGCCAAUGAUCCUGCGCUUCUCCUCAUCGAAUCGGCGCAACUGCUGCUUCAGUGGCUUGGAACCGGCUCGAAUUUCCAAGGAGUGUUCGGCGACUUCCCUCGGUAUGCCCGGCAUGUCCGAGGGACUCCAUGCAAACAUGUCGGCGUUCGUACGGAGAAAGUCGAUGAGCACAGCUUCCUAUUUGGGGUCGAGGUCGGCGCUGAUCGUUAGCACCUUGCCGUCGGAGUUGUUGGGGUCGAGCGGGAUCUUCUUGGUUCCCUCUGCUGGCUCGAAGUUGCCCGCAUGGCGCUUGGGCUCUGGAGCCUCAGCGACCAGGGCUUCGAGUUUCGCGACGAGCUCGGUGGAGUUCUCGACCGCCUCCCCAUACUCGACGCACUCGACGUCGCACUCGUAAGCGUGCUCAAAGGAGGAGGUAACAGUGAUGACGCCUUUGGGAUCGGGCAUCUUCAGCUUCAAGUAGGUGUAGUUGGGUAUGGCCAUGAACUUGGCGUAGCCCGGGCGCCCGAUGAUGGCGUGGUACGUGCCAUGGAACCCGAACACCUCAAAGGUGAUGGUCUCCUUCCUGAAGUUGGCCGCCGUGCCAAAGCAGACCGGUAGGUCGAUUCGACCUCCGGGCAACGCCUUUUUUCCUGGCACGAUGCUAUGGAAACCGCCGGCGCUUCGCUGGAGCCGUCCCCUAUCGAUGCCAAGGAGGUCGAGGAUCUCGAGGUAGAUGAUGUUGAGGUUGCUGCCUCCGUCCAUUAGCACCUUGGAGAGCCUGGUGUUGAUGAUGAUUGGGUCGAUGACGAGCGGGUAGACGCCUGGGGCGACUACCUUAUCGGGGUGGUCCUCUCGAUCGAAGGUGAUGGGGGUGCUCGACCAGCUGAGGUACUGGGGCACCGCCAUCCUUGCCGCGAAGACCUCACGGCGUUCCCUUUUGCGCUGCCUCGUGGUCAACUGUGUCGAAGGCCCACCAUAGAUCAUGUAGCAGUCGUGGACGGCGGGGAAGCCGUCGUCGUCCUUGUUGCCCUCUUUGUCGCCGCCCUUCUCCUUAUUCGAGUCGUCAUGCUCAUCCCUUUUGAACCCUAGACCGUCGAAAUGCCUUUUCAGCAUGCGACAGUCCUUGAGCUUGUGGUUGGCGCCUCCCUUAUGGUAAGGGCAUGGUUCCUCUAGCAUCUUAUCGAAGAUACACCCAUCUGGAGGGCCUCGAGGCUUCUUCCGCUCCAUGGCGGCGACAAGGUUGUCGAAAUCUUCCCGUUGCAACUGCCGUGCUUUCUGCUUCUUCUUGUUUUUCUUGAGCCCUCGACUGGGGGUUCCAUCUUCAUCGAUAGGCCGCUUGCCUUUCCCUCCACAGCUGAAGAAAGCGCCGACUGCCUCUUCCCCUGCUGCGUAGUUCGCCACUACGUCCAUCAGCUCAUCGACGGUCUGAGGGCGAUUUCGGCCCAGUUCCCGCACUAAGUCUCGACUGGUGGUACCAGAGACAAAAGCCAGGAUGACGUCAUGGUCAGGGAUAUGUGGCAGCUCAGUGCGCUGCUUCGAGAAGCGUCGAGCAUACUCUCGAAGAGUUUCUCCUGACUUCUGCUUGCAUUUGCUGAGGUCCCACGAGUUCCCGGGCCGUAUGUAGGUCCCUUUGAAAUUGCCCUCGAAAACAUUAACCAAAUCGACCCAGUCGUGAAUCUGAUUUGCUGGAAGUUCCUCGAGCCAUCGACGGGCGGUGUCAGAGAGGAAGAGCGGUAGCUAUCUGAUGAUGGCUCGAUCAUCUCCUCGAGCGCCACCUAACUGACAGGCCAGCCUAAAAUCGGCCAGCCAUAAUUCUGGUUUGGUCUCACCAUUGUAUUUCGCGAUGCUGGUCGGGGGUCGGAAUGGACUGGGCAGGGGUGUGCUGCGGAUCGCCCUGCUGAACACCCGUGGCCCUGGUGGCUCGGGGGCCACCCGGACCUCGUCGCUGUCAUACCUCCCACCGCGAUGUGCGCUGUAACCACGCUCUUCCGCAUCCCCGUGCCGGCGGCGUCGAUUCUCUUCGAUGUCAUGCCACGCGUCGUGUCGACGCUGAUUGUCGACGGGGAGAAUGAGAGCGGUCUUUCUGCCUCGAGGAGGAGGCUGUUGAUGGACUGACACCUCCUUUUCAUUUUGAGGCGGCUCGUCGUGCUUUUCAGUGGCAGCUCCUCGUCGUCGAGAAGCUGAGCUUUCGGCUUGUUGAACUGCCGCCACCUAGAGCAGAGUCUGUACCUCAUCUCAAAUGUGCCGAGCCUGGGAGUUCGACUGUUCUGGCAUGUUGCGCAGUAGCAUCGUCGCCGCCACUACAUUUUGGCCCGCUCGAGGGAAACGGCUGACGGGCUGCUCCGGCUCUGCGUCUCCAACGAUUUGUCAAUGUACCUCUCGAGCGCGUCUGCGGACACUUCCACCAGGCGGGUAGGGCAGGUCUUGCUCAAGGAUUUGCUCAUGCAGGACGAGGCGCUCACGGUCUUCAUCGAGCUUCAUCUUGAGCUCUCGUAGUUGUGCAAGUUGCGCAACCUUGUCUUCCUGUGGAGGGGGGUCGUCCUGUCCGUCGUUCCCAAGCGUCCUUGGGUCUUCCCAUGCUGCAGGGGCCCGACCGCCCGCUGCAGCAUCUUGCGUCUCGUCGGUAGUCUCUACUGCCCCGUCGACGUGAUAGCAUUCCCUCAUAGGGUCGUAGCCAUCUGUCUCGGAGUCGGAGUCCGGCUCGGCGGUGUAGAAGCGUCUCCGUCCCUCCUCCACCAGCCGUUGCCUGAGUGAGGUGAUCGUGUAUCGCCCAGGGCCUAGGCGGCGGAGGCCUCGCACCUCGGAGAAAUCUGGCAGUUCGGACGUCGGUCGUAGUGCCUCAGAGUUACGUGGGAGGACCAUUGGUCUCUCUACGUACGUCUGGGCGUUUGGGCAUAUUGCUCUGGCGAGCGACGCCGCGGCGUUGUCCAAUCCGAAUGGCAGUGCCAACCUGUGUGGAAGUAGCUUGGCGGCGGUGGGGGAGGUCGCGUGAGACACGUCCCCUCCCGUCGUCGUGCCGUGCUGAGCCGUCCUGCCCGUGGUUCCGGCAUAUGGUGCUGCCGGCUCAUGGCCCACCUCCUGCUUCGCACGAGUUGUCGGUCGUGAUGAAGCAGAGGAGCGGCGGUGAUGCUGUCCGCGCCUCUUCUUGGGCGGGGAGGCGUGGUGGCGAGGGCGUUUCGGGGCCCUCGACCGUGUUGGUGCAACACGGGUUCCUCUUGGUCCUUUGACUGAGAGCAAGAUCAUGUCAUAGCCGGAGCCCGUAGACAUGAACUCGAGACUCCCAAACCAAAUCACCGUGGAGCGUGGAAUCGGCGAGGCGAGAGCAGCCAUCUGGAAAGGAGUGGGAAAUCGAUGAAAAACACGCAGGACCCCUACCUGGCGCGCCAACUGUCGGCGUUUUCCCCCCGGGGGUCACGUCAAUGAGUAAAUUAGUAUGCGUGCUCCCUUUCCCAGAUGGUGAUGCCCCAUCUUUGUGUCUUCUUGCAUCACCAUCUUGAGGCUUCCGUACCGGCAUGGCCUCGAGCCGUCCCGUCUGAAUAGCCUGGUGAUGAUUACGCGUGCCCCUGCAUUCUGCUCUGCGCGCCGUCUUGGACUGGUUUACCGGUCGCACGCCUGUACGAUAUGGCGGCAAAUCCGGCGGAGUGGUUGAGAUGUAGUCAGUCGACGCCCAACUCGUCCCCAGGAAGGAACCCAAUCCGGUCGAGGGUCGGACGCCGUGUAACGUGCUGAUAUCCGGAGCGCUGACCAUGGAUGUCUCGAGGGGGUCCCGAUUAGACGUUCCAUCCUUGUUUCCCGCGUCCUGACACAUCCUGGGACGUUCGGCGGGGAAGGCUGCAAAAAGAACGAUGGGACGGGUGCCUGUUUCCUAUCACGCUGCCCGUGACCAGUGUGUUAGGUGGGAAAACUGCAGGUGCAUUAAAUGCCCUGGCUCUCGUGCGCGCGUCAGGUGGCAGACAAUGUCCCUGCGCUCGACGCUUUCCGUUUCGAUCGAGCCCGCUCCCGUAUUCGACGGUAGCUAGCGCUCGACCCCUGAUUGAUUCGUUCGACGCUAUUUCCGUCUUCGAGGCUACGGCCGUCAUUGGCUGCGCAUGUGUACGGCCAGAGUGUCGAGUCGAGGGCCUCGUCCUGCGUACGGAUAGUCUCAUUACGUGCAUCGGUGAGGGUACCCCUUGUUGAUACCCUCGACAAAAAGAAAAAAAGAGAAAAGCAUCUCAUUCUCCUCAUAAAGUUUCAAAAAGCAAGGAAGGUAUGUAUCCUCUCAAAAGAGCAAAGUAGAAUUAGACUUCCACCACCAUUGUUUCUACCAUUGUUUUCACCAUUGUUAUCACCAUCAUCACCAUACACCAUUCAUUCGCCACACAUGCACAUCUUGAUUUGGCUUAUUGAUUUGUUACUUUGGAUCCAUGGUUUGACUAUGCAAUACAUGUCUUGUAAGUAUGUAUACUUUAUCUCCCACCUAUGAGCCCCAGAUAUUAAAGCCUUAUUAGAGUAGGAUGAGAGAGAAGACAAUGUCACUAUGCUUUAUACCACAAAUACUACAUAUCUUGAGAGAAGGCAUAUACCAUCACUGCC
Molecule: long non-coding RNA, 142995 nt
Filed under: Sorghum bicolor (sorghum)
Lineage: Eukaryota; Viridiplantae; Streptophyta; Magnoliopsida; Poales; Poaceae
Description: long non-coding RNA (SBIC_LNC003131)
Source: RNAcentral